UUGCAUAACUACAUAUUCUCAGUUGUUCUGUGUUCUUAGGCAAUGGCGAAAAAUAGCAUCUUCCAAGUGAUCAUUGUUUUUCUCAUGGUGCAAGUCUGCUUGCUCAUGAUGAUGGCAGCACCGGCAGCACAUGCAGCUGCUAGACCAGUGGGGUACAAUCCAGUGUGCUGCCCUAGAAACAUUUACUGUUGCGGGUUCGGUGGCGCAUUGGCCAAUUCACCCGUGCCAUCCAUUGAGCCUUGAAGUGUGGUUUUAUUCUCCUCGAGGUAGUAAGCUCGGCAUAUAAAUAAUAUAUGUAGUUUUAUUGUUUCAUGUGUUACCUAUUCCCGAAUAUUUGUGAUGCUAUUUUCAAGAAGAUAUUGUACUAGCUACUUACCUAAUAAAAUGGGAGGAGAUUAUUAUAUAUAUUGUUUUAUGUUUACGUCAGUCCAUUUGAAAACAAGAUUAUUUGGCCGCACUGAUUUAUGGCAAAAAAACGAGUGGUGAGGUGCGUGCCUUUGGGAAUUUCUGUUUUAUUGUUCCGUUGGUCCUCCAUUUGUCGAGAUUGUCUGGGUCGUGGCAGCAUGCUUUAUUUUUCACAAAGGUCAUAACUUUUUAUAGCAUUUAUUGAGUGAUGGAGUACAUCACCAAUUAGUAGAAACCAAUUACUAUUGGCGAUGCUUUUUUUUAAUCAAGGGAUCCACACUCUCUUCCUUUCUUGCAAGAAGGCCGAUGCCAUGUAUUAAAAUUGUCCAACCCUUACAACACCAUCCUUACAAAAGAAUUAACAUAGAAAACAUAUCCUGGGUUAUAUCAAGGGCGUCUUCCUUCCGGACUUGUACGGCGUGAGCAAAACUCGAUGUGGCCUUUGGAUUUCCAGAACAACCUUAGAGCCAGGGUAAAUCAUUCUCUACAUUUUUCAAGUGAGUGCUCAAUUCCUCAAAAAAUAGUCAAAUAAAUAGUAUACGAAUAUAACUUUUUAUUCUUUGAUGGAGCACGAAGGGAUUGUUUGCCGUGGAUCCUAUAUGCGCAAUCUAUCUAUUAAUCUAUUACUAUACUAAUUAGAGACUCCUUCGAAAUUCCCACAAUUAAUCAGAAAAUACGGACUGCUCAUCUGGUGGGACCGAAUUAUUACUGUGUAGAUUUUUUUAAAUUUUCUCACAUUAAUAAAGAUUAAACAAUAAUUAUAAGCCCCCCAUCUGGUGGGACUAAGUUAUUACCACAUAGAUUAACUCAUAUAGUCCUUGGCCAGAAUUUUGCUCCAUUCUCCUAAAUCCAAAUAAUAAUCACUCAAACUCUGUUGUAAAAAUAGAACACUAAAAAAUUACGAUUCAUUCUCUAGUCUCAACUAUUCAAAGGAAAAAAAACUCCCACCUCAAUAUAGGCACUACACAGUCUCUUCCUCUCCCCAUUAAAAAGAUCAUCAACCGGAAGCAAUCUCCAUAAAUUCCAUGGUCACGCAUAGCAUUGUCCAUUGGAUCUGCGAUCGAUCGUCUUGGUCAUUGGCGGAGGCCUUCCUCAAUGGUGUGGCCGAACUCGAUCUGCGGGUGAGGUCAAGAUAACGCUUUGGUCCUAGGGGUUUGGUAUAGGGUCUUACGUAAGGAAAAUGGAAGAAAAAUGAAGUGAAGGCAGAGAACCCAUACACAAAGAGAAGCGAAGUCUGUGCCCCUAGCUACUCAGUAUGCGUACGCGGUUUUCGACACUAGAUGCUGCUUGUUAUUACCAACCAUUUGUAGGCGGUUUGAUUGUUCUGACUAAACCCGGGCAAACGUCAGGCUGGGCUGGGCUUGUAAAAGCCCGGCCUUCAUUCUCAAGCCCGAGCCCGACCCGAAGUCCAAAAACUCUCUGUUUUCAAGCCUGAGCCCGGCCCAAAAUCAAGCCCGAAAGCUCGGCUUGAACGUUGUUUUUAGUGUACGCACGUGCAAGCCUGACCCAAAGCCCGAAAGCCCGUCUCGAAAUACAGAUAAAGAGAAGCCCGAGCCCGGCCCAAACUAUCUUUCGGGCUGCAAAACAAGGCCCGAGCCCAGCCCGAAUGUGAAGCCCGGCCGGGCCGGCCUGUCGAUGCUCGGGUUUAGUUCUAACCACCACCAGCGUCGGCCUUUGCAUCAAGCGAUGCACACAGUCAUUUAUUAAAAAGUAUAGGGUCUCAAAGUAUGAGUAACAUCUCAAGUUGCCAAAAAGGAACAAGAAAUCAAACAAAUAGCCACAACUGACAAAAUAGGAAUGUGGCUAAACACCUAUCUUAUUAAUGGACCAGCAUCUAAACAGGUUGUACUUAGCCCGUGCUACCGUCUCCCAUUGAUUGCACCCAACAGCCAUAAGCCCCCUCUCUACCGCAUGGUGUAGUAAUGACCACUUAGGGAUCCAGCUAGUCGCCCUGAUAGAUAACAUACAAAAAGCUUGUGAUAUUUGUCCUGUUAAAAACACAAUCAUUCCGAUAGUUCCAAAUAGGACAAACUAAAUGCACAAACUAAUUCGUGACGUAGUAUUGGGCUCAACCCCACCUAGCCAGUUACCAAACAAAUUGGAGAUAAUAUUAAGAGGAGGUAUGUUCAACGACACGUGUAUUGUCCGUCACGAUAAGUUGGAAAUGUGGCAAGUGAGAGACAAAUGUUGACUCGUUUCAUCAUGAUCGCAAAACUACACCAUUUACUCCCCUCCCACCUACUCCCUCCGUUCCUAAAUAUUUGUCUUUCUAGAUAUUUCAACAAAUGACUACAUACGGAGCAAAAUAAAUGAAUCUACACUCUAAAAUAUGUCUACAUACAUCCGUAUGUGAUAGUCUGUUUGAAAUGUCUAAAAAGACAAAUAUUUAGGAACGAAGGGAGUACGUUGUAGGCCAACUCUAACCCAUCCACUACAAAAUAGAGGAGGAUCCGUCUGAGCAAAGCUUGGUGGAGUAUAUUUACUUCACUAAGUUUUGGCCGGACAUAGUCGACCCCCUAAAUAUAACCGAGUACAAUUUAUAAUUGGCUUAUACAAUUGGUUGAGCACUUGGUGUGCGUCUGCUUGGGGACUCCGGCAUGGCGAGCACCCCUGCGGCGAGGAACACGGGUUAAACACGUAGCUGAUCAGGAUGCAGACGUUGACAGAUAGCUGCCACCGAGAUGGCAAGCUAGACAUUGCCAAUUGCAGCAUGUUGGUUCCGCUGGCAAGCUUGCUACUCACAUGAUCCUGCUCGGCCUGCACCGUGCCUCGUCCCCCAUCGCGUGCUACAGCUCCUGCUGCUUCCCCUCUGACGGAGGACUGCACCCCAUCACUGUGCUCGACCAUGUAGUGCCUGAAGGGCCUGACUCCUCCGUUGGACAGGCCUAAGGAAAGCUGAAGCUGGAUGGCGUCGUCGACUGCCUGCGAGAUGGGCGCCGGAGUGAGUGUGGUGUUGCGUGGCACCAUGGCAGCAUGAGCUGCAGCUUGAGGUCGUGCCGAACGCUCAUGCCACAGGCGCUCGUGAUGCUGCAGGUCGAGGUCGCCUUCGACUAUGGCACAUGCGCCGAUGCGACGGACGUGUCCCCGUCCGAGCCCCGCAAGGAGAGGUCGCUGUCACUGUCGAACGCCACCCACGAUGAUUCUGACGACCACGGCUAGGAGGAGGGACGGGACGCGGCACUGGGCCGCGACCCGGGGAUAAGCCAGUGGUGGCGGCGACAUCGCCGGGGGCGGGGGUGACUGAGGCUGCGGGUGGUCACCAGGUGGCCACAGAGUGGGGACAGGCGGUCUUAGGGAGAGGCGACAGGUUUUACUCGGCCGCCUUCAGGAGUAAUUUUAGUGGUUGGAUAGGCGGACGAGUAAAAUUUAGCCUCACAUAUACUAUAAGUUUUAGUACUUCGGCUAGGUGCGACAUAAACGAGGAAAACCGAAUUUAUCCUUCCUUAGACUGGCCAUAAUGGGUAGUAACAUAUACAUGUUACUAGUCUAUGUUACCAUCUUUAUAAUGGGGAGUAACAUAUGUGUGGUAACAUGCAACACUUCAUUUAUUAGGCUAUAAACUCAUUUUGCCUUGAUAUGUGUGAUGUUACUCAUACUACUAGUAACUAGCUAUGUUACCACUUUACUCAAUUUCUUCAUUUAUUGUUUACCACAUCAUCUAUUUUAUCUAGAUAUGUGUGAUGUUACUAUCUAUGUUACUCCCACUAUGGGUAGUCUUAUAGUCCGAUAGGGAAUCUUGAUUUUAAAGGGGCCUUUGAUUUUUAAACUUGAUUUCAGCACGUCCAAAGACCGGUGUGGGUAUUAGGGACACAACCCCUUUUGAUGGCCGCUUCUAAUGCCCUUUUUCUACUAGUGAAUAUUGGUUUUGUGCAUCUAUUUGUGACGAUUGCUUUGCUCAUGGUGUCCUUCGAUGAAGUCGGGGUCGCCGGUCGCCUGCGUGCAGCUAUGAAGUUAUUCGUGCAAUAUUUUUUCUUAAUUAAUGAAAAUAACAAGUCUUUUACUACCCCACUGUACAAAAAAUAUAAAAAUGUUUAGAUCAGUACUUUAGUUAUGUAAACACGCACAUAUUUCUUUUACGGAGACCGUUUAACAAAUCAACUAGCAUUAUGUCGAGGAACGAUGCCUGCCAAACAGGGGUUUUGCACCGAGCCGCCGGUGGAAUUGGCCUGAUCGAUUGCCGACGCGGCUAGCCGAGCUAGCUAGAUAGGCCAAAAACAGGGAGCGCCCACACAGACAGAAAUGGAACGCACGCUAACUGACACUGCACUCACGCAUAUGCUCCUACCUAUUCCCUCCGUUCGGAAUUACUUGUCGUAAAAAUGGAUGUAUCUAGACUUAUUUUAGUUCAUCCCGCCGGAGCACCCUGCUCUGCCCAUCUCAUCUCAUCUCACUCACACUGCUUACUUGACUUCACUACCUAGCUCACUUCCUCCGGUUCUCGUGCCACCAAGCUUUCUUCCACGGCAACGGCCACGGCCACGAAGAUGUCUACGGUGACCCGUGCCCACCUCGACCAGAGGCUCGCCGCCGCCAAGCGCUGCUCCAGAGGUACUAACCAAAACGGUGGCAGGCCAGCAAUGCCCGUGUCGUUCUGCUGUUAAACAUUGCAGCCUAUGCGCUGAAACUUGAUCGCCAUUGACAUGCCUGUGUUGCUUCGGAACUGCAGAGGCUGCCAUGGCAGGAGCCAAGGCCGCGGCCGUCGCCACCGUCGCAGCCGCAGUCCCCACAGUAAGUAGCCAGUUAGCCAUUCAGUUAUUCGGCCAAAUCCUUGCACGGUUCAUAGCAUGUCUCAUGCAUGCGUUACCUGUAACUUGAGCUGGCGAGCGCGAAGAUGCGAAGAUGCUGCCGUGGGCCAAGGCACACCUGAACCCAACCGGGCAGGCCCUCAUCAUCUCCACCGUCGCCGACAAGACCAUCCUCUCCAUGGCCAGGAAGCACUCCUUCGAGGACGCGCCGGACCACCUCAAGAACACCUCCUUCCACUAAUUACACAGUAGAUCCAUUAAUAGUGCGCAACAGGCUGCACGUCGGCCCGUACGGUCGUACGUGUUUGCUGAAUGAUACAGUAGUAUAAUGUUCAGCGAGAGAGGCGAGGCGAUGCAGAUCAGGCGUCGCGCUUCUAUCCGUGCAAGCACUUAUCUGACGAAUUUACCAUGUAAUCUAGCCAGUACUCUUGAAUAAAUGAAUACUUGUAUUUGUACAACUCUGAUCCAUCUGCCAUCACUCAUCUUACAUGUGGCAGAGCAUAAAAAAGAAAUCUCCACCGCCGGCCCCUAAAACGUACACAAUAUCCGUUUGCGAGCCGGUCAUCCAACGCUAAUCCAACAAGCGUCCAGACACAUUUCAAAUAGACCUUAAACAAUCUAGAUAAAAUUCAUACAAACCGAACGAUUUUCAUUCAAACCGGGACAAGUUCAUUGCAUUUUAGAUAUAUUUCAACUAAACAAAAGUGGGCGACACUUUUUAACCCAGUCUAAAUAUUCGUCGGUCGUGGAGGCCUUCAUGUUCUGCAUCAUGUCUUUACCAUGUCUGGCAAGUUCAGUGGUCGCAAGCUUUUGUGAAGUGAAGUUGCCGGUGAGGAAGAAUCUGACUUGGGACAUGACUCACAUGGGACACAGGACUUGCCCACAUCCGUGUCCCACGUCCUACUCUUCCCGGCUAGAGUCUGUGAUGUGGACGUUGCCGGACAUGGAUGGAUCGGCCUCAUGGCCAAUGCGGUUGGGCACGAAAUGUGAUAGCGCCGCGAUCAAUGCGGAACUGGCGACGUCCGUGAUGUUUGUGCCCACUCUUCAUCCACCUUCACCUGCAAGACGCACUGCCGCCAUCGCUCGCGAGGGAUGUCGUGAACUGCGGCCAACGACCAUAAGGCUGGUCCAUCCGGCAUUUCCGACACGAAGGUUGUCUCAUCUCCAACGACAAGUAGAACUAGGAUAGUUUGAUCUAUGUUUGAUAUAGUACGUGGUUUAAUUUUACGUUCCAUGAUGUAGUAUCAAAAAAGUAGAGGGUGAGAUUUGGGGUUUGUGGUUGCAGCGAGAGAUAAAUGAAGGGUGACCGGGCUCGGUCUACGGAUGCGUCCGGAAACAUCUGCGAACAUGUGGGGUCACUUUUGAAAUAUGCAGCUGUAGAUGUUGUAACAUUACCAAGAUUUCAAGGAAUUGAAAAUCGGGAUGAUCGGUUUCCUACCUCUUCAUCUUUUUUUAUCGAUAAUUGUAGACGCACGGGGUUUUACGGCCCGUGACAGGCUCUUUNNNNNNNNNNNNNNNNNNNNNNNNNNNNNNNNNNNNNNNNNNNNNNNNNNNNNNNNNNNNNNNNNNNNNNNNNNNNNNNNNNNNNNNNNNNNNNNNNNNNNNNNNNNNNNNNNNNNNNNNNNNNNNNNNNNNNNNNNNNNNNNNNNNNNNNNNNNNNNNNNNNNNNNNNNNNNNNNNNNNNNNNNNNNNNNNNNNNNNNNNNNNNNNNNNNNNNNNNNNNNNNNNNNNNNNNNAGUGGGGGUGGGGCCCUGACCUUAAUCUCCAUCCAAACAGAAGAUCCCAACUAGGACACUCCGUGAAUCCCUGUAAAACAUAGCCCGUGUGUGUAGCAUUGCUCUUUUUUUAUAGGAAAGGCUGAAAUAAAUCCAGGAUCAAGUCUAGAAUUUGAAUCUUGGUGGGCUGGGAUACCACCGUCCUUCUAACCAUCGAACCACAGGUUCGUUCGCUUCUGCCUCUUCAUCUUAACGAUACACACAUUCAUACUUAUAUUUAUUUAUUAUAAACAAUUGUGAGUAGGAGUAAUAAAACUCAGUACAAAUCAAUGAGUGGAGGGAGAAAAAAAUGCCACAAUCGGUGUAGGCAAACAUGCCUACACAAAAAGCAUAAUAUUGGAUCAUCUAUCCUACGUGAAAUGUUAUGUUAUUUUUAAACAGAGGUAAAAGAUUUUCCUCAUCUAUUAAGUAACAAAAUAAUGACAGGAGGGACGUUUUGCCUUUUUUUUAUGUGUGAAGAUUGAUGUUGGUUAUGUGCAUCUUAACUAUGCAGAGGCCAGAUAUAUGUUUAUUUUGACUGUAUUCAGUUGAUGCUUCAUUUUAUUAAAUAAUAAAAUCCAUUCUUAAUGAAAAAAGCAUGGUGGCGGGGCUGACCCCGCCAAACAAAGGAUCAGGCGCUCGCGGAAUUGGAUCGCCGACGGGUUGGCGGUAAACUGGGAGCGCCCACACCACACACAUCGCCAACAACCUGAAGGGCACGCUGACAGAUACUGCUCUCACGCACAUGCUCCUACCUACGUGUUAUCCUACCUAGUACGUGUUAUCCUACGCAGGAACACGCUCCCCGCCAACCCGAUGGAUCGAUCCAUGCCUCGUCUUAUCCAGAAAACAGAGUCCGCCACCUGUGCUCUGCCGCACCUGCACCGCCCACCGGUACCAUUACCGAAACCACGGUCUUGCCUGCUUCCCACCGUAUCAGGUCGUCUUCCUGCCCGGCCGCACGCCGGUUGGGCGGUUUCCUGCAACCUAUAAAUUCCGCCGGAGCACCUCGCUCUGCCCAUCUCAUUCUCAUAUCACUUCACUGCUACUACUAAUUCACUUCCUUCGGAUCCCGCUCGUGCCACCAAGCUCUGCUCCCGCUAAGAUGUCGACGGUGACCCGUGCCAACCUCGACCAGAGGCUCGCCGCCGCCAACCGCUGCUCCAGAGGUAACCACCGACGACCGGUUCCGGCCACAGCCCAGCACUGCUCUGCUCCUAUAUCCCAACCAUCCAUUGCAGCUUAUGUGUCUGCUGAAACUUGAUCUUGAUUAACAUUCCUGCGUUGGUCUGAAACUGCAGAGGCUGCCAUGGCGGGAGCCAAGGCCGCGGCCGUCGCCACCGUCGCUGCCGCAGUACCCACAGUAAGUAGCCAGCUAGCCAUUCAGUUCCAGAGUUCAUAGAACACAUCUCAUGAAUCAACGCGUUACCUGUACUGUAAUUUCAGCUGGCGAGCGUGAGGAUGCUGCCGUGGGCGAGGGCGCACCUCAACCCCACCGGGCAGGCGCUCAUCAUCUCCACGGUCGCCGGGAUGGCCUACUUCAUCGUCGCCGACAAGACCAUCCUCUCCAUGGCCAGGAGGCACUCCUUCGACGACGCGCCAGAGCACCUCAAGAACACCUCCUUCCACUAAUUAGACUAUAAUAGUAGACACAUAUAAUGUUCUAUAAUGGUACUAUAAUGUUCAGCGAGAGGGGCGGUCAGGCGAGGUGAUGGUAUAAUUAUCUGAUGAUGUAUGUAUGUAAUAAUGUGGCCAUGUUCUUUCCAGGGAUCUUGUCAUCUUUCCAGGGAUCGUGAAUUAAUAACCACCAGUUUUUGUACAACUUUAGUUCAAGUGCACUCACUCAUCUCACUUAUUUCUUGUUUGUGAUUGCCAUUUGAUAUGCGUCAAGACCGAGUAACACUAGUACUAGUAGUAGACUACUACUUCAUUCAUUGGAUCCCCUACUACUCUCCUCUCUUCUAUCCCGAAAUGCACGUGGGGAUCAUGCCACCUGACCUCACACUAUAAAUCUUUUGAGGGAGAUGAUUGGUUUAUGCCGGCGGAUCUCAUGCGAGGCGUCCCUCACCUCUUUCUUGUGACACGUGUCUUGGGUCCAUCUAGUACUAUUUCUAGCGGUUCCGUGCGAUCAUGUGCGUGUGGCGGAGAAAGUUCUCUGCAAUAUCAUUUGUGUUGGGAUAUAACUAUUGGGUAUGACCAGAGGGGCCCGGUCAUACCGCUGGCGACUUAAUGAUAAAGAUGGCGGGUUAUGAAGCAAGCCCGUUGAAGGCCUAAGACCCAGAGGCGACUUGAGGCCCAAGAGGAUAAACCGCCAUAUGUGUAACUUGUAUUGUAAGGCAAGUUUAGUUAGUCACCGAGCCGGACACGUUGUGUAUGAGCCGGCCGGGACUCUGUAAGCCGCCGGGCAUCAACCUGUGCAUAUAAAGGGGUGACCCGGCGGCGGGUGAAGGCAAGAAACCAGAGAUCGAGAACUAGGUCAAGCGUAUUUGCUCCCUGGUAAUCGAAACCCAAGCAAUACAACCCCAAACUGGAGUAAGCCUUUACCUCGUUGCGAGGGGCCGAACCAGUAUAAACUCUCUGUGUCCUUUGUCCCGAUUAACCCCUUCAAGCUAAACUAACUGCGAUGGCUCCACACCUAAGUCCUUUCACUAGGGCAUCUGCCGUGUUAAGUCGACGACAAUUUGUGUUGCAAACUUUCUUCCGCAAUAACUCUCAUGUUGCAAAAAAAGUGAAAACAGAAAGAAAAAAAAUCUGCAACAUUACCGGCGGAAGUUGCCCAUGUCCGACCAUGCCGCCGCACGCCGACAAGUUUCUACAACAACAACAAAGUUACAAAACGGCGACCACAACGAGGGCGGUGCUGCUGCGACAACAUCUUUCAUUGCGAAAAAGUUCUGCAACAACAUCCAUGUUGCAGAAGUCCUUUUCGCAACAUUAUCUAUGUUGCAAAAAAGUGAAGAGAAAAAAACACACAACAUAAGCUCCGUUGCAAAUGGUUUUGAAACACUCCAUUUGUUGCAAUGAAUUGUGCCAGAUCUACGGUUGCGGAGGCGGAAAGAUCCGCCGACCGACGCGCAGCACGGUCCAUCUUUUGAUACGGUUUAUAGGAUGCCCUGGUAAAUAAGGAUAGAAAAUUUAGCAGUUCUGUAACAAGCUUUCCAUGGAUAGCCCCACCCUCCCACGCCGCCCCCCGCAAGGCGACGGGGAGGAACCUACUGCGCCGCCGCCAACUACCUUCUCCGCCCCUCCUCCCUCCCUCGCUGCCGCCAGAGGGCGCAGCCGGCCGAAGCCGCCGGCAAGGCCUCGUCGUUCCCCCUUCCAGCGGCCUUGGUGUCGGCCGACGCGGCUGGAUCGGGGUGCCUCGCUGUCCCAGGGCAAGGCUGUGUUGCGGCGCAGCUGCCUUGUGAUGGCGCUGCGCGCGGUGGUGGCGCGACGGGCUGGGCUUCGUAGGCCGUGCUGGUGCGUGGAGCGGCGGGGACGGCGAGCGGCUGGUGCGGGUGUUCAUGGCGGCGGGCGGAUCUAGCGUGGCGGCGGUCGCGGCGAGGCAAGGCGUCAGUGGCGGGGUCCGGUGUGGCCUGGGCUAGCUCCUGGCUUGGCGCAGUGGUCCCUGCCCUAGCUUCGGGCUGGUGGGGGUGGUGGCGCAGUGGUGGUGGCAGGCGGGGCAUGUUGGUCGAGUCCGCGUCGGGACCUUCCUGGUAUGGCGCUCUGACGUUGGCGGACGACGCGAGUAGGCAUCUCCGGUGAGCUUCCUUGGUUGCGGUUGCAGGUCAAUUUGGUCUCACUGUCGGCGAGCGCGCGGUUGCCGAUGGCCUCGCAAAGAUGUGUGUUGUUGGGGAACGUAGUAAUUUCAAAAAAUUUCCUACGCAAACGCAAGAUCAUGGUGAUGCAUAGCAACGAGAGGGGAGAGUGUCAUCCACUUACCCUCGUAGACCGUUAAGCGGAAGCGUUAUGACAACGUGGUUGAUGUAGUCGUACGUCUUUACGAUCGACCGAUCCUCAGUACCGAACGUACGGCACCUCCGCAUUCAGCACGCGUUCUGCUCGGUGACGUCAUGCGAACUCACGAUCCAGUAGAGCUCGAAGGAGAGUUUCGUCAGCACGACGGCGUGGUGACGAUGUUGAUGAAGCUACCGUCGCCUGGAUUAUGGUGGAUUAUGGUGGAGGGGGGCACCGCACACAGCUGGGAGAGAUCAAUGAUCAACUUGUGUGUUCUAGGGUGCCCCCUGCCCCCGUAUAUAAAGUAGAAAGGGGGGAGGCCGGCCGGCCCCUAUAGGGCGCGCCAGGAGGAGGAGUCCUCCUCCUAGUAGGAGUAGGACUCCCCUCUUUCCUACUCCUACUAGGAGGGGGAAAGGAAGGGGGAGAAGGAGAAGGAAAGGGGGGCGCGCCCCCCCUUCCUAGUCCAAUUCGGACUAGAGGGGGAGGGGGCGCCGCACACCGCUGGAAGAGAUCAAUGAUCAACUUGUGUGUUCUAGGGUGCCCCUGCCCCCGUAUAUAAAGGAGCAAGGGGGGAGGUCGGCCUUUGACUAUUGACAAGAUUAAUAGUACAUGACAUGCACAAUGCGAAAAUUGUAUCAUUGAAAGCUCCUUUCACACACGAAUUUAACGGUGUGCCUUGUGUAAGUUGCAUGUCAUAUAUUAUUGCUCUAAUAAUUGGUCAAAGUUAGCCUCGAAAAACGCAUUAGGCCCUAUAUAGAUGGAAGGAGGGAGUAUGUGCUUUGUGAAAGUCCAAUUAAGCGUCUUGAUCUAUCUCGAUAGAUCUUGAUGCCCAAUAUGUAAGCAGCUUCACCAAGGUCUUUCAUUGAAAAACUCUUAUUCAAAUAUCCUUUUAUGCUAUCCAGAAAUUCUAUAUCAUUUCCAGUUAGCAAUAUGUCAUCCACAUAUAAUAUUAGAAAUGCUACAGAGCUACCACUCACUUUCUUGUAAAUACAGGCUUCUACAAAAGUCUGUAUAAAACCAUAUGCUUUGAUCACACUAUCAAAACGUUUAUUCCAACUCCGAGAGGCUUGCACCAAUCCAUAAAUGGAUCGCUGGAGCUUGCACACUUUGUUAGCUCCCUUUGGAUCAACAAAACCUUCCGGUUGCAUCAUAUACAACUCUUCUUCUAGAAAUCCAGUCAGAAAUGCAGUUUUGACAUCCAUUUGCCAAAUUUCAUAAUCAUAAAAUGUGGCAAUUGCUAACAUAAUUCGGACAGACUUAAGCAUCGCUACGGGUGAGAAAGUCUCAUCGUAGUCAACUCCUUGAACUUGUCGAAAACCUUUAGCAACAAGUCGAGCUUUGUAGACAGUAAAAUUACCGUCAGCGUCAGUCUUCUUCUUGAAGAUCCAUUUAUUCUCUAUGGCUUGCCGAUCAUCGGGCAAGUCAACCAAAGUCCACACUUUGUUCUCAUACAUGGAUCCCAUCUCAGAUUUCAUGGCCUCAAGCCAUUUUGCGGAAUCUGGGCUCACCAUCGCUUCUUCAUAGUCCGUAGGUUUUGGUCAAGUAACAUGACCUCCAGAAUAGGAUUACCGUACCACUCUGGUGCGGAUCUUACUCUUGUUGACCUACGAGGUUCGGUAGUAACUUGAUCUGAAGUUUCAUGAUCAAUAUCAUUAGCUUCUUCACUGAUUGGUGUAGGUGUCACAAAAACCGGUUUCUGUGAUGAACUACUUUCCAAUAAGGGAGCAGGUACAGUUACCUCAUCAAGUUCUACUUUCCUCCCACUCACUUCUUUCGAGAGAAACUCCUUCUCUAGAAAGGAUCAAUUCUUAGCAACAAAUAUCUUGCCUUCGGAUCUGUGAUAGAAGGUGUACCCAACAGUUUCCUUUGGGUAUCCUAUGAAGACACAUUUCUCCGAUUUGGGUUCGAGCUUAUCAGGUUGAAGCUAUUUCACAUAAGCAUCGCAACCCCAAACUUUAAGAAACGACAACUUUGGUUUCUUGCCAAACCACAGAUCAUAAGGCAUCGUCUCAACGGAUUUUGAUGGUGCCCUAUUUAACGUGAAUGCAGUCGUCUCUAAAGCAUAACCCCAAAACGAUAGCGGAAAAUCAGUAAGAGACAUCACAGAUCGCACCAUAUCCAGUAAAGUACGAUUACGACGUUCGGACACACCAUUUCGCUGUGGUAUUCCGGGUGGCGUGAGUUGCGAAACUAUUCCGCAUUGUUUCAAAUGUAGACCAAACUCGUAACUCAAAUAUUCUCCUCCACGGUCAGAUCGUAGAAACUUUAUUUUCUUGUUACGAUGAUUUUCCACUUCACUCUGAAAUUCUUUGAACUUUUCAAAUGUUUCAGACUUAUGUUUCGUUAAGUAGAUAUACCCAUAUCUGCUCAAAGCAUAUGUGAAGGUGAGAAAAUAACGAUACCCGCCGCGAGCCUCAAUAUUCAUUGGACCACAUACAUCAGUAUGUAUGAUCUCCAACAAAUCAGUUGCUCGCUCCAUUGUUCCGGAGAACGGCGUUUUAGUCAUCUUGCCCAUGAGGCAUGGUUCGCAAGUACCAAGUGAUUCAUAAUCAAGUGAUUCCAAAAGUCCACUAGGAUGGAGUUUCUUCAUGCUCUUUACACCAAUAUGACCUAAACGGCAGUGCCACAAAUAAGUUGCACUAUCAUUAUCAACUCUGCAUCUUUUGGCUUCAAUAUUAUGAAUAUGUGUAUCACUACUAUCGAGAUUUAAUAAAAAUAGACCACUCUUCAAGGGUGCAUGACCAUAAAAGAUAUUACUCAUAUAAAUAGAACAACCAUUAUUCUCUGAUUUAAAUGAAUAACCGUCUCGCAUCAAACAAGAUCCUGAUAUAAUGUUCAUGCUUAACGCUGGCACCAAAUAACAAUUAUUCAGGUCUAAAACUAAUCCCGAAGGUAGAUGUAGAGGUAAUGUGCCGACCGCGAUCACAUCGACUUUGGAACCAUUUCCCACGCGCAUCGUCACCUCGUCCUUAGCCAAUCUUCGCUUAAUCCGUAGUCCCUAUUUCGAGUUGCAAAUAUUAGCAACAUAACCAGUAUCAAAUACCUAGGUGCUACUGCAAGCAUUAGUAAGGUACACAUCAAUAACAUGUAUAUCACAUAUACCUUUGUUCACCUUGCCAUCCUUCUUAUCCGCCAAAUACUUGGGGCAGUUCCGCUCCCAGUGACCAGUCUGUUUGCAGUAGAAGCACUCAGUCUCAGGCUUAGGUCCAGACUUGGGUUUCUUCUCCCGAGCAGCAACUUGUUUUCUGUUCUUCUUGAAGUUGCCCUUCUUCUUCCCUUUACCAUUUUUCUUGAAACUGGUGGUCUUGUUGACCAUCAACACUUGAUGCUCCUUCUUGAUUUCUACCUCCGCAGCCUUUAGCAUUGCGAAGAGCUCGGGAAUUGUCUUAUCCAUCCCUUGCAAAUUAUAGUUCAUCACAAAGCUCUUGUAGCUUGGUGGCAGUGAUUGAAGAAUUCUGUCAAUGACACUAUCAUACAGAAGAUUAACUCCCAGUUGAAUCAAGUGAUUGCAGUACCCAGACAUUCUGAGUAUAUGCUCACUGACAGAACUAUUCUCCUCCAUCUUGCAGCUGUAGAACUUAUUGAGACUUCAUAUCUCUCAAUCCGGGCAUUUGCUUGAAAUAUUAACUUCAACUCCUGGAACAUCUAAUAUGCUCCAUGACGUUCAAAACGUCGUUGAAGUCCCGGUUCUAAGCCGUAAAGCAUGGCACACUAAACUAUCGAGUAGUCAUCAACACGCGACUGCCAGGCAUUCACAAUGUCUGCAGCUGCCGGCGUAGGUGGUACACCUAGCGGUGCUUCCAGGACGUAAUUCUUCUGUGCAGCAAUGAGGAUAAUCCUCAAGUUACGGACCCAGUCCGUGUAAUUUCUACCAUCAUCUUUCAACUUUGCUUUCUCAAGGAACGCAUUAAAAUUCAACGGAACAACAACACGGGCCAUCUAUCUACAACAACAUAGACAAGCAAAAUACUAUCAGGUACUAAGUUCAUGGUAAAUUAAAGUUCAAUUAAUCAUAUUACUUAAGAACUCCCACUUAGAUAGACAUCCCUCGAAUCAUCUAAGUGAUCACGUGAUCCAUCUCAACUAAACCAUGUCCGAUCAUCACGUGAGAUGGAGUAGUUUUCAAUGGUGAACAUCACUAUGUUGAUCAUAUCUACUAUAUGAUUCACGCUCGACCUUUCGGUCUCAGUGUUCCGAGGACAUAUCUACAUAUGCUACGCUCGUCAAGUUUAACCCGGGUAUUCUGUGUGUGCAAAACUGGCUUACACCCGUUGUAUUUGAACGUAGAGCUUAUCACACCCGAUCAUCACGUGGUGUCUCGGUACGCGAACUUUCGCAACGGUGCAUACUCAGGGAGAACACUUAUACCUUGAAAUUUAGUGAGAGAUCAUCUUAUAAUGCUACCAUCAACCAAAGCAGAAUAAGAUGCAUAAAGGAUAAACAUCAUAUGCAAUCAAUAUAAGUGAUAUGAUAUGGCCAUCAUCAUCUUGUGCCUUUGAUCUCCAUCUCCAAAGCACCCGUCAUGACCACCAUCGUCACCGGCGCGACACCUUGAUCUUCAUCGUAGCAUCGUUGUCGUCUCGCCAACUAUUGCUUCUACGACUAUCGCUACCGCUUAGUGAUAAAGUAAAGCAAUUACAGGGCGAUUGCAUUGCAUACAAUAAAGCGACAACCAUAUGGCUCCUGCUAGUUGCCGAUAACUCCGUUACAAAACGUGAUCAUCUCAUACAAUAAAAUAUAGCAUCAUGUCUUGACCAUAUCACAUCACAACAUGCCCUGCAAAAACAAGUUAGACGUCCUCUACUUUGUUGUUGUAAGUUUUACGUGGCUGCUACGGGCUGAGCAAGAACCGUUCUUACCUACGCAUCAAAGCCACAACGAUAGUUCGUCAAGUUAGUGCUGUUUUAACCUUCUCAAGGACCGGGCGUAGCCACACUUGGUUCAACUAAAGUUGGAGAAACUGACACCCGCCAGCCACCUGUGUGCAAAGCACGUCGGUAGAACCAGUCUCGCGUAAGCGUACGCAUAAUGUCGGUCCGGGCCGCUUCAUCCAACAAUACCGCCGAACCAAAGUAUGACAUGCUGGUAAGCAGUAUGACUUAUAUCGCCCACAACUCACUUGUGUUCUACUCGUGCAUAUAACAUCUACGCAUAAACCAGGCUCUGAUGCCACUGUUGGGGAACAUAGUAAUUUCAAAAAAAUUCAUACGCACACGCAAGAUCAUGGUGAUGCAUAGCAACGAGAGGGGAGAGUGUCGUCCACGUACCCUCGUAGACCGUUAAGCGGAAGCGUUAUGACAACGCGGUUGAUGUAGUCGUAAGUCUUUACGAUCGACCGAUCCUCAGUACCGAACGUACGACACCUUCGCGUUCAUCACACGUUCAGCUCGGUGACGUCCCGUGAACUCACGAUCCAGUAGAGCUCGAGGGAGAGUUUCGUCAGCACGACGGCGUGGUGACGAUGGUGAUGAAGCUACCGUCGCAGGGCUUCGCCUAAGCACUGCUACGAUAUGACCGAGGUGGAUUAUGGUGGAGGGGGGCACCGCACACGGCUGGGAGAGAUCUAUGAUCAACUUGUGUGUUCUAGGGUGCCUCGUGCCCCCGUAUAUAAAGGAGUAAGGGGCAGGCCAGCCGGCCCCUGUAGGGCACGCCAGGAGGAGGAGUCCUCCUCCUAGUAGGAGUAGGACUCCCCUCUUUCCUACUCCUACUAGGAGGGGGAAAGGAAGGGGGAGAAGGAGAAGGAAAGGGGGCGCCGCCCCCCUUCCUAGUCCAACCCAGAGGGGGAGGGGGCGCGCGGCCUGCCCUGGCCAGCCCCUCUCUCUCCACUAGUGCCCAACUAGGCCCAUUAACCCCCGGGGGGUUCCGGUAACCCCUCCGGCACUCCGGUAAAAUUCCGAUUUCACACGGAACUCUUCUGAUGUCCAAAUAUAGGCUUCCAAUAUAUCAAUAUUUAUGUCUCGACCAUUUCGAGACUCCCCGUCAUGUCCGUGAUCAUACCCGGGACUCCGAACUAUCUUCGGUACAUCAAAACAUAUAAACUCAUAAUACCGAUCGUCACAGAACUUUAAGCGUGCGUACCCUACAGGUUCGAGAACUAUGUAGACAUGACCGAGACACGUCUUCGGUCAAUAACCAAUAGCGGAACCUGGAUGCUCAUAUUGGUUCCUACAUAUUCUACGAAGAUCUUUAUCGGUCAAACCGCAUAACAACAUACGUUGUUCCCUUUGUCAUCGGUAUGUUACUUGCCCGAGAUUCGAUCGUCGGUAUCUCAAUACCUAGCUCAAUCUCGUUACCGGCAAGUCUCUUUACUCGUUCCGUAAUGCAUCAUCCCGUAACUAACUCAUUAGUCACAUUGCUUGCAAGGCUUAUAGUGAUGUGCAUUACCGAGAGGGCCCGGAGAUACCUCUCCGACAACCGGAGUGACAAAUUCUAAUCUCGAUCUAUGCCAACUCAACAAGUACCAUCGGAGACACCUGUAGAGCACCUUUAUAAUCACCCAUUUACGUUGUGACGUUUGGUAGCACACAAAGUGUUCCUCUGGUAAUCGGGAGUUGCAUAAUCUCAUAGUCAUAGGAACAUGUAUAAGUCAUGAAGAAAGCAAUAGCAGUAAACUAAACGAUCAAGUGCUAAGCUAACGGAAUGGGUCAAGUCAAUCACAUCAUUAUCCUAAUGAUGUGAUCCCGUUAAUCAAAUGACAACUCAUGUCGAUGGCUAGGAAACUCAACAAUCUUUGAUCAACGAGCUAGUCAAGUAGAGGCAUACUAGUGACACUAUGUUUGUCUAUGUAUUCACACAUGUAUUAUGUUUCCGGUUAAUACAAUUCUAGCAUGAAUAAUAAAGAUUUAUCAUGAUAUGAGGAAAUAAAUAAUAACUUUAUUAUUGCCUCUAGGGCUCCUCCUUCCCCCCUUUCGUCGUGUUUGGCAGGGAGCUCAGUUGGAGGGAUGGGUGGCCUCGAUGCGGUCACGUAACCUGUCACCAGCACGGCGUGCCGGUCCGGAUUCGUCCGCUCCGCUUUCUCCCCCUUUCCUCGGCCUGGGGCGGGUUGGCACAGGUUUACCAACGGAGCAUCUGCGGGUGGUUCUGUCAGUCGAGGGACGUCGGUUGGUCCAAAGCUAGGGCCUUUGUGUACGUCUCGGGGUUGUUUGGUUGCAGGGCGGCGGGAAGCAUGACGUUCGUGGGCGAAGCGUGCGUCUUAUGUGCGGGUGGGAAACUAUGGCCGUGUGGGUGGCGUGGUUGCGGGUGGUUGACGGAGAUAAGGUGCACUGGUGGGGUGUGAGCACCGGGGUACACCACUUGUUCAGUCCUUUGACUACCCGACGGUGGUGGUGGCCGUUGCCGUCAUACCGUCCUGAAGGCUCCGUGGCGGCGUUCCCACUCUGGUCAUCUUGCUCCGGGUGAAACCCGAUCUUCGCUAAUCGGGCGGUGGCGGCUAUCCAUGGUCGUAUCCUUCUUGGAGGCACCGCUUUGGAGGCCUGGCUUCAUUGUGGUCCGGUUCACCUCUUUAUUGUCUGUCGGUGGGGUGGUGUAUUGGUGCCUGGCACCUUUGUAUCUUGCUCUGGGUGUGUGCGAUAUGUGCGUUGUUCGGUAUCUCGAAUGUAUUUGGUGAUGGUUGCUUUAUAUAAUAUAAAGUGGGGAAACCCUUUUUCGGUAAACAAGCUUUCCAUACUAGUGGAGCUCCCCUGGUUAGGUUGGAGGUGUUUCUUGAGACCAGAGACACCUUGACACUUUUCUUGGUCGCGAGUUAUAGAAGUGCAUGAUCUACCUAAUAUGUCCAUUUUGCAUCAUGCUUUUAUAUUGAUAUUUAUUGCAUUAUGGGUUGUUAUUACCUAUUUUGGUACAAUACUUAUGCCUUUUUCUCUCUUAUUUUACAAGGUUUACAUGAAGAGGGAGAAUGCCGGCAGCUGGAAUUCUAGGCUGGAAAAGGAGCAAAUAUUAGAGACCUAUUCUGCACAACUCCAAAAGUCCUGGAAAUUUACGCAGAGUCAUUUUGGAAUUAAUAAAAAAUAUUGGGCGAAGUAAGCACCAGAGGGGGGCCACCAGCCAUCCACAAGGGUGGGGGCGCGCCCUAUCCCCCUGGGCGCGCCCCCCUUCCUUCAAACAAACCUUCUGACCAGGAAAAGGCAUACCAAAGAUUUUCGGAAAGACACGUUGAAAUGGAAGCUCUCGAACCUAUUCCGAAGUAAGUGUGGGCCCCCUGGCAGGCCUCCGGUGUCCAUCUUAUGCUAUAUGGUGUGUUUUGACCUAGAAAAAACCAGAAGGAACUUUCGGGACGAAGCGCCGGCGUCUCGAGAUGAAACUUGGGCAAAAUCAAUCUAGGGCUUCGGCGGAGCAAUUCUGCCGGGGAAACUUCCCUCCGGGAGUGGGAAAUCGAAGCCAUCGUCAUCACAAAUGAUCCUCUCAUCGAGAGGGGGUUAAUCUCCAUCCAGAUCUUCACCAGCACCAUCUCCUCUAAAACUCUAGUUCAUCUCUUGUAUCCGAUCUUUGUCUCAAAACCUCAGAUUGGUACCUGUGGGUUGGUAGUAGUGUUGAUUACUCCUUGUAGUUGAUGCUAAUUGGUUUAUUUGGUGGAAGUUCAUUUGUUCAGAUCCUUAAUGAUAAUUUAUACUCCUCUGAUUUUGAACAUGAAUAUGUUGUGUGAGUAGUUUCGUUUGUUCCUGAGGACAUGGGAGAAGUCUUGUUAUGAGUAAUCAUGUGAAUUUGGUAUUCGUUCGAUAUUUUGAUGAGAUGUAUGUUGUCUUUCCUCUAGUGGUGUUAUGUGAGCGUCGACUACAUGACACUUCACCAUGAUUUGGGCCUAGGGGAAGGCAUUGGGAAGUAAUAAGAAGAUGAUGGGUUGCUAGAGUGACAGAAGCUUAAACCCUAAUUUAUGUGUUGCUUCGUAAGGGGCUGAUUUGGAUCCAUAUGUUUCAUGGUAUAGUUAGAGUUAUCCAUUCUUCGUUCGUAGUUGCGGAUGCUUGCGAGAGGUGUUAAUCAUAAGUGGGAGGCUUGUCCAAGGAAGGCCAGCACCCGACCACCGAUCCACCCACAUAUCAAAUUAUCAAAGUAACGAACGCGAAUCAUAUGAGCAUGCUGAAAACUAGCUUGACAAUAAUUCUCAUGUGUCCUCGGGAGCGCUUUGCUUUAUAUAAGAGUUCGUCCAGGCUUUUCCUUUGCUACAAAAAGGAUUGGGCCACCUUUUUGCACCUUAGUUACUUUUGUUACUUGUUACCCGUUACGAAUUAUCCUAUCACAAAAUUAUCUGUUACAGAUAAUUUCAGUGCUUGCAGAGAAUACCUUGCUGAAAACCGCUUGUCAUUUCCUUCUGCUCCUCGUUGGGUUCGACACUCCUACUUAUCGAAAGGACUACAAUAGAUCCCCUGUACUUUCGGGUCAUCAAGACUCUUUUCUGGCGCCGUUGCCGGGGAGUGAAGCGCCUUUGCCGAGUGGAAUUUGGUAAGGAAACAUUUAUAUUACAUGCUGAAAUUUACUGUCACUUGUCACUAUGAAAAAUAAUCCUUUGAGGGAUUUGUAUGGGGUAUCUUCACCCCGACCGUAUGAGAAAAGAGUUGCCCCUCAACCUACUGAACCUACUGAAAAUGUUUAUUAUGAAAUUCCUUCGGAUAUGAUAGAGAAACUACUAGCUAAUCCUUUGGAGAUGGAACACUACAUCCUGAUAUGCAUCUAAUCUAUAUGGAUGAAGUUUGUGGAUCAUUUAAGCUUGCAGGUUUGCCCGAGGAUGAUGUGAAGAAGAAGGUCUUCCCUUUAUUUUUGAAGGGAAAAGCAUUGACAUGGUAUAGGCUAUGUGAUGAUAUUGGAUCAUGGAACUACAACCGAUUGAAAUUGGAAUUUCAUCAGAAGUUUUAUCCUAUGCAUCUGGUUCACCGUGACCGAAACUAUAUAUAUAUAUAUAUAUAUAUAUAUAUAUAUAUAUAUAUAUAUAUAUAUAUAUAUAAUUUUUGGCCUCGUGAAGGAGAGUGUAUCGCUCAAGCUUGGGGGAGGCUUAAGUCAAUGUUAUAUUCAUGCCCCAAUCAUGAGCUGUCAAUAGAGUUUAUUAUUCGGAAUUUUUAUGCUUGGCUCUCUUGUAAUGAUCAAUCCAUGCUCAAUACUUCUUGUACUGGUUCUUUUAUGAAGAAGACUAUUGAAUUCAAAUGGGAUUUAUUGGAAAGAAUUAAAUGCAACUCUGAAGAUUGGGAACUCGACGAAGGUAAUGAGUCAGGUAUAAACCUUAAGGUUGAUUGUGUUAAAUCUUUUAUGGAUACCGAUGCUUUUCGUGAAUUUAGCACUAAGUAUGGACUUGACUCUGAGAUAGUAGUUUCUUUCUGUGAAUCAUUUGGUACUCAUGUUGAUCUCCCUAAAGAGAAGUGGUUUAAAUAUCAUCCUCCCACUUAAGUAAAAGUAGUAGAACCUAUUAAAGUUGAAGAAGAAACUAUUAGUUAUAAUGUUGAUCAUGUUGUUCCUACUGCUUAUAUUGAGAAGCCACCUUUCCCUGUUAGAAUAAAGGAACAUGCUAAAGCUUCAACUAUGGUUCGUAAGAGUUAUACUAGAACACAUACACCCCCUGAACAAAUUAAAGUUGAACCUAGUAUUACUAUGGUUAAGGAUCUCUUGGUUGAUAAUAUUGAUGGGCAUGUUAUUUAUUUCUUCGAUGAAGCUGCUAGGAUUGCUAAACCCAAUACUAAAGAUAAACAUAGAACCGUUGUUGGCAUGUCUGUUGUUUCUGUUAAAAUAGGAGAUCAUUGUUAUCAUGGCUUAUGUGAUGUGGGUGCUAGUGUGAGUGCAAUUCCUUUUACCUUAUCAAGAAAUUAUGAAUGAUAUUGCAUUUGCUAAGAUAGAUGAUAUUGAUGUUACUAUUAAGCUUGCCAAUAGAGAUACUAUAUCACCAGUUGGGAGUGUUAGAGAUGUUGAAGUCUUGUGUGGGAAAAUAUAAUACCCUACUGAUUUUCUUAUUCUUGGUUCCCCACAAGAUGAUUUUUGUCCCAUUAUAUUUGGUAGACCUUUCUUGAAUACUGUUAAUGCUAAGAUAGAUUGUGAGAAAUAAAUUGUUACUGUAAGUUUUGGGGAUAUGUCUCAUGAAUUUAAUUUCUCCAAAUUUCGUAAACAACCCCAUGAUAAAGAAUUGCCUAGUAAGGAUGAAAUAAUUGGUCUUGCUUCUAUUGUCGUGCCUCCUAUUGACCCUUUAGAACAAUAUUUGCUAGAUCAUGAGAAUGAUAUGUUUAUGAAUGAAAGAAAGGAAUUAGAUGAAAUAUUCUUUAAUCAAGGGCCUAUUUUGAAACAUAAUUUGCCUGUUGAAAUCCUUGGAGAUCCUCCUCCACCCAAGGGUGAUCCCGUGUCUGAGCACAAACAAUUAACUGAUACUUUGAAAUAUGCUUAUCUUGAUGAAAAGAAGAUAUAUCAUGUUAUUAUUAGUGCUAACCUUUCAAAGCAUGAAGAAAAAAGAUUAUUGAAAACUCUAAAGAAGCUCUGUGCUGCUAUUGGAUAUACUCUUGAUGAUCUUAAGGGCAUUAGUCCCACUCUAUGUCAGCACAAAAUUAAUAUGGAGCCUGAUGCUAAACCAGUUGUUGGUCAUCAACGACGGUUAAAUCCCAAGAUGAAAGAAGUGGUAAGAAAUGAAAUACUAAAGCUUCUGGGGGCAGGUAUAAUUUAUCCUAUUGCUGAUAGUAGAUGGGUAAGUCCUGUUCAUUGUGUCCCUAAGAAGGGAGGUAUUACUGUCGUUCCUAAUGAUAAGAAUGAAUUGAUUCCACAAAGAAUUGUUACCGGUUAUAGAAUGGUAAUUGAUUUCCGCAAAUUGAACAAAGCUACUAGAAAAUAUCAAUGCCCUCUACCUUUUAUUGAUCAAAUGCUUGAAAGACUAUCCAAACAUACACAUUUUCUUGCUUUCUAGAUGGUUAUUCUGGUUUCUCUCAAAUACCUAUGUCAAAAGAGGACCAAGAAAAGACCACUUUUACUUGCCCUUUCGGUACUUUUGCUUGUAGAUGUAUGCCUUUCGGUUUAUGCAAUGCACCUGCUACGUUUCAAAGAUGUAUGACUGCUAUAUUCUCCAACUUUUGUGAAAAGAUUGUUGAGGUUUUCAUGGAUGAUUUCUCUGUUUACGGAACUUCUUUUGAUGAUUUCUUAAGCAACCUUGAUAGAGUUUUGCAGAGAUGUGAAGAAACUAAUCUUGUCUUGAAUUGGCAGAAGUGCCACUUUAUGGUUAAUAAAGGUAUUGUCUUGGGGCAUAAAAUUUCUGAAAGAGGUAUUGAAGUUGAUAAAUCUAAAGUAGAUGCUAUUGAGAAGAUGCCGUGUCCUAAAGAUAUCAAAGGUAUAAGAAGUUUUCUUGGUCAUGCUGGUUUCUAUAGGAGAUUUAUUAAAAUCUUCUCUAAAAUUUCUAGGCCUCUCACUAAUCUCUUGCAAAAAGAUGUUCCUUUUGUUUUUGAUGAUGAUUGUGUAGAAGGAUUUGAAAUACUUAAGAAAGCCUUGAUUACUGCACCUAUUAUUCAACCACCUGAUUGGAAUUUACCCUUUGAAAUCAUGUGUGAUGCUAGUGAUUAUGUUGUUGGUGAUGUUCUAGGACAAAGAUUUGAUAAGAAAUUGAAUGUUAUUCAUUAUGCUAGUAAAACUCUAGACAGUGCCCAGAGAAAUUAUACUACUACUGAAAAGGAAUUUUUAGCAGUUGUAUUUGCUUGUGAUAAGUUCAGAUCUUAUAUUGUUGAUUCCUAAGUAACUAUUCACACUGAUCAUGCUGCUAUUAACUAUCGUAUGGAAAACAAAGAUGCUAAACCUGGACUUAUUAGAUGGGUUCUCCUAUUGAAAGAAUUUGAUUUGCAUAUUAUUGAUAGAAAGGGAGCUGAGAACCCCGUUGCAGACAACUUGUCUAGGUUAGAAAAUGUUCUUGAUGACCCACUGCCUAUUGAUGAUAGCUUUCCUGAUGAGCAAUUAGCUGUCAUAAAUGCUUCUCGUAAUACUCCAUGGUAUGCUGAUUAUGCUAAUUACAUUGUUGCUAAAUUUAUACCACCUAAUUUCACAUACCAGUAAAAGAAAAAGUUUUUCUAUGAUUUAAGACAUCACUCUUGGAAUGACCCACACCUUUAUAAAGAAGGAGUAGAUGGUGUUAUUAGAAGUUGUGUAGCUGAGCAUGAACAGGAACAGAUCCUAUGGAAGUGUCACUCCGAGGCUUAUGGAGGACACCAUGCUGGAGAUAGAACUGCACACAAGGUAUUAUAAUAUGGUUUUUGUUGGCCUACUCUCUUCAAGGAUGCUCGUAAGUUUGUCAUGUCUUGUGAUGAAUGUCAAAGAAUUGAUAAUAUUAGUAGACAUCAGGAAAUUCCUAUGAAUUAUUCACUUGUUAUUGAACCAUUUGAUGUUUGGGGCUUUGAUUAUAUGGGACCUUUUCCUUCCUCUAAUGGGUAUACACAUAUUUUAGUUGUUGUUGAUUACGUUACUAAGUGGGUAGAAGCUAUUCCAACUAGUAGUGAUGAUCAUAACACUUCUAUUAAGAUGCUUAAAGAAGUUAUUUAUCCGAGGUUUGGAGUCCCUAGAUAUUUAAUGACUGAUGGUGGUUCACAUUUUAUUCAUGGUGCUUUCGUAAAAUGCUUGCUAAAUAUGAUGUUAACCAUAGAAUUGCAUCUCCAUAUCAUCCUCGGUCUAGUGGUCAAGUAGAAUUGGGCAAUAAAGAGAUUAAAUUGAUUUUGCAAAAGACUGCUAAUAGAUCUAGAAAGAAUUGGUCUAAGAAACUUAAUGAUGCCUUAUGGCCUUAUAUAACUGCGUAUAAAAACCCUAUGGGUAUGUCUCCAUAUAAAAUGGUUUAUGGAAAAGCAUGUCACUUACCUCUUGAACUAGAACAUAAAGCUUAUUGGGCAAUCAAAGAGCUCAACUAUGAUUUCAAACUUGCUAGUGAAAAGAGGUUAUUUGACAUAAGCUUGCUCGAUGAAUGGAGGACCCAAGCCUAUGAGAAUGCCAAGUUGUUUAAAGAAAAAGUUAAAAGAUGGCAUGACAAAAUGAUACAAAAGCGUGAGUUUAAUGUAGGUGAUCAUGUUUUGCUAUUCAACUCUCGUUUAAGAUUUUUUGCAGGAAAGCUUCUCUCUAAAUGGGAAGGUCCUUACAUUAUCGAGGAGGUUUAUCAUUCCGGUGCCAUCAAAACCAACAACGCCGAAGGCACAAAUCCGAAGGUGGUAAAUGGUCAAAGAAUCAAACAUUAUAUUUCAGGUACUCCCAUAAAUGUUGAGACAAAUAUUAUUAAUACCAUAACACCGUAGGAGUACAUAAGGGAUACUUUCCAGAAAUUUCAGACUACGAAAAGGAAUAGGUAUGUGGUACGGUAAUUAAACCGACUCCAAAACUGUUGUAAGGGAAAUUUUUCUCCAUUUUAAAAUAUUUAAAAAAUUAGGAAAAUUGAAAGUAGUCCGAAAGGUGCACGAGGAGACCACAAGGGUGGAGGGCGUGCCCUACCCCCUAGGCGCCCCCCUGCCUUGUGGCCACCUUGUGUGCCUUCCGGACUUCGUUUUCUUGUGGAACACUUCUUUUGGUCGGUAAAAAAUCAUUAUAUAUCUCCCGAAGGUUUUGACCACCGUAGCACGACAAAAUACUCUGUUCUUGUUUCGAGUUGUUUUUCUGACAGAUCUAGAUCACCAUGACGUCUCCAAGCGCCCCCAAGGACAAGUUUUUUGAGAAGGUCAUCAACCCUUACCUCGCGGAGGUGCUGCGACACCCUCAAACCAUUGAGAUGCAUGAGGGGGUUCUUCACAUCCGUGAUGUUGAAGGGACGAAGACCGGAUGCGUGGAGAUAAGACUCGAAGCAAUGGAGCAGCAUGUUUUCAAGUGCCAAGGGAUGGUGGAACAUGGACUCAACGCCAACCACUUGAUGAUCGCGGAAUUUACCAACAACCACAAGUUGGAUGCCAAGAACAUUGGGGAGGCCAUCUUCAAGCUUCAUGAGAAAAUCGAGCAUCUUCAAGCCCGGAUCUAUGACCUGCAAAACCAAAACUGUGAGUAUGAAUACAGAUUUAAGAGGACGAAUUUGGCUGCAGAUUUGAGGAUCCCAGAGACUCGUUCAUCUUUUACGAUGGUGAACCUAUGCCUUGGAAGAUGGAGGAUAAUAUUCUUACUACAUCAACAACUCCAUCAUCACCACCGCUGAAGAAAGAGACAUAAAUACACGGGUAUGGGCACUCCCCUUGGCAACUGCCAAGCUUGGGGGAGGUGCCCCGGUAUCGUAUCGUAUCACCAUCACACCUUUACUUUUAUCGUUUUUCUUAGUUCAAUCCUUUUGGUUAUAUCUUGAUCUAGUAGAAUAAAAUUUUAGUAUGAUCUAGCUUUGAGUUUUGCUUUGAGAUCUACCUAUGUAAUCGAGUCCGUGAGCUAUAUAAUAAAGAUUAGUUUUGAGUUGAGGGCUUUACUUUCUUGCUAUGAUCUUGAGGGAAUAAAAUAAGAGAAAGAAUAAAAAUAAAUAAACAGAUCAUAUAAUUAUCUUAUGGAGAGUAAUGACUUCACAUAUAAAGAGUAUGAUGAAUAAAAUUUGUUAAGAGUUGACAAACAUAGUUUUGGUCAUUGUUGCAGCUAAAAGGAAGUAAUAAAGAAAGAGAGGUUUCACAUAUAAAUAUACUAUCUUGGACUUAUUUUGUAAUUGUGAGCACUCAUUAAAAUAUGACAUGCCAAAAAGUUGAUGUUGGACAAGGAAGACAACAUAAUGGGUUAUGUUUUCUGAUAUCGGAAUAGAAGUUAUAUUGUCGUGGAUCCUCCAACAUGUUGGGCUUGCUUUUCCCUCUUAUGCUAGCCAAAUCCUUUGCACCAAGUAGAGAUACUACUUGUGCAUCCAAAUAUCCCUUAACCCAAUUUUGCCAUGCGAUUUCACCAUACCUAGCUAUGGAUUGAGUAAGAUCCUUCAAGUAAGUUGUCAACGGUGCAGGCAAUAAAAUUGCUCUCUAAAUAUGUAUGCUCUAUUAGUGUGAAGAAAAUAAGCUUUAUACGAACUUGUGAUAUGGAAGAAAUAAAAGCGACGGACUGCAUAAUAAACUUCUUUAUCACAAGCGGCAAUAUAAAGUGACGUUCUUUCGCAUUAAGAUUUUGUGCAUCCAACCAUAAAAGCGCAUGACAACCUCUGCUUCCCUCUGCGAAGGGCCUAUCUUUUACUUUUAUCUUCUACCCUUAUACAAGAGUCAUGGUGAUCUUCACCUUUCCUUUUUACACUUUUUCCUUUGGCAAGCACUAUGUGUUGGAGAAAGAUCCAGAAAUAUAUAUAUCCACUCGGAUGUAGGUUAUCAUAAAGUAUUAUUGUUGACAUUACCCUUGAGGUAAAAUGUUGGGAGGCAAAACUAUAAGCCCCUAUCUUUCUCUGUGUAUGACUGAGGCUUUGAACCCAUAAGUAUUGCGUGAGUGUUAGCAAUGUUGAAAGACUAAAUGAUAGUUGAGUAUGUGGACUUGCUGAAAAGCUCGUAAAUUGACUCUUUCCGAUGUUAUGAUAAAUUGCAAUUGCUUCAAUGACUGAGAUCAUAGUUUGUUAGUUUUCAAUGAAGUUUUGAUUCAUACUUUACCUUGUGAACGAAUUGUUACUUUAGCAUAAGAAAUUAUAUGACAAUAUAUGUUGUUGUUCUAAAGAUGAUCAUCAUGCCCUCAUGUCCGUAUUUUAUUUUAUCGACACCUCUAUCACUAAACAUGUGGACAUAUUUUUCGAUUUCGGCUUUCGCUUGAGGACAAGUGAGGUCUAAGCUUGGGGGAGUUGAUAUGUCCAUUUUGCAUCAUGCUUUUAUAUUGAUAUUUAUUGCAUUAUGGGCUGUUAUUACCUAUUUUGGUACAAUACUUAUGCCUUUUCUCUCUUAUUUUACAAGGUUUACACGAAGAGGGAGAAUGUCGGCAGCUGGAAAAGGAGCAAAUAUUAUGGACAUAUUCUGCAUAACUCCAAAAGUCCUGAAAAAAAUUUGGAGAGUCAUUUUGGAAUUAAUAAAAUAUAUUGGGCGAAGAAAGCACCAGAGGGGGCCCACCAGCCAUCCUCAAGGGUGGGGGCGCACCCUACCCCCCUGGGCGCGCCCCCUGCCUUGUGGGCUCCCUGGCAGCCGUCCGGUGCCCAUCUACUGCUCUAUGGUGUGUUUUGACCUGGAAAAUAUCAGAAGGAAGCUUUCGGGAGAAGCGUCGCCGUCUCGAGGUGGAACUUGGGAAAAAUCAAUCUAGGGCUCCGGCGGAGCUGUUCUGCCAGGGAAACUUCCCUCCGGGAGUGGGAAACCGAAGCCAUCGUCAUCACCAACGAUCCUCUCAUCGAGAGGGGGUCAAUUUCCAUCAACAUCUUCACCAGCACCAUCUCCUCUCAAACCCUAGUUCAUCUCUUGUAUCCGAUCUUUAUCUCAAAACCUCAAAUUGUUACCUGUGGGUUGCUAGUAGUGUUGAUUACUCCUUGUAGUUGAUGCUAGUUGGUUUAUUUGGUGGAAGAUCAUUUGUUCAGAUCCUGAAUGAUAAUUAAUACUCCUCUGAUUUGAACAUGAAUAUGCUUUGUGAGUAGUUACGUUUGUUCCUGAGGACAUGGGAGAAGUCUUGUUAUAAGUAAUCAUGUGAAUUUGAUAUUCGUUCGAUAUUUUGAUGAGAUGUAUGUUUUCUUUCCUCUAGUGGUGUUAUAUGAACGUCAACUACAUGACACUUCACCAUGAUUUGGGCCUAGGGGAAGGCAUUGGGAAGUAAUAACUAGAUGAUGGGUUGCUAGACUGACAGAAGCUUAAACCCUAGUUUAUGCGUUGCUUCGUAAGGGGCUGAUUUGGAUCCAUAUGUUUCAUACUAUGGUUAGAUUUAUCUUAAUUCUUCUUUCGUAGUUGCGGAUGCUUGCGAGAGGGGUUAAUCAUAAGUGGGAGGCUUUUCCAAGGAAGGCCAACACCCGACCAUCGAUCCACCCACAUAUCAAAUUAUCAAAGUAACGAACGUGAAUCAUAUGAGCAUGAUGAAAAUUAGCUUGACAAUAAUUCUCAUGUGUCCUCGAGAGCGCUUAGUUACUUUUGUUACUUUAGUUAAUCAUAAGAGUUCGUCCAGGCUUGUCCUUUGCUACAAAAAGGAUUGGGCCACCUUGCCGCACCUUAGUUACUUUUGUUACUUGUUACCCGUUAUGAAUUAUCAUAUCACAAAACUAUCUGUUACCGAUAAUUUCAGUGCUUGCAGAGAAUACUUUGCUGAAAACCACUUGUCAUUUCCUUCUGGUCCUCGCUGGGUUCGACACUCUUACUUAUCGAAAGGACUAUGAUAGACCCACUAUACUUGUGGGUCAUCACUACCCAAUACAAUCAAAAGGUCGAUAUGAUGAAGAAGACUAGGCAAUACAUUUGUACAUUAACACUCCCCCUCAGGUGUGGCUCCCUCAGGUCUAAACGUGGAACGAAAGUCGACUGCAAUUUAAUUGCGCUAGCCGCUCUUGAACUCAAGACCUCUUGGCUCUGAUACUAUGUAGAUUGUGCAUGCUCUAGGGAAUGCAACAAAAAAAACUGAUCUGAUGGAAGAGACUAGCCAAUACAUUUAAACGUCAACACGAGUUAAUAUGCAUUCAUAUUCAUAUCGCAUCCGUGUGUAAGUGUGCAUGUGAGAUAUUCCAAAGAACAAAAACAUAUGUAGAAUAUACAAAAGUUCCUCUUGUUGAGCUGGAUUUAACACUGUAAAACUAUGUAUGUCGAAUUUGUUAAGUAAGAGCUUCUACAACCGGAGCUCCCACAUCCAUCUUAAACUUCUUAAAUUGCUUAAUUAGAUCCCUCUGUGUUAGUAUGGUAGGGUCUAAAGGCAAUUGAUAGUAAAACCUAUCACUAAUUGUCAAGCUACCAUCGGGCAAGUGAUUGUGUGACACCCAUGCCGUAUCUUCAACAACAUCAUGAAGCUGCUGGGUGGCACCAACCCACUGUUCAAAAUAUCUUCUGAUUUAGCGAUUUAUCAUCUAAUUUAUCGCUACUCGGGGGUGACCGGUAAGAUUAUACCUUAUCUUCACCGUUUAUCAUUUGGGCUGAUUUAUCGCUCUGAUAAGCGAUUUAUUGGGAAUCUACCGAUAAAGCGGGCCUAUCAUAGCACUAUGCUUGCAAAAACUAUGUUUAUUUGUGUUUGAUGAACCUUGUUAUGCAAUAUGUACUAUUAUUGUAUUUUGUUUGUCAUCAUACGAGGAUUCAAUGGCUAGGAAUCAAGGUAACACUUUAGUCCAAUAUUGUCUUGGUGUUGAAUAUAGCAUAUUUUAGUGUUGGGAGCCUAGGAUUUGUAAAAAAUGACCGAUUAAUAGUCGACAGAUAAAAUCGAUUAUUCGGCCGAUUUCUGAUUAAUCUCUAAUCCCCAGCUGACCGCGACGCUAACGAUAAGUGAUAUCCUCAACAUUGCACCAACCUAUGCAAAGUAGCAGCAUGACCGCACUGUUCGAAACAUAAAAAGGGAAUCACAAAACAACACAAGACAAUGGUUGAUUUCUUUACCCAAUGGGAGAGAUGACACUUUCAUCGGGUUCCAGAGGCCGCCGUCCCUCGCCGCCGUUAUGAUCCAGGGGAAUGGAAGCUGUGGAGGCAACGAGGUAGCGACGGAUCAGCGGGAGGACAUGAAUAGAAGUGGCGGGCGAAAGGGGGUCUACCAACUAAAAUUUAGGGAUGGGUCACUAUCGAGCAUAGCAGGUGAGCCCACAAUGGAGAAAGACACGCAUCAGAAGGGCUAAAUGGAAAUUAUGGCCGUAAUGGCAGCCCCCACAUCGACGGACACUCAAAGAGUCUUGUCGUCAAUAUUGGUGGCCCACAUCGGAGUGGAAAAUGGAAAUUAUGGCACAACGUUGGCCCCCCACAUCGCCCGAAAGGGUCAAUCAAAUCUCCUUGUGGCUGCAUUUGAUGUGGCGAAGUGGUGGGUCCAAAAAGGAAGGAAACAACCCAAAGUUGACGGAGAUGACAUGCAGUGUCAUACACCUAAUUUUUUCACAAUCAUUAGUGGUCUAGACCGAAAUAUGGAAGUUUGAGUGGCAGGACUCGAACAUGCAACUCUGGCAGUGGCACGGGCCGAUUCUUCCCAAAAAUAUAAUAUGAAAACUUUUUCAUGAUGGGUUUGAGGAUAUUGAUUGCUAUCGUACAUUUUAAUAUUUCCUUCUUAUAAACUAGAUCAAAGUGUAAUCAAACAAAACUAAUAUGCACUCUAUUCUGAAAUGAGGGGAGUAAGCCCUACCUAUUAGACAACAUGACCGUGGCUAUUGAUGAUUUUUGGGUACUAGUAAUGUCAUUUGAUAGGAUUGUUUUUGGCAUUUAUUUGGAUAAGUAUAACCUUUAUCCAACCAAAACUGAAACAUAUCAUUUAAUGACAUUAAUUGGAUAAGGAUAACCCCCACAAAGGAUAAGGAUAACCUUGAUGCCACCACAUCUAUAUAAGGCGACUGAAUUGUACCCGUCAUGACCACAAAAACAUACUGGUUGGCAGACUAUUGCAUAACUAUAUAUUUUCUGUUGUUUUGUGUUCUUAGGCAAUGGCGAAAAAUGGCAUCUUUCAAGUGCUCAUUGUUUUUCUCAUGGCGCAAGUCUGCUUGCUCAUGAUGAUAGCAACACCGGUAGCACAUGCAGCUGCUAGACCGGUGGGGUACAAUCCAGUGUGCUGCCCUAGGAACAUCUAUUGUUGCGGGUUCGGUAGCGGAUUGGCCAAUUCACCCGCACCAUCAAUUGUAUCUUGAUGUGUGGUUUUAUUCUCCCUCAAGUAGUAAGCUCGACAUAUAAAUGAUAUAUGCGGUUCAUGUGUUACCUAAUCCUGAAUAUUUGUGAUGCUACUAUCAAGAAGGUAUUGUACUAGUUACUUACAAAAUAAAAUGGGAGGAAAUUAUUAUAUAUCUUUUUUGCAAUAUACUACAAAGAGAUUUAAGCUUAUGUAUACUUUACUCCUUUUGGAAACUAGAUUAUUUGACAGCUUUGAUUUAAAGACCCAAAAAAUGAGUGGCGUGGCAUACACGUUAAACUCAUGAGUCUGUAGUGCGUGCCUUUGGGAAUCUCUGUUUUAUCAUCAUGUUGGUCGUACAUUCCGGCGAGGUCAUCCGUGUCGUGGCAACAUGCUUUAUUUUUCAUUGAGAACAUAAUUUUAAAGCAUUUAUUGGGUAAUGGAGUAUAUCAGCAAUUACUAGCUACCAAAUACUGUUGGGCAGGCUUGUUUGUGAAUUCAGGGAUGCACACUAUGUUUCUUUUUGCAAGAAUGCCAAGUCCAUAUAUUAAAAUUGUCCAAACCUUACAACAUCAUCAUUACAAAAGCAGAAAAUACAGCACAUAUCCUGGUGUAUAUGACCGACGUCUUUCUGCCGCACUCGCACCCCGUGAGCAAAACUCGAUGUCGCGAUUGGAUCCCUAGAACACCCUUAGAACCAGGGCCAAUCAUUCUCUACGUGUUUUACAGUGAGUGCUCGAUUCCUCAAAAAACAAUAAAAAAAAUAUCAUAUGUGAAUACAGCUCUUUGGUCUUUGAUGGAGCACGAAAGGUUUGUUUGUUGUGGAUCCUAUAUGUGUAAUCUAUCUAUCUAUUACUAUACUAACUAGAGAUUACUUAGAAACUCCCACGGCUAUUCAGAAUUACGAAUUGUUCAUCUGGUGGGACCGAGUUUGGCAUUGGGUUUGGUCGAGGACCCGGAAAGGGAAGGGAAAUGAAGUGAAGGCAAAGGACCAGCAGACAAAGAGAAGCGAAGGCCAUGCCAGGAGCUACUCAGUAAGCGCAGGCGGAUUUGACAUUAGAUACCCUUCUUUUAUUACAUACCGCCUCCAAUACUUACUGUAGGCGGUUAUGUUGUUCUAACAGUCUGCGGUGUGUGCAUAUUACAGGUAACUACGUCCCAGUUGAUCACAACCGAUGUUGGUUUCGUGCAUCAACUUGUGAUGAUUGCUUUGUUCAUACUCGCCUUCGGUGAAGUUGGAGUCGGUGGAUCAAGGACGAUAGGUGAUGACGAUGAUGCUUGUGUGCAGCCAUGGCAGUUGAUGUCUUCCUAGUUAAGUGCAGAGUCUAGUUGGUAGCCAGGUUGGACGUUGCAUGUGUAUUGUCAUGUUCCAUGAUGGUUGUCUAUUGGGCAUGUUGUUACGGUUUUUGCUCAAUUAUUUUUAAAUUAAUCAUGUUUUCUUUUUAAUUAAUGAAAAUGUUAAAUAUUUUGCCUCAGCUUAAUAAUAAAAGAGUGCAAAUCUAAGUAACUAUCAUGUACUUCGGGGAACGACGCCAACGAUACAUUUGCACCAAACCACUAGCAUAAUUGGCCUCAUUGCCGAUUGACGCGGCUAGCUCGCUAGGCCAAAAACUGGGAGCGCCCAGACAAAUAGAAGAGAAUUCCUUAUUUGGUCCUUUCUUAAAAUCUGCUUCCCUUUUUGGCCCAAAAUUUUUCACCACAACUUCAUUUUCUUCUUUACACUUCCGAUAUUUUCUAUUAACACCAUGAAGUGCUGAGAUGAAAAUUCCUAUUUACCCUUGAUUUAGCAUGCUGAAAAAACAUAGGAAAACCCGCGUGCGUGAGAACCCUCCCACACGUUCACUCCCCUAUUCUCUCCCCGACUUACUGCGAGAUGCUAGCCCUAACCCUACGACGGCGGCGGAGGGCACACAACGGCGACGACGCGAGGCUGGGAGAGCGGUGUGGAGGAGGGUGUGGCCGAGGUACUUAUGGAUGGUAGGGUGGAAGGCACGAUGGAGGAGGGCCAUGUCGCUGCACCGGUCUCGGCCUCGGGCGGCCAUGGUGGGGCGACGGAGGGGGCAUGGUGGGGCAACGGCUACAGCGCGACUGCUAAGGGGUGGGGCGACGACUACACUUUGGCUGACGCUGAUGUAGGAUCGGUAAGGGCAGAGCUGGGUGCUCGGCCUCGACGACAUGGCUAGAAGGGGGACUCCUCUCUUUCUUCUCUAGAUUUCUCCAAAUAUAACAUAUUACUUUGAGUUCAUUCAUCAUUGGCUAUUUGACGGUUUUGUAUGCAAUAAAUUAAUCACCUCAAUUGUGCAAUAAAUAAAUUAAUCAGUCUUGAUUGAGAUAUGAGAUCACCUCAAUUGUAUUGUAUUCUUAGAGAUGAAUAUUUGCUGUGAGAUCUAAAAUGGAAAAAAAAGUCAAAAACAUUAGUUUGAUACUAUAAAGCAAGUAUGUUCAUAGAUCUUGGAUACUAUAUUUACAGAUAAUACUUUUAUUUAUUUUAAAUAUAAAGCAAGUAUGUUCCAGUUCAUACAUAAUUGAUCUUCCUUUUAAUGUUUGUUGAAAAUAUGCACAUGGGUUUGAUCUGCUUGUGCUACUGUAUAAGGAAGUUGUAGGAGUAGAACGUACUCAUGAUUAGGUUUCUCUUGCUUUUACAGGAUGGAUCCAAAUUCAACUUAUCUGCUGAAAGUAUUCUAAUUUCUUCCUUACCACCAUGGCCAAGGCUUGGAGAACACAAAACUAAGAAAACGGGAAAAUUGACUAACUCUGAAUCUUGAGGAUAAAAAAUGUAACCUAAAAUAUGUUUGAAAAUUGGUUCACAAGUAAUGCAUUGUUUCUAUUAUUUGUUUACUCUACCGUUGCCAUGCAUGCACAUGAUUGUCUCAAGUUAAUCUGGGCCCAUUUUUCAUUGAAGUGAUAUGCCAAACUAGCAAACAAUUGUUCCUUGGAAGGUAAAUGCCAAACGGAAAAGGAAAAAACUUGCUACAGAAAUUGCAAACAUUCCUAUGGUGCUAAAUGACAGCCUUGCGAUGUGCACAAGAAGCAAAAGAUUUAACCCAGCCAGCCCUGCAUUGAGCACGAGAAGCAAAAGAAGGCUUAGCUCGUGAUUAUCUAGUUCAUUACGUGUUUAUUGCAAACUGUUCAUGCGCUCAAUCUAUCAUGUGAGCUUUUGCAUACUGUUUAUUCAAGAUGCUCCUUUUGGAAACUAUUUAUGUGCUCAGCUCAUCAUGUGAGCUUGUGAGCUUUGGUGUUGUUUAUGUGAUGUAUGUGACUUGGAGGUGUUCUAAUUGGGCUUGUGUAUGUGAUGUAUGUCACCUGGUGGUAUUCUAUAUGAAACUGGAUGCUAUGAUAGUUGUGGAUGGUACUUGAUGAGUUACGUGCAUAUGUUGAAGAGUUUGUAGUCGUGUUGUCAUGAUAUUAUAUGAAUUGUGUGCAUAUAUGAAUUGUUGGCAGGGUAUAUGACAAUUUUCUUAUUAAAAUCCAAUGAUUUAACUCUGCAUUGAUCAUAUAAUCUGCUCACAUACUACACUGGGGGGUAAAGCAGUCUUUUUAGGUUCGACUUAACACCUUUAAUGGUCAAAACUGGCGGAAAUGGCACAUAUAGGGAACCAAUUGAAGUUUUAGUGCUAAGAGAAUCUACAGCCGGACUUGGAAAAUUUGGCCCCUCAAACGCUCGCGGGCGCGUUCGGGGGCACUGACCGGUCACACCUCCUAUUUGGUGAUAUGCAUUCAAACACCUCAUUUUCAUCCCCUAAAUCCAUACAAACCAGGCAAAAAAAAUUCCUAUGUAAUACGUACACCACGUUAUUCUAAACUAUGUUUCGCCGUCGGAGAUGUCCACGAUGUCCGUGCCGGACGCCAGGUAGAUGGGCGCGUAGGAGUGCUCCGGCUCCUCCUCCUCUUCCUCAUCCAUAGCCGCAGGCAUCUCGUUGACGUCCGCGGGGUGCUCCGCCUCCGCCUCCUGCAAACCAUCCGCGUUGUGCUCUGUUUUGCCUCCGCCUCCUGCACACGCCGCCGCUUGGCCUCCGCCGCCGAUUCCGACCGGAGAGACUCGAGGAUCGCCUGCAGAUCCACGGCCCCAGCGUCCCCCACAUCCUCCUCCUCCUUCAUCAUGCUCCUCCUCCUCUGGAUCUACCGCAUCCAGGGGUAGCCCCACUGCUAUCUGGGCUUCGUGCCUUGCCAGGACCUGCUCAAGCGAGCCUCAAACGCCCGGGUUGGCCGGCACCCCUCAUAUCCAGCCCAAAUUCGGGGAGAGUAUGGGGGCGAAGACCGCCCCAAACCUGUCUGGGUCAUAUUGUCGUGACCGGGCUGUCCGCUCGGACAUUUGUGACGGGUUUGAGGCGCCCGGCUAUAGAUGCUCGAAAAAGGAAAGCAUUCUCUUUCGAGUGCCAAAAAGGAAAGUAAAUUUUCAGAAAGCGUCAAAUAAGAAAUUCUCUCCAUAAACAGAUGUGAGGGCAUGUACAAUGGUUGAUAAGAUAGUCGUAUCUUAUGUCUUACAUGUAAUUUAGAGAUGCCAAAAAAAUGUCUACAAUGGGUCAUCUCUUAGUCUUAUCUACAAUAACUAGUUAUUCCUAAAAAUGUGGUGAAACAUAUUGUGCUAAGAGAUCAUCUCUUAUCUUCUUUUAAAUAAGAGAAGACAAGUCUUUUUUAUGAGUUAUAUCUCCUCCACCUCAUUAUUUAUCCUACAUGGCGCUGUACAUGGCCUGAAAAGAAAACGGACACGGCACUCACGCACAUGCUCCUACGUACGUGUUAUCCUACUCACCAACACGCUGCCUGCUAGCAAUCGAUGCCUCCUCUUAUCCGGUGCCGAGUGUAGUGGAGCGCCCGCCCAUCACAUGCUCGGUUUUCUAUAUGACCAACGAGCCGGCGCCACCUGUGCUCUGCCGCAGCGCCGGCCAUCCCGUCUGCCCGCCGGUACCACCGCCCGUCUCAAAACCACGGUCUCGCUUCCCACUGUAUCAAAUCGCCUUUCUCCCCGCCCGCUGGUUGCGCGGUUUCCUGCAACCUAUAAAUCGAGCCGGAGAACCUCACCUGUCCAUCCAUCUCAUCUCAUCCAACUCACACUACUACUGAUCUCAGCUAGGUGUACUUGAGUUCACUAGCUAGCUCUCUCCCACGAAGAUGUCUACGGUGACUCGUGCCCACCUCGACCAGAGGCUCGCCGCCGCCAAGCGCUGCUCCAAAGGUAACCAAAACGAUAUCAUGUCGUGCCGGUCCUCAAGGGCACAUUGCAGCUUUCUGUACAAUCUCUGCUGAAAUUUGAUCGUGACUAAAAUGUAUCUGUUGAUUCGGAACUGCAGAGGCUGCCAUGGCGGGAGCCAAGGCCGCGGCCGUCGCCACCGUCGCUGCCGCAGUCCCCACGGUAAGUUGCCAUUCAGUUCUUCGAUGAAAUCCUUGCACGGUUCAUAGCAUGUCUCAUGAAUGCGUUACCUGUAACUUCAGCUGGCGAGCGUGAGGAUGCUGCCGUGGGCCAAGGCACACCUGAACCCCACCGGGCAGGCGCUUAUCAUCUCCACCGUCGCCGGGAUGGCCUACUUCAUCGUCGCCGACAAGACCAUCCUCUCCAUGGCCAGGAAGCACUCCUUCGACGACGCGCCGGAGCACCUCAAGAACACCUCCUUCCACUAAUUAGACUAUAAUAGUAGAUCCAUUAGUAGUGCGCAAUAAACUGCAAGCACUUAUCUGAUAAUGAUGUUCAGCCAGCUGAGAAGCGACGACUUAUCUGAUGAUGCGUGCAAGCACUUAUCUGAUUAUGUACUAAUAAUGUAGCCGUGUAUCUUACUACUAUCUUUCCACUUAUCUGAUUAUGUACUAAUAAUGUAGCCGUGUAUCUUACUACUAUCUUUCCAGAGAUCUUGAACUAAUAAAGAUUAAAGACUAGUUUUUGUACAACUUUGGUUCAAGUGACCCUUUUCAUGUUUGGGAUUACCAUUUGACAUGUGUCAUACUGCCAUAGCAUUGCAAAAGCCCGCUACACUAUUUCAUUCGUUCGAUCCCCUGCUCCUCCCCUGUUCGAGAUCUCUGUUUCCGGCUUCGUGCUGGCGGCGUGCUGGGCGACGAUGGUGGCACAGUGGCGGUUGGAGGCCGGAUCUGGCCGAUGCGGAUCGAUUUGGCUCGUCGGCGUUGCUGGCGUGAAGUUCCCGGUUUUGGUGGAAGCGGCUUCGGCUGGGGGGUGGUGCGCGCGUCUGGGCGUGGUGGGUCGUGGGAUCCCACAGCCAGCGCGAGGUUGGCCUCGGCAGGAUGGUGUUUGUUGGCUGCGUUGAUGCGGGCAGGUGGUGGUUGAGCAUUUCCGGGGGAAAUCCUAUGUCCGGCCUUGGCUGGAUCCGAGGGCGACGCCCGCGGGCGUCGUGCUCUUUCUUGAAAGCGUUGCUGUUGUGUGGUGCUCCUCCUCCCUCCCCGCGGCCUUGGCUCCGGAGGGAAAUUUCGGAUCUUCGGGAUCGGGCGAUGAAGGCGCCUUCACGUCUUUUUCCUCCUUGGGGGCAUCGUCUUGGAGUCGGCCACAACCUGGAGACCAGUGGAUGGCGGCAUCUUUGCCGCGUGGGUUGCGGCAUCUUCGCCGCAUGGUUUUGCGGCAUCUUCGCUGCGUGGUUUGCGGCAUCUUCGCCGCGUGGUUUGCCGAGGCAGCCAUUUCGGGGGCGCUGAUUCCUGUUUGGCAAUGACGAUGGCGCCGAGAGGAGCUUUGGUCGCGGCUCGGGCUUCGGUAGUCGGAUCUUCCCAGCGUGUCCGAGGUGCUCUUCCGUUGGUUGCUUGGUUGCUUUGAAGUCGGAGCUGCGGUGGAGUGUGUCCAUGCGGUGACGAUGACAGGCGCUCAGUGGUCGGUUACAGAGGGCACGGUCAGCGCAAGUCCUGCAUAUUUCCCUUGUGAUGAUCGUCGUCUGAGUCGGAGCUGUCGGUUGUUCGCGCGUGCGGUCUUCUGUUGGCAUGUGCCAUCAUGGUUUCUGUGCAGCUGUUUGUAGCUAUGUGAUCCCAUGUCGGUGGCCAGGUUGACCGGUGGUACCCAUGUUAUGUGGGUUGGAUUGUAUCGGUUUUAUCCUGGUUUCCCGUCAAUUAACCGGGCAAUUCUCACUCCUUAAUCAAUGAAAACGGCACAUCUUUUGCCUAGUUUCAAAAAAAAGAAAUGCACGUUAAAUCUUGGACUCAACAAGAAAUGUGAUGUCAGAUUUUUUUUACAAUCGCAAAUUAAUUUUUUUAUGUCGAUUUAUGUUUACCAUUGAUGGCAAGUUUAGUUGGACAAAUCCGUCCCAGUUCAUUUUCUCCCAGAAAAUUGCCGUGCUUGCAAAAAUAAAUUAGCUAUCCUCGCGCUAACAUAAUUUUUUAUAGAAGCGUUUGAUUUGUCAUGUUUAAAAUCUAACAUCAAAUUUUUAACAUUACCGUAAAUCUUUUGAUACGCUUUAAUAGAAUGGGUUGAAAAAUAAGAAUAAUCUAUAUCUAUACCUAUACCUACUAUUAAAGGGAAUAGGUAUUCUUGGUUUGGUCCCUCUUUGGUUCGUCCCGUUUUUUCGUAUCUUUGCCCGUCCGUCUUUCCUUUUCUCGUAAGUCAAGAGUGCCUUUGUACGUCACGAUCAAUUGUAUUGGGCUUCUGGUCUGUUCACCCAUCGCUUGGCUGGGCCUCAGCCCGUUAAAUUAAACACGGCUGAACCGUGCGCUGUAAGCUGGCCCAGCUACCAGGCCUGCCGCGCGCUAUAAGCCGGCCCAACUACACUGGCAGCCCAGGCAAAAAAUAAGCGUUUCAUCAUGGGUUUUGAACACAUGACCUGUGCUCUAUCCAUAGAUGGUACGUAACAUCUAGCUACGUCAUUUUUUUGUUAGAUAGAUAUGCAAAGGUUAGUUUUGUUUAGUCCCACCUCGGUUUCUUGCACACAAUACAACCAGUUUAUAUACAUUUUUAAGUUUCCUGGUUAUCAAGGAGUUAUCCCAGGAAAUAAAGAAAGAAGAAUUCAAUGUUUUCAAGGCGUGGUGUGUGAUGAGUGGCUACACAAUUCUAGCAGACAUUGCACAAAUCAAUCGUAUCAUUAUGUUGAAUUAACAAGUCUAACAUCAGUUCUGAACUUCCGAUGAAUUCAAUCAUUGUCAGUCAACUAAGGUUGGCCCUCGGCCCCCAGAGAGCAUGCCGCAAAAAAAAAGAUGGUGACCCCCUUCCUACAAAUUAGGGGAGGGGCUCUUUUGUGUAGAAAAAUAACUUGCAUCCGAAAUGUGAAAUAUUUAGAGCAUUUCUAGUAAUACCUCUAAACCCUCAAAAAUAACCGCUUUUUACGGGUUGAGACGAAAAUUUCCUAAAGAAUAGAACCCUUAACCCUUAAACCCUCAAAAAAAUUUAGAGGCUCAACCCCUAUUCUCCUUCCCAGCCUGUAGAAACAGGGGUUGGCCAGCCCAACCCCUCCCCCACCCGGUUCCAUCGCCAACGACGCGCGGGAGCGAAUUUUCAGCUCCCCCUCCCCGGAUAAGGCCGCCCUCCCGCCGCGCCGCGCCCCGGCGCUCCAUCCCCGGCCGCCCCNNNNNNNNNNNNNNNNNNNNNNNNNNNNNNNNNNNNNNNNNNNNNNNNNNNNNNNNNNNNNNNNNNNNNNNNNNNNNNNNNNNNNNNNNNNNNNNNNNNNNNNNNNNNNNNNNNNNNNNNNNNNNNNNNNNNNNNNNNNNNNNNNNNNNNNNNNNNNNNNNNNNNNNNNNNNNNNNNNNNNNNNNNNNNNNNNNNNNNNNNNNNNNNNNNNNNNNNNNNNNNNNNNNNNNNNNNNNNNNNNNNNNNNNNNNNNNNNNNNNNNNNNNNNNNNNNNNNNNNNNNNNNNNNNNNNNNNNNNNNNNNNNNNNNNNNNNNNNNNNNNNNNNNNNNNNNNNNNNNNNNNNNNNNNNNNNNNNNNNNNNNNNNNNNNNNNNNNNNNNNNNNNNNNNNNNNNNNNNNNNNNNNNNNNNNNNNNNNNNNNNNNNNNNNNCCGUCCAAGCCGCGCCCCGGCCGCCCUCCCGCCGGCCGCCUCCGCCGCCUCCUCCGAGGCGAGGUAUGUGCUUUUUUUCAUUUUGUUUUAUUUUUUAUUGUUUCAUUUUUUAGCACUAAUUAGUGACUGUCCUUUGCAGAUGGAGAUGAACAAUGAGGAGAUUGUCAUGGACUCGAUGUCCGAUUCGUCGGAUUGGUCGACAUCCGACGAUUCCGACAUUUAUGAGUUGUUGCAAGACGACGAUGUCGAGAUGAUGAGCCUCCUCAUCGACGUGCAAUCGUUUGAAAACCGCGUGAAGCUGAUGGAUCAGAGGAGAGGGUCGAAGAUGGGGCGAGUCACCAUCUACCGGAACCGCGCUCUCGGACACGAGCAUUUGAUGGAAGACUACUUCGCGGAGGUACCUACAUACCCUCCUCGUCUCUUCCGCAGAAGGUACCGAAUGCGGCGUAGUUUGUUUGUGAAGAUUGUCACCGAUUGUGAGGCCGCCUCCUAUUACUUUAAACGUCGUAGAUCCGCCGCCGGUAUCAUGUGGUUUAGUGCAUAUCAAAAGAUAUCGGCGGCAAUGCGGGUACUCGCUUAUGGCAUACCCGCGGAUUAUACCGACGAGUAUCUUCGCAUUGGGCAAGAUACAACUACGGAGUCAGUCCGUAGGUUUGCCAAGUUGGUCAUCCGGUUGUACGGUGAGCAGUAUCUUCGGGCACCAAACAAGGAAGAUACAAAGAGAUUAAUGGAAAUGAAUGAAAAAAGGGGAUGCCCGGGGAUGCUUGGUAGUCUUGAUUGCAUGCAUUGGAGGUGGAAAAAUUGCCCAAAGGCAUGGCACGGAAUGUAUUGCGGUAAAAGCCGUGAUGCUACCAUUGUGCUUGAGGCCGUAGCAUCUCAGGACACAUGGAUUUGGCAUGCAUUCUUUGGGUUGCCGGGAACACUCAAUGAUAUCAAUAUCCUCAAUAGAUCUCCUUUGUUCAAAAGAUUAAUUUCUAGGGAUGCUCCAGCUUGCAACUACAAAAUCAUGGACAAUGAGUACUCAAUGGGAUACUAUCUCACCGAUGGCAUCUAUCCCGAAUGGGCAACUCUUGUGAAGUCCAUCAAGGAGAAAAAUGGGGUGCCCUUAACAAGAAAAGAGGCUCAUUUCACCAAGGCACAAGAGGCAGCCCACAAGGAUAUUGAGAGAGCUUUCGGUGUUUUGCAAGCAAGGUUUGCCAUAGUUCGUGGUCCAGCUCGGUUUUGGGACAAAAAAACCUUGGUGAACAUCAUGAAAUGUUGUGUGAUUCUACACAACAUGAUCCUAGAGGAUGAGAGAGGGUUAAACCUCCCUUGUUUCUAUGACAAUGUUGGUACCCGUGUGCAACCGGAAAGAAACCCUUCUCGCAUACACGCUUUUCUUCAAGCACAUCGUGAGAUUGAGGAUGCAACCACUCAUGGUCGGCUCCGGGAUGAUCUAGUAGAGCACCACUGGCAGUUGGAUGGGCGGCGCAUUGGCCCAUGAUGUAUCUUUGUUUUACUUUUCUAUGUCCUAUUUGAUUCGAACAAUUAGUGUAAUUUGCUCAAACAUUGUUGUAAUAAUUUGAAUGAUUAUUGUUUUAUUCGGUGUUGUAAUAAUAACUAGAAUGAUUAUUGUUUUAUGUCAAAUGUGAUGGAAUUUGUGAUAUGUCAUAUGAUGAAAUGUGAUGAAAUGUGUGAUAUAUGAAAUGACAGUUUUAAAGGUUGGGGUUGAGGCAAAGACUAGAACCCUCAAAUCCAACCCUUAAAGCAGUUUAAGAGUUGGGUUUGAGGGUUCUAGUCUUUGCCCCUGUUUUUCAACCCUUAAAAGUGUCAAAAACUAGCACUUCUCAACCCUUAAAACUGCUAUAAGGGUUUGAGGGUUCUACUAGUAAUGCUCUUAUACAAAGAGGGAGAGAUGAAGACAAUGCAGCAGGGUUGGUUAUCUAAUUGGCUAGUCAAACAUGAGGUGGUUCAUAGAUCUUUGGUCAUUAUGUUGAAUUAACAAGUCUAACAUCAGUUCUGAACUUCCGAUGAAUUCAAUUAUUGUGUUGCAAACUGUGAAGACCCAUCAGCAUAGAGAACAUCCAGUACAACAAUAAACAUAAUAUUAUACAACGAUCAUAGUGGUUAACUUAUUAUUUUCAGCGUUUUUUUUUCUGGAACACCAAUGCACAGGCACCGUCUGUUAUAUCUAAGCAACGACCCACAACGGCCAUAUGAAACAACAUAAUCUACACCCCAAAUGAAGCGACCUUGUUUCCAAUUAAGAUUUUUAUAAUCUACAGUUUUUUUUAGAAAAGGAGGAUGACCCCCGGCCUCUGCAUCUGGGCGAUGCAUACGGCCACUUUAUUAAUUAUUCUCACAAGACCUUACAAAGCCAAACAAGAGCAAGACUACAGCCACCGUCUAAGCAACAACUGUUGCUAUACCUAUCCAAUUGAUGAAGGGGCGCAGAUAGUCUGGGCCUAAUACUAAACAGACAUCGUAGCCAAACCUAAACAUCUAAGACCUGAGGUCCCAACCAGGACGCCUGCCUGGUAUGGGGCACCUACCAAUCCGGCGCACUCCUCAACCAGGACGCCUGCCGGGUAUGAGGCCGCCGCAGCCACCUGCCAUCAAUCCAUCUUCAGAGCUGUACUGUUGCAUGUACCGUGUCAGGUCUCUCUGCCAUCGACGCCAGCACGAUGUCCGACAGCGUCAUCCUCCUGCGCGAGUGCAUCCUCCCACAGCGAACUCCGAAUCUGCACUGCGCCACGCCGUCAAGAUCCGUCGCCAUCAAUGUGUAGGAUGAAUCACCGCUCCACCAAAGAAUCCGUCCUCUGGUCCCUCGAUCACGUGUGUACCUCCAAGAAUGACGCCCCCAAGGGAGGAACGACACCAGAGCGCCGCCGACAUCCGAUCAUCCGAUCUAGGGUUUCCCCCGAAGGUAGCAGAGAGUGGCCUUGAACUUCUCCACGGCGAUGCCUUCAAGAAGGGAACGACGCAGAUAGCGCCGCCACCGCCGGCCUUAGCAGACGCCAAAGGCAAGUUUUCACCCAGAUCAGUUCGAAGGGAUCCAGCUCUCGUGCAUGGGCCGCCGUCACCAUCAGCACCACCAGGCAGAAUACGGGAGCACCGGCAGAUCAGCGAGUCGCCGGCACCACCGCAUCCAGAUCGCCGGCCACACCGGGCCGCCGCCAUCCCCCGCGUCGUCCGGAUCAGAGACGGAGCCGCCUACCGCGCAUAGGGACCACCGCCGCUUGCACACGCCGGAACGCCGCCGAGAGCCCAGCGCCCGCCACCACUUGCCGAGGGCCGCCGCCGCGCGCCCCGAGCGGACUCCCACGCACACCAGGGGAAGCCACGAGCGUGAUCCCUGCCGUCGCCCCCAAGCCCGCGCCGGCGCGGCCCGCCUCCAGCGCGUCGCCAACAACCUGCCGCGAUCCACGGGCGCCAGAUCCAGCGAUUCGUGGGAGAAGAGAUCCCGCCGCCGCCGACGCCGACCGGGCUUUGCCUGGCGGCGCGCCCCGGCGGCGGCGAGGAGGAGAGGUCGGGAGAGGCAGGGGCGACACGGGACGAGUCGGGAGUGUUAGAAAGAGUUAUGUAUACGGUAUACGGUAUUCUAUAAACCGCAUAUGCCCGUAGAGAGGUAGAUCACGUGCGUGUGUUCUGUUGUAAUCUAGGUAGUUAGGUUGUUAGGGUUUAUCCUCAGAUCUUGUAUAGGUUUUCUUGAGGAUCAAUCCAUAACCUAACUACCGCACCUUGUAUCCUAUCCUUGGCUAUAUAACAUGUACGCGUCCCUGCCCAAAGGCAUACGCUUCCACGCAAUCUUUCAUGGUAUUCAGAGCCUAGUUCCUCUACCGCAUCCAAUCUAAUAGUCAUGGCUAGCUCCAGCACCGCCGCCGCUCCAUACGCCCUCAUUCCCAUUGCUGAUACGAUUCACCGCGGCAACUAUCUCGUGUGGCGCGCGCAGGCUUUAGCUACCAUCUGCGGAGCCCAACUGAUCGACCACCUCAACCCCGAUCACCCGUUCCCGGAGCCCAAGCUUGCCGACAAGGAUGGCAAGCCCACCGAUGUGCCGAACCCGGCGCAUCACAUCGCUCUGGCGCAAGACUCCCAGGUGCUAAGUUUUAUGUUCAAUUCAAUCUCUGCUCCUGUGAUGAUCCAAGUCGCCCACUGCACCAAGGCCGCCGCGGCGUGGACCACGAUCAGGGAGAUGUUUCUCUCCCAGACGCAGGCCAACAUCGUCAACACGCGGAUCACCCUCUCCACCACCAAAAAGGGCACCGUGACCAUCGCCGCGUACAUCGGGCGCAUGAAAGCGCUAGGCGGCGAGAUGGCUUCAGCAGGGAAGCCGCUCGACAAUGAUGACAUAGUCUCCUACAUCCUCGCUGGAGUCGACUUCGACUACAUCUCGUUCGUCUCGUCCAUCUGCGCUGCAAGAACCGAGCCCAUCAAGGUAGCUGAACUUUAUUCUCAACUGAUCAGUUUUGAAAAGCGUCUUGCCAUGUUUGAAGGAGGAAACCAGUCCUCUCAAUCCUCGGCCAACGCCGUGUCUCGUGGCCGUGGUGGUUUCGGUCGCGGAAGCGGCCGUGGCAAUGGUAGCCGUGGCAACGGAGGUGGUCACCGCAAUGGAGGCCGUGGCAAUGGAGGUGGUGGCCGCGACAAUGCAGGCCGUGGCAACGGCAAUGGAGGAGGCAAUGAUCUCCCUGAGGUUGUCUGCCAGAUCUGCAAGAAGCCAAACCACACCGCCGUCGAGUGCUACCGCCGCUUCGACAUCUCCUUCGCCAAGAACGAGAAAAGUGCAGGAUCGGCCACCACCUCGUCCUAUGGAGUGGACACGAACUGGUACCUCGACACGGGGGCCACAGACCACCUCACCAGCGAGCUCGACAAGUUGACCGUCCGCAACAAGUACAACGGCAACGAGCAAGUCCAUACUGCAAACGGAGAAGGUAUGGAAAUUUGUCAUAUUGGUCAAUCCACUGUUCGAACCCCCACUCGUGAUCUUCAUCUUAAAAACAUAUUGCAUGUACCCGAUGACACCAAGAAUCUUAUUUCAGCUCAUCGCUUAUCCACUGACAACAAUACCUUUCUUGAAGUUCACCCAUGUUUCUUUUUCGUUAAGGAACAGGGAACGAGGAGAACCCUUCUCCAAGGCAGGUGUAGACAUGGUCUCUACCCCCUAUCAUCGACUCCGUUGAAUUCUAGCAAGCAGGAAUUUGGUGUCAAAAGUGUCCACGGACAGGUGGCACAGUCGGCUAGGGCAUCCUUCAUCAACCAUAGUUCGUCAUGUCCUUAGCCACAACAACAUUCCCUUUUCAAGUAGUGAGUUGAAUAAAGAAGGCAUUUGUGAUGCUUGCCAAUUGGGCAAGAGCCACCAACUACCUUAUCCUAGUUCGUUCAGUGUAUCUAAAGCUCCUUUAGAGCAAAUUUUCUCUGAUGUAUGGGGGCCUGCCCGUGAUUCUAUCAAUAGGAAAAACUAUUAUGUGUCCUUUAUUGAUGAUUAUAGCAAAUUCACAUGGAUCUAUCUUCUUAAGCAUAAGUCUGAAGUUUUUAAGAUCUUUCAUGAAUUUCAAGCAUUAGUUGAAAGGUUGUUCAAUAGGAAAAUUAUCACCAUGCAGACAGACUGGGUUGGCGAGUAUGAACGUCUAAAUUCCUUUUUUCGCCAACUAGGAAUCACCCACCAUGUCUCCUGUCCACAUGCUCAUCAGCAGAACGGAUCAACUGAAAGAAAACAUCGUCCCAUCGUAGAUGUGGGUCUUUCUCUCUUGGCUCAUGCCUCCAUGCCUCUCAAAUUUUGGGAUGAGGCUUUUCUCUCUGCCACAUAUCUGAUAAAUCGCACCCCUAGUAAAGGUGAUCAACUAUGAAACUCCCUUGGGCCGUCUGUUUCAUGAACAACCAAACUACCAUUCACUUCGAGUCUUUGGGUGUGCUUGUUGGCCCAAUCUCCGUCCCUAUAAUUCUAAAAAAUUAGGAUUCCGAUCCAAACAAUGUGUUUUCCUCGGAUACAGUAAUCUUCACAAAGGCUUUAAAUGUCUUGAUGUUGCUGUUGGCCAAGUUUACAUAUCCAGGGAUGUCAUCUUUGAUGAAACGGUUUUUCCUUUCAAGGCCUUAAACCCUAAUGCAGGCACUCCCCUUCGAUCUAAGAUUUUGUUGCUACCUGAAAUUACACCUUCUGAGACUAUUGAUCAUGGGGGUGAACAUGUGCUUGAUCAACAUGCAAAAUUUCCUGCUAAUUCUGGUGAAAAUCCAGCUCCUAUGCGUCAUUUAUGCAGGCAGUACAGGACAAAAAUGGCGCAGAGCACGGAGGAGAUUCAGGUGCUGCCGCCGCUGAUCCUGAGGAUGACAGCGCAGGUGCAGGCGGCAGCCCAGGCGAAUCUGCCUCGGAUCGCACCCCUCCCAGGGGACGUGUGGGCGCGUCGGGCGCCGGUUCCCCAGGUGGGCCAAGCCCUGAUGGGCACAUGGUGCAGGACCAGCUGACCGGUCCCUCGCGCCGCACGCUGCCUCAUGAUGACCGCCAGGUGGACCAACCUGGUGCGGGGGCGUCGGCCAGCGCAUAAGUGACAAGGCGGGAUGUCGGAUCUCCUAGUGUUGACGACGGGAUCGACAUGGGAUCCCGUGCAACUGACGGCAUGAUCGAUGUGGGAUCCCAUGCGGCUGUGAUUCCCUCGGUCGGAUCUUCUGCGGCGCAGUCUGCUCCUGAUGUGCCGUCUCGGAGGACAAGAUCGUGAUAACCCACAAGUAUAGGGGAUCGCAACAGUUUUCGAGGGUAGAGUAUUCAACCCAAAUUUAUUGAUUCGACACAAGGGGAGCCAAAGAAUAUUCUCAAGUAUUAGCAGUUGAGUUGUCAAUUCAACCACACCUGGAUAACUUAGUAUCUGCAGCAAAGUAUUUAGUAGCAAAGUAAUAUGAUAGUAGUGGUAACGGUAACAAAGGUAACAGUAGCAAAAGUAAUAAUUUUGGUGUUUUGUAGUGAUUGUAACAGUAGCAACGGAAAGUAAAUAAGCGAAGAACAAUAUAUGAAAAGCUCGUAGGCAUUGGAUCGGUGAUGGAGAAUUAUGCCGGAUGCGGUUCAUCAUGUAACAGUCAUAACAUAGCGUGACACAGAACUAGCUCCAAUUCAUGAAUGUAAUGUAGGCAUGUAUUCCGAAUAUAGUCAUACGUGCUUAUGGAAAAGAACCUGCAUGACAUCUUUUGUCCUACCCUCCCGUGGCGGCGGGGUCCUAAUGGAAACUAAGGGAUAUUAAGGCCUCCUUUUAAUAGAGUACCGGAAUAAAGCAUUAGCACAUAGUGAAUACAUGAACUCCUCAAACUAUGGUCAUCACCGGGAGUGGUCCCGAUUAUUGUCACUUCGGGGUUGCCGGAUCAUAACACAUAGUAGGUGACUAUAGACUUGCAAGAUAGGAUCAAGAACUCACAUAUAUUCAUGAAAACAUAAUAGGUUCAGAUCUGAAAUCAUGGCACUCGGGCCCUAGUGACAAGCAUUAAGCAUAGCAACAUCAAUCUCAGAACAUAGUGGAUACUAGGGAUCAAACCCUAACAAAACUAACUCGAUUACAUGAUAGAUCUCAGCCAACCCAUCGCCGUACAGCAAGCCUACGAUGGAAUUACUCACGCACGGCGGUGAGCAUCAUGAAAUUGAUGAUGGAGGAUGGUUGAUGAUGACGACGGCGAUGAAUCCCCCUCUCCGGAGCCCCGAACGGACUCCAAAUCAGCCCUCCCGGGAGGUUUUAGGGCUUGGCGGCGGCUCCGUAUUGUAAAACGCGAUGAAUUCUUCUCUCUGAUUUUUUCUCCCCGAAAGCAAAUAUAUAGAGUUGGAGUUGAGGUCGGAGGAGCUCCAGGGGACCCACGAGGUAGGGGGGCGCGCCCUCCACCCUCAUGGACAGGGUGUGGGCCCCCUGGUCUUCAUCUUUUGCAAGGAUUUUUUUAUUAUUUCUAAAUAGACGUUCCAUGGAGUUUCAGGUCAUUCCGAUAACUUUUGUUUCUGCACAUAAAUAACACCAUGGAAAGUCUCCUGAAAACAGCGUCAGUCCGGGUUAGUUCCAUUCAAAUCAUGCAAGUUAGAGUCCAAAACAAGGGCAAAAGUGUUUGGAAAAGUAGAUACGACGGAGACGUAUCAACUCCCCCAAGCUUAAACCUUUGCUUGUACUCAAGCAAUUCAGUUGAUAAACUGAAAGUGAUAAAGAAAAACUUUUACAAACUCUGUUUGCUCUUGUUGUUGUAAAUAUGUAAAGCCAGCAUUCAAGUUUUCAGCAAAGAUUAUGAUUAACCACAUUCACAAUAACUCUUAGGUCUCAUGUUUACUCAUGUCAAUGGCAUAAUCAACUAGCGAGCGAUAAUAAUAAAUCUCGGAUGACAACACUUUCUCAAAACAAUCAUGAUAUGAUAUAACAAGAUGGUAUCUCGCUAGCCCUUUCUGAGACCGUAAAACAUAAAUGCAGAGCACCUUUAAAGAUCAAGGACUGACUAGACAUUGUAAUUCAUGGUAAAAGAGAUCCAGUCAUAGUCAUACCCAAUAUAAAUUAAUAGUAAUGAAUGCAAAUGACAGCUGCGCUCUCCAGCCAGUGCUUUUUAAUAAGAGGGUGAUGACUCAACAUGAAAGUAAAUAGAUAGGCCCUUCGCAGAGGGAAGCAGGGAUUUGUAGAGGUGCCAGAGCUCGAUUUUGAAAUAGAGAUAAAUAAUAUUUUGAGCGACAUACUUUCAUUGUCAACAUAACAACCAAGAGAUGGCGAUAUCUUCCAUGCUACACACAUUAUAGGCGGUUCCCAAUCAGAAUGGUAAAGUUUAUACUCCCCCUCCACCAACAAGCAUCAAUCCAUGACUUGCUCGAAACAACGAGUGUCUCCAACUAGCAACAGUCCCAGGGGGAGUUUUGUUUGCAAUUAUUUUGAUUUAGUUUGCAUAAAGCAUGUGACUAGGCAUCCCGGUGACCAGCCAUUUUCUCGUGAAUGAGGAGCGGAGUCCACUCCUCUUGAGAAUAACCCGUCUAGCAUGGAAGAUACGGACAGCCCUAGUUGAUACAUGAGCUAUUCGAGCAUACAAAACAGAAUGUUUAUUUGAAGGUUUAGAGUUUGGCACAUACAAAUUUACUUGGAACGGCAGGUAGAUACUGCAUAUAGAAAGGUAUAGUGGACUCAUAUGGAAUAACUUUGGGGUUUAAGGGAUUGGAUGCACAAGCAGUAUUCCCGCUUAGUACAAGUGAAGGCUAGCAAAAGACUGGGAAACGACCAACUAGAGAGCGACAACAGUCAUGAACGUGCAUUAAAAUUAAUAAACAUUGAGUACAAUCAUGAGUAGGAUAUAAUCCACCAUGAACAUAAAUAUCGUGAAGGCUAUGUUGAUUUGUUUCAACUACAUGUGUGAACAUGUGCCAAGUCGAGUCACUUAAAUCAUUCAAAGGAGGAUACCACCCCACUAUACCACAUCACAACCAUUUUAAUAGCAUGUUGGCACGCAAGGUAAACCAUUAUAACUCGUAGAUAAUCAAACAUGGCGCAAGCAACUAUGAUCUCUAAUUGUCAUUGCAAACAUGUUUAUUCAUAAUAAGCUGAAUCAGGAACGACGAACUCAUCAUAUUUACAAAAACAAGAGAGGUCGAGUUCAUACCAGCUUUUCUCAUCUCAGUCAGUCCAUCAUAUAUCAUCAUAAUUGCCUUUCACUUGCACGACCGAACAAUGUGAAUAAUAAUAAGAGUGCACGUGCAUUGGACUAAGCUGGAAUCUGCGAGCAUUCAAUAAACAGGAGAAGACAAGGAAAUAUGGGCUCUUGGUUAAAUCAACAAUAAUGCAUAUAAGAGCCACUUCAACAAUUUAAUCAUGGUAUUCUCCUACGACCCCCAAAGAAAAGAAAAGAAAUAAAACUAUUUACACGGGAAAGCUCCCAACAAACAAAAGAAGAACAAGAAAUCUUUUUGGGUUUUCUUUUUAAUUAUUACUACUACAGCAAGAAAAGUAAACUAACUAAAACUUACACUAUUUUUUUUGUUUUUCUUAAAGUUUAUUAAACACACAAGAAGAAAGCAGGAAAAAGAAAAUAAACUAGCAUGGAUAUUACAGUGAAAGAGUAUGAGCACCGACAUCUAGCAAUGAGUGUGUGAACAUGAAUGUAAUGUCGGUGAGAAGUACGUACUCCCCCAAGCUUAGGCUUUUGGCCUAAGUUGGUUUAUUGCCAAGGAUGGCCUGGCAGAUAUCCGUAGUUGUAGCUGGGGUCGUACUGAGAUGAAGAGGACUCUGACUGCCACUGGCUGGCAGUCAUCUCCGGAUCCCAAAAGUAAUCAAACUGUCGUGGAGGUUCAAAUUGUGGUUCCGGCUCCGGGGCUGGUGUAGGAUUCCGGUAAGCGUAAAUGGCCGCCCACGGAACGAGAUACAGACCUUCAGAUAAAUUAAACAAGGAAGGAGCAGUCAAGGUAAUAGUCUCAGGGUGAUGUUUAACAAAGAACAACUUGUAUUUAAGCUCCCCUUCCUUGUUCUUAACAAUAAAGUCAUGCGUUACCAUACUCUUAUAAUCUAAAUAAGCAUUGGGCAGCAAUUUUUUUCUUUCUCAUAGUGCCUAAUAGGUAUGUUAUAAUGUGCAGCAAGGCGUGAAACAUAAAUACCUCCAAAGAUGGGACCCUUAGUACGAUUCAAACUUAACCGUUUAGCAAUAAUACCGUCCAUACUAACAGUGUUAUCAGAAAAUAAACCAUGGAACAAAAUGAUAAUAUCAGGAACACUAAGGUUUCCACAGUUUCCACGACCAAUCAGGCAACGACUAGCAAAUAUGGCAAAGUAGCGUAAAACAGGAAAAUGUAUGCUAGUGAUUCUUUACGAUAGAGGAUCGCAACAGUUUUCGAGGAUAGAGUAUUCAACCCAAAUUUAUUGAUUCGACACAAGGGGAGCCAAAGAAUAUUCUCAAGUAUUAGCAGUUGAGUUGUCAAUUCAACCACACCUGGAUAACUUAGUAUCUGCAGCAAAGUAUUUAGUAGCAAAGUAAUAUGAUAGUAGUGGUAACGGUAACAAAGGUAACAGUAGCAAAAGUAAUAUUUUUGGUGUUUUGUAGUGAUUGUAACAGUAGCAACGGAAAAGUAAAUAAGCGAAGAACAAUAUAUGAAAAGCUCGUAGGCAUUGGAUCGGUGAUGGAGAAUUAUGCCGGAUGCGGUUCAUCAUGUAACAGUCAUAACAUAGCGUGACACAGAACUAGCUCCAAUUCAUGAAUGUAAUGUACGCAUGUAUUCCGAAUAUAGUCAUACGUGCUUAUGGAAAAGAACUUGCAUGACAUCUUUUGUCCUACCCUCCCGUGGCGGCGGGGUCAUAAUGGAAACUAAGCGAUAUUAAGGCCUCCUUUUAAUAGAGUACCGGAAGAAAGCAUUAGCACAUAGUGAAUACAUGAACUCCUCAAACUAUGGUCAUCACCGGGAGUGGUCCUGAUUAUUGUCACUUCGGGGUUGCCGGAUCAUAACACAUAGUAGGUGACUAUAGACUUGCAAGAUAGGAUCAAGAACUCACAUAUAUUCAUGAAAACAUAAUAGGUUCAGAUCUGAAAUCAUGGCACUCGGGCCCUAGUGACAAGCAUUAAGCAUAGCAACAUCAAUCUCAGAACAUAGUGGAUACUAGGGAUCAAACCCUAACAAAACUAACUCGAUUACAUGAUAGAUCUCAGCCAACCCAUCGCCGUACAGCAAGCCUACGAUGGAAUUACUCACGCACGGCGGUGAGCAUCAUGAAAUUGAUGAUGGAGGAUGGUUGAUGAUGACGACGGCGAUGAAUCCCCCUCUCCGGAGCCCCGAACGGACUCCAAAUCAGCCCUCCCGGGAGGUUUUAGGGCUUGGCGGCGGCUCCGUAUCGUAAAACGCGAUGAAUUCUUCUCUCUGAUUUUUUUCUCCCCGAAAGCAAAUAUAUAGAGUUGGAGUUGAGGUCGGAGGAGCUCCAGGGGACCCACGAGGUAGGGGGGCGCGCCAUAGGGGGCAGGCGCGCCCUCCACCCUCGUGGACAGGGUGUGGGCCCCCUGGUCUUCAUCUUUUGCAAGGGUUUUUUAUUAUUUCCAAAUAAACGUUCCGUGGUGUUUCAGGUCGUUCCGAGAACUUUUGUUUCUGCACAUAAAUAACACCAUGGAAAGUCUGCUGAAAACAGCGUCAGUCCGGGUUAGUUCCAUUCAAAAUCAUGCAAGUUAGAGUCCAAAACAAGGGCAAAAGUGUUUGGAAAAGUAGAUACGACGGAGACGUAUCAGAUCGCAACAUGGUAUUGUAAAGCCGCAAAUUCAUACAGACGGUACGGUCAGGUAUGACAAGCUUAAACCUCGGUUUGGAGGCUUAACGACUACUGGUGAGCCAAUUAGUUUACAUGAAGCUUUGAGUGACACAAAAUGGAAAAUGGCUAUGAAUGAUGAGUAUGGUGCUCUUAUUAAAAAUAAGACGUGGCAUCUAGUUCCACCAACACAAAACAAGAAUGUCAUUGAUUGUAAGUGGGUCUAUAGAAUUAAGAGAAAAGUAGAUGGUCAAGUUGAUAGGUAUAAGGCAAGACUAGUAGCCAAAGUUUUUAAAGAGAGAUAUGGUAUAGACUAUGAAGAUACCUUUAGUCCUGUUGUUAAGGCAGCCACUAUCAGACUUGUUCUCUCUGUUGCAGUGUCAAGAAAUUGGAGCCUAAGGCAAUUGGAUGUAUAGAAUGCGUUCCUUCAUGGCGUUCUAGAGGAAGAAUUCUAUAUGAGACAACCACCUGGGUAUGAGGUAAAAGGAAAGGAGAGUUAUCUCUGCAAGCUUGAUAAAGCCCUGUAUGGACUAAAACAAGCACCUAGGGCUUGGUACUCCAAGUUAAGUGAAAAACUUCAAAUACUUGGUUUCAAAUCAUCCAAGGGAGAUACUUCUUUGUUCUUCUACAGGAAAGGAAAUAUCACCAUUUUUAUGUUGGUUUAUGUUGAUGAUAUUAUUGUUGCUAGCUCAUCACAAGAUGCAAUUGUAGCAUUACUAGAAGAUCUUAAGAAGGAUUUUGCCUUGAAAGAUUUGGGUGAUCUGCAUUACUUCUUGGGUAUUGAGGUGAGAAAGGUAAAAGAUGGAAUACUUCUCACUCAAGAAAAAUAUGUCUUGGAUAUGCUUAAGCGUGCGGGAAUGGUAAAUUGUAAAGCUUCAAACAUGCCUCUCUCCACGUCAGAAAAGCUAUCAAGAGAAGAAGGGGAGCCUUUGGGGGCCGAGGAGUCAACAAAAUACAGGAGCAUGGUAGGUGCUUUGCAGUACUUAACACUGACAAGACCUGACAUUUGUUUCCCUGUUAACAAAGUAUGCGAGUACUUGCAUUCUCCCACCUCUCAACAUAUGACAGCUGCUAAGAGAAUUUUGAGAUAUCUCAAGGGUACUAUGAGUACGGGUCUGAAAUUUACUAAGUCAACUUUCAAUGUUGUUAGUGCUUUCUCUGAUGCUGACUGGGCAGGAUGUCCAGAUGACAGAAGGACAACAUGAGGAUUCUGUGUGUUCUUCGGUCCAAAUUUGAUCUCUUGGAGUGCACGUAAGCAAGCUACCGUCUCUCGGUCUAGUACAGAGGCAGAGUACAAAUUUUUAGCUAAUGCCACUGCUGAGAUUAUUUGGGUUCAAACCUUGCUACGUGAACUUGGAGUUAUGCACUCACCAGUUGCACGUCUCUGGUGUGAUAAUAAUGGUGCUACAUAUCUGUCAGCAAAUCCAGUGUUUCAUGCUAGGACAAAACACAUAGAAGUGGACUAUCAUUUUGUUCGAGAGAGAGUAGCUAACAAAUUGCUGGAUAUCCGUUUUAUUCCCACAGGUGAUCAAGUUGCAGAUGGAUUUACCAAAGCUUUAUCAUGGAAGAAGUUAGAAGACUUCAAGGGCAAUCUCAACUUGGUGAAGCUGUGAUUGAGGGGGCGUGUUAGAAAGAGUUAUGUAUACGGUAUACGGUAUUGUAUAAACCGCAUAUACCCGUAGAGAGGUAGAUCGCGUGUGUGUGUUCUGUUGUAAUCUAGGUAGUUAGGUUGUUAGGGUUUAUCCUCAUAUCUUGUAUAGGUUUUCUUGAGGAUCAACCCAUAACCUAACUACCGCACCUUGUAUCUUAUCCUUGGCUAUAUAACACGUACGCGUCCCUAUCCAAAGGCAUACGGUUCCACGCAAUCUUUCAGGGAGGGGCGACACGGCGGCGCUGUCAAUUCCCUGCAUAAUCUACAGUGAUCAUUCAUUUUCAGCGUUUUUUUUUGGAACACCAAUGCACAGGCACCGUCUGUUAUAUCUAAGCAACGACCCACAACGGACAUAUGAAACAACAUAAUCUACACCCCAAAUGGAGCGACCUUGUUUCCAAUUAAGAUUUAUAUAAUCUACAGUGAUCAUUCCUACUGAAUCGGCAGCAACAGCAGCAGCAGAUAAUAAUAGUACUAGGAGUAUUGUGCACUACAGCAGAUCAAUCGUCAAGAAAGAUCAGAACAUAGUUUCAGGGCAAUGAUAACUACAGCAUGCUAACCAUAUACUGUAUUAAAUUACAAUAUGAGGGUAAUUUGCCACUUCACCUUGUGACCUUCAGCAGCCAGGUUCUCCUCUACUGAAGGUGCCUCUGGUGAGAUAGUAAUGCUCUGCUGUGCCUGCACACCUUCAGCUCCAUAGCUCCCUCCAACUGCAGCUGUUGUGUAGUAGUCUGAUGCCAUUAUCCUGUCCAGCAUAGCCGUCACCGCACCAUCUACAACCAAAAGCCACAUCUUUCAGUCAGCAAUCAUUUCCAAUCAAACAAGAUAACAAAUCUACUAUAUCAAUAACACUCACAAGUAACAGAGGAGCCAAGGUGUCAUCGGCGUGGGCGAGCCAUAAGCGGGCGCCACAGGCCUGGAGGGCGUCGCGGUGGGAGAUACUCACUGCUGAAGCAGGGCGGGCGGAAUACCGCGUUAUAGCGUAUUGAGAAUUGUCUCGCUAAAUAUAUUGAUGUACAACGUCUUGCUAAUAGCACGCUAUAGCGCGAUAUAGCAAGCUAAUAGCAUAUUUUUAGGUCGCCGCUAUUUUGCUGUAGCGCGCUAUUUUUUUCAUUACUCCUUGGAGGCGCUUGAGCUCGCCAAUUAUGGUGGUGAAGCUGGGCUUGGAGCGCAUCACCUCCUUCUGCUCUUGGUUAAUCCUCUGGCCGACGGCGGCCGCCUCAUCCAUCUGUGUGAUGCGGUUCUGCUUCUUGCGCACACACCACAAGAGGUCACGGCCAUGACGACCGUGCGCCGCCAAGGUCGACGACCACAGCCACGGCAGCAUGGGACAAAAGCCAGGAUGUGGCGCUCGGGGCAGUGCAUAGACGACGCCGGGGAGACCAUGUUAAGGCGUGGGAGUGUUGAAUCCACUUGGUAGAGAAGGUAGUGUGGGCUGAGAUGUGCAUGAGGGGUGCAGGAAAGCGACGGUUCUCACCGGCGGCGGUUGGAAUUGACCGGCGGCCGUGAGGUGGAGAAGGGGAUCGAGGACAACUUCUGUGAGAGAGUUCAGGAGGGAGGAGAAAAUGAGAGAGAUGGAGGAGAGAACACACAGACACAAGGGGUGCCGCCCGGCGCGUGGCACUGUGAGCUGGCCGUCCCCAAUAAGGUAGAAAAUGAGCCUGUUUAUUACUCCCUGCUACUUUGUCUAUACGAGUAUUUUUUUACCCCUUAAAAAAAUCUAUAUCUUUUUCUAAGAAAAUACUUUACUUUAUAUAUCUAUUAUAUUGUCGAAAAUACAAAGGUGAACAUGGGUGCGCGCGCACCCACAUGAAUAGUAAAUUCAUAAAAAAUACUAGAAAAAUUUAAAAAAUUCUGAAAUUUUGCCGUAUGAAUCUUAGACGAUCAUUCUACUCACGUGUGAAGUUUCAUGAUGUAUUUACACCUAUGGUAUUCUUAGUGAAGAAAAUAGAAAUGCGACCAUACUAUUCAUUAAACAGUGUUUUUUAAUAUAGCUUCGAUUACCUUCGAUUUUGUCAUUUUUGCCAAGAUUAUCACGGAUGUGAUUUCUUCGUGAUACUUCAUAUGCGAGUAUACCGAUUGACUAUGUAUAUUAAAAAAAAAUUCAGAUUUUGAUUUUUGCUAGCAUUUUUUUGAAUUGGCUAUUCAUAAAGGGUGCGCGCGCACCCAUGUUCACCAAAUCCGCGUCCUUAUAUUGUAUACUUACUAAUAAUAUAAUGUUCACUUAGAGGUUAACAUCAAGGAUGUGGCGGUGAUGCUCAAAGGUAGGCGGGGUUAGAAGAUGCAAAUAAUGUGGCUAACAUUUUAGCACGAGAAGGUGUUAUUAGUAACGAGGUGUGUAGGGUGUGGGUUCAGGACCCAUCGGAUUGUAUUAUGGAAACUGUAUCAGACAAGAUUACUAAUGCAUUUUUUAAUAAGUAAAGUGGCUUAUUGUUGUAAAAAAAAUGCAGCUCUCGGGCAAGCCGUUGAUCGAUCGGGCUCUGCUCCUUAGCAUGUCCAAUGGGCUACAGAUCGUGUCCUGAAAUACGUACUGCUUCUGACGCCCGACAAAACCAUAGUUGUUGAAAUUCUAAUGCAAGGCCUGCUUCCUGCUGCGCUGGGGAUUUUUCUAUGUCUAUGUUGAGUUGUCGGUGAAACUAAGAAUGUUAACGAAAAAAUAAAUAUCAUAUAUGACUUUGUUUUUAACAAGAACCGUGGCCAGCCCCAAACACUAUUUUAGUACAAUAUUUUUAAAAUCUAGAAAAUAUCCAAAUAUCCCCACUCGAACAAGCCCAAAAAUAUAAUAGUUGUUGCGAAGGUAUGCUAUCUCUCUCCAAAUUUUCUGAGCGGUAUUGGCUAAACUUUACCGAGUUCCUAAUUUCUUUUAAGGAGAAGUUUGUAAUUCUAUUUUGUUUCAUGGAGGAAAGUAUGUUGAUGUAGGUAAAGAAAUAUUCUAUAAGAUUAGCAUGUCCUAUUUCGAUAAUUUUGGACCUUAAAAAAAUUGAUUAAAAUUUGCAUGAACAACGAAUGUAUUUUUGCACAUAUUAUUAUAAAUAAACUUGAAUAUAAACGGUUUUUUCCCGUUGCAACGCACAGGCAUUUGUGCUAGUUUUAAAAAUGAAAUAAGGAUAGUAACUGCAAGGCAAACUAUUGACAAGUCAAAAGAUUGUGACAAGAAGAGAAAUCGGAAAGGAAAAAAAAAAGCUUAGCCGUUUUUUUUUAUGGUAGCUUAGCCGUUUCGGAACAAACUAACUGUGCUAGUGUAGUCCCUGUUCGCAGGUUGAGGUGUUUUUCACAAGGGAUCGGGACACCUCGACAUUUUUCUUGGUGGAGAGUAAGAUAAAAUAACAUGGGUAAAAUUUACAUUGAAAUUCCUAGAGUAGAGUUGGGCUCUCAAUUUAAGGUUGUAAACUCUGUUAAUUUUAUAGAUUAGAAAGUCAAAUAAUGAAAUAGAAAAAGGCUCUCCCCUGUUGACCACAACUUUCUUUUCUCUCUCUCAAGGUGACUAGGGAAAUCUUUCAACUCCUAGAUCUUCGACGAUGAGCCCAUGGAUUCACCUUCUCUCUACCAGCCGCUCCAGCAGCCGAUGGUGGUGAGAAAAAUCCUAGUGCCUCGGCUCGGGCUAGUUGAUAUGUUAGUAUUUUAGUCCUUGCAGAGACGUCGCUCGGGCGGAUGGUCAUGCUUCUUUUUCGAGUCAAUCUUCUUGGCUUCGAUCCUCCUUAAGUUUGUCCAUCAAGACGGAUUAGACGAAGCUCUGAUGUAGAUUCCUGCAAGCUCCUCGGGGCUAUGAGAUUUGGAUUUCUUGUCGUCUGUGCGUGUUUGCAAAAGUUUGGUAUCAGGUUGCUCAGAUCGAUCCAAGUGUUCAAUAGCAACAACUGUGGCUCCGGGGUGCUGGCCCUUAGGGGCACGUGCCUGAAAACUCCUAGUUGACAUUAACAAGGUCAGGCAAACUCCGGUAUGGGAGCGAAGAAGCUAGCAGUGCGUCAACGGCUUGUUCUGGCAACCGCAGUUGUCGUUUGAAGGUCCAGAGACUUUGAUAUAAUUUUUAUUAUGUUUAGGGUACUUUGUAUUGGGUACAAUUUUAUAAUACCACAUGAGAAUAAUUUCCACAAAAAUAAUAAUGACGAUGAAUAGGCAAAAUCUUGUUGAGCAAAUAUGAUAGUAAUCCACAAACUCUACAUGAUUGACUAGUUUGUUUAACAUGGUACAGACAUAGACGCUUAUACAUACACACAUAUACUCAUCCCUAUAAAUGUACACAUGCAUACUCUACCUCUACGAGCAGAGACUGAGCCGGCACAUCAUUUUGAGAUUGAUGAAGUCGCAACAGAUACCUUCGUGAACGCACAUUGCCGGAAGGUCUGAAAUAAAUCGAGCAAAGUGUGAGUACCGAUGUCAAAUCUAAGACUUGAACCCUGAUAGACUAAUCAUCUCACAACAGGUUGGUUCGCAUGUUUGACUAGAUUAUAAAUGUAUGCCAGCAUAAAAGCACGAGUUCAUCAGGAAAAAAACAAAGGUAUCAUUUUACAGUUAAAAAAGAAAGCAUGAGUUAUGUUUGAUCAAAGCAUCAAGACCGUUAAAAAAGAAUCGAUCCGUAAAUGUUCUUCACCAGAAGCGCCGGCAAAAUGGACAAAAUUGACCUAUGGGCGAUACAAUUUCACAAAGUGAACUGUGAGUGAAAAAUUUCACCCAACUGACCCUUUUGUGUGGCGCCUGACAAGUAGGCGCUGCACUACACUGUGUAUCGCCUUACUGACAGGCACGAUACAUCUGGCCAGCGUGGCACCCCGGGCCCCACUCCUGAUAGUGCAACGCCUAGCUGAAAGGAGCUGCACAGUGUAGUGCAUCAUGCCAAGUUUGUAAAUUUUAAUAGAUUCUGUCAGUUAUAUUAUGUUGCACUUUUGCGACAGGGUUUUCAUCAACCAAAUUGAUCCUAAAAAAGAUGAAAAUGCCUCCAUUGCGUAGAACACGUAAAAAUGCACAACAUUCAUAUAAGGCACGUUUUCAUCGGAUGCAUGGAUUAAAAGUUGCAGCUCCUUUCAGUUAGGGGCUGCACUACACCGUGCAACUCCUUUCAGCUAGGCGCUGCACUACACUGUGCAGCUCCUUUCAGCUAGGUGCUGCACUAUCAGGAGUGGGGCCCGGGGUGCCACACUUGCCAGAUGUGUCGCGCCUGUCAGUAAGGCACUACACACUGUAGUGCAGCGCCUACUUGUCGGGCGCCACACAAAAGGGUCAGCUGGGUGAAAUUUUUUCACUCACAGUUCACUUUCUGAAAUUGUUUCGCCCAUAGGUCAAUUUUGUCCAUUUUGCUGAAAGCGCUCUACUGGAGGGACAGAAGCUGGUGGGCCGUACGGGCUGUCCCAAUACACCGUGCUAACACGCACAUUUUGGCUGGUUUCGCUGCUCCCCACACCACUCGCACGCCGGUUUCGGCUGAAAACCACCGUCACCCCGGCCACAGGUUACAUUCUCGCAGACGGGUUUGCAACCGAGGGUCCGUAUAAAUUCACAACCCUUCCCAAGCAUUCCAUCUCACCUCACCUCUCCGCACUCUCUCGUGCUCCCAGUAGAUUUCUUCUCUGGCUGAUGUUAUGUCGAUUAGAGCAUCUACAGUCGGACUUGAUAAAUCUGGCCCCUCAAACGUCCACGGAAACGAUCGGGCACACCUGCGGGAGCAUCCGGACGGGCCCUCAUAUUUUCUUUCGGGCAUCCACAUAUCUUAAAUCUGGACUCUCAAAUCCAUGCAAAUACAUGCACGUCGAUCAUGCAACACAAUGUCGCACGUAAAUAGCAAUUGUUGGUAUCAAGCAUAGAUAGCGUUUACAUAAAAUUUAUUUAAAGUGUCAAACUCAAGCAUUGCCUCCUUUGUUACCAUUGUGGAUCCACAUGUGCUCCACAAGAUUAUUGAGUAGCUGCGUGUGCACCUGCUAAUCUCGAAGAUUCUGAUGCAUCUGCAGAAAGUUCAAAAGCUGAGCCGCAUCUUGAUUUUUCGAGAUUUCAACUUGUUCUCCGGAUGCUUCGAAAUCAUGGGUUUGGGCUACACCAUGACCCUCAUCCCUGACAAUCAUAUUGCGCAGAAUAACACAACAUGUCAUCAACUGCCACAAAGUUUCUGAUUCCCAUAUCAUUGCAGCGCUCCGCACAAUUCCCCAACGAGCCUGAAGGACACCAAAUGCCCUCUCCACGUCCUUCCUAGCCGCUUCCUGCAUUGUUGCAAAGUGGCUCUGUUUAUUGCCACGCGGCUCGGAUAUGUUCUUCACAAACUCCACCCACUAAGGAUAGAUACCAUCGAUAAGAUAGUACCCCAUGUUGUAGUCUCAGCCGUUGACGGUGUAGUUGCACAGCGGUGAUUCCCCAUUGCAAAGCCUCCUAAACACUGGAGAUCGUUGAAGCACCUUGAUGUGUGAGAACCGGGCAUUCCAAAGAAAGCGUGUCAAAUCCAUAACUCAUGUGAUGCCACCGCUUCUAGUACGAUGGUGGCCUCUCUCGUGUGACCUUGAUACCUUUCCCGCAGACCUUUGGGGCAGUUCUUCCAUUGCCAAUGCAUGCAAUCAAUUGAUCCGAGCAUUUCUGGAAACCCCCUUGCCUCUCCAAUAGCCAAUAACUUAUCUGUCCUGCGUAUUUGGUUCUCUGAGAUACUCAGAUCCAAACACCUCCACCACACGCGCGGGCAAACUUGACAGUAGUCUUCAGACACGUUCUCUCUCCAUCUUGACCAUCUCACCAACUACGUCUGCAACAGUACCAAGUGCAAGCAUCCUCAGAUCAGUCGUGCACUUCUGCUUGGCCGAGAAAGAGAGUUGGCCGCCGCAAUCCCUUAUGAGCUUGAAGUAGUUGUCAUGUGCCUCCACUCCCUCCACAAUGCACAAAAACAAUGGUUUCGGCAUGCAAAAAGGGUGGCGAAACCAUGGAUCAUCCGGGAAAGCAGGUUUGGGAGCAAAAUAGUCAUUGUGUAGUAGCUUUGCUCCGGACACCCUGUCCCGGUUGAUCACUCUUCUCCCUUUGAUUAAGCCCUUGAAGCUGAGAAUAUGCUCCACUUACCGGUCAAUUUUCUCUUGCAUGCUCAUGAGCAUGAUCAUGUCCACUUCUCGUCUGAAUCCGACGAAUCGAAGAACUCAUCUUGAAUCAUUUGGUCAAGCUCCGUCGGUCCAUACUCCUCGUCCGACGAAGCAUCGGAAUCCAUCAUUUACCUAACCAAAUCACAAAAGUUUCGGUCGGACAAUGUGUCAAACACAUCAAGCGCAAGGCAGAGCCGGAGAGUUGCCGGACAUACCACGGUGGCGUAAUCGGGCCGGCGACGACGACCCCCGUGGCGAGGACGGGAUCAAUUUUCCGGAUCUGGCGAUGGAGAGCCUGGGAACGGCUGCGGGGCAGGCGUGGCGGCGGAGCGCGAGACGGAUGGCGCAGAGGAGGAAGAAGAGAGGAGAUGGCAAAUGAAUCCUGCUGGUCUUCGGGGUGGAUUUGGUGUAAUUUUGGGUAGGGUCGGGCUGUCGGGUCCGACGUGGUGGGCAUGCCUGGCGCGCCCGGGCGCCCCCAUAUCCGUCCCAUAUUUGGGCUGGAUAUGGAGGGUGCCGGUCAGCCCGGACGUUUGAGAGCCGUUUGGGCGGCCCGCCCGGGCGUAUAAGGUGGGUUUGAGAGGUCCGGCUUUAGAUUGUGAGGCCUUAAAAAAUAAGGAGCUUUGAGAAUAAUAUAAAAGAAUUGAAUGGGAAAGCUUAUAGAAUUUUUUUACCCGGUCAAAAUCGGUGACCAAAUCUUAAUUGAAGACUUCAAUUGAAUGUGGGCUCUUAAAAACUAGGGAACUUAGUGUUAUAGAGGAUGUGGCCAUGCUCUCCAUCUUUGUAUCUUUCCAGACAUCUUUAAUUAAUAACAACUACUACCUCCGUUCCUAAAUAUUUGUCUUUUUAUAUAUUUCAAAUGGACAUAUUUUAGAGUGUAGAUUCACUCAUUUUGCUUCGUAUGUAAUCACUUGUUAAAAUAUCUAAAAAGACAAAUAUUUAGAAACGGAAGGAGCAGGAGUAUUUUUUUCGUACAACUUUGGUUCAAGUGCAUUCACUCAUCUCUUUUUUUUUCUUGUCUGCGAUUACCACUUGACAUGCGUCAGAGCAUUGCAAAAGACCGAGAUAACACUAGACUACUAGUUCUGUCUCUCCUCUGUUCUUCCCGAAAUGCACGUGACUACGUGAGGAUCACGCCACCUUAUCUCACACUUUAAAUCUUUUGAUACAGUUUAUUGGAUGCCUGGAACAUUUAGCAGUUUUGAAACAAGCUUUCUGUACCAGUGGAUGUGUUUCUCGAGACCAGAGACACCUCGACAUAUUUCCUGGUCACGAGUUAAUAAUAUACUCCCUCCGUUCCUAAAUACUUGUCUUUCUAGGCAUUUCAAAUGAAUAUCACAUACUGAUGUAUGUAGACAUAUUUUAGAGUGUAGAUUCACUUAUUUUACUCCGUAUGUAGUCACUUGUUAAAAUACCUAGAAAGACAAGUAUUUAGAAACGGAGGGAGUACAUUCUUAUCGCAUCCCCGUGUAAGUGUGCAUGUGAGAUAUUCCAAAAUAUGAUAACAUGUGUACAAUAUACAAAAGUUCCUAGAGUUGGGCUGGAUUUACAUAAGAGCUUUACAACCGAAGCUCCCAUAUCCGUCCAAAACUUCUCAAAUGCUUAAUCAGAUCUGUCCGAGUAACUAUGGUAAUGUCUAAAGGCAAUUGAUAGUCAAACAUGUCACUAAAUUGUCAAGCUACCAUCGGACAGGCGAUCGGUGUGACACCCGUGCCGAAUCUUCAACAACAUCAUGAAGCUAUUGGGUGGCACCAACCUACGCAACGUAGCAUAGCAUGACCACACUAUUCGAAACACAAAAGGGAAUCACAAAACAACACAAGAAAAUGGUUUAUUUCUUUACCCGAUGGGAGAAAUGACACUUUCACCCGGCUCCAGAGGCUGCCUUCCCUCGCCGCCAUCAAGAUCCAGGCGAAUAGAGGCCGUGUGCAGCCAUGGCAGAUGUUGUUUCUCAGUUAUGUGUAGAGUCUACAUUGGUAGACAGGUUGGUCGCUGCCCUGUGUGUUAUCAUGUUCCAUGAUGGUGGCGUGUUGUUACGUUUCUUGCCCAGCUACUUAAAACCAAACAUUUGCUUCCUUUUUAAUUAAUCAAAAUGACAAAUCUUUUGCAUUGUUUUAAAAAAGAGACAACAAAUGUUUACUGGAGGGGGAUGGCAAGCAAAUUAUCUUUGCUGGCAGUUUUAGUUGUAAAACAAGAUCGAACGACGACGUUUUAAACGAAAAUUGUUUACAAAGGGAAAUUGCCAUGUCGUCUGAAUAAACUGUCAGCUCUCCUCCCUCGCUCUCAACUAAAUUUGCCGGACGAACAUUCGCAAAUGCCACCCUCCCUGGUGAAGGUUCGCCAGUUAUGGACGUUCAAAACAAAUGCAAAUCAAUCUAACUAUCAUGUACUCCGCGGAACGACGUCGGCCAAACAAACAAAUGUUUUGCACAUAACCACAGGCGGAAUGGGCCGGAUGGACGAUGCAGCUAGCCGAGCUUGUCAGGCCGACUUCCUUACUGUCUACUACAACAAGUUUUGUCCGGCUCUGGCGAGGGAGGGACGAUGACGGCGGCGCGCCUUCGCCUCGCUCCAGUGCUUAUAGUUCUCGCUAGAUGGUCCACAGAUCUGAAUGUACUUUUUAUUAUUUCUGAUGUUCGUUGCACUAUCAUGUUUAAAUAUAAAUAAAUCAGAAUUUUCUACAAAUAAAAAGAAGAGCUUGCCAGGCCGAAAACUAGGAGCGCCCACACAAAAAAACAUAUUUGAACCGGAACGGAGUGCACGCUGACAGACACUGACUCCACUCAAGCACGUGCUCCUACGUGUUAUCCUACGCAGAGCCAACCCCGAUGGAUCUAUCCAUGCCUCCUCUUAUCCACCUGUGCUCUGCCGCAGCGCCGGCCAUCCCGCCCGCCCGCCGGUACCGGCGCUCGUCUCAAAACCGCGGUCUCGCUUCCCACCGUAUCAAAUCGCCUUUCUCCCCGCCCGCCGGUUCUGCGGUUUCCUGCAACCUAUAAAUCCAGCCGGAGAACCGCACCUGUCUAUCCAUCUCAUCUCACUCACACACUACUACUACGGAUCUCAGCCAGGAGUACUCGAGUUCACUAGCUAGCUACUAGUUCACUUCCUUCGGCACCAAGCUCUCUCCGGCGAAGAUGUCCACGGUGACCCGCUCCUACCUCGACCAGAGGCUCGCCGCCGCCCAGCGCUGCUCCAAAGGUACUAACCAAAACGAUAUCAUGGCCCGCCGGUCCUCAAGGGCACAUUGCAGCUUUCUGUACUGUCUCUGCUGAAACUUGAUCAUAACUAAAAUGUCUCUGUUGAUCCGGAACUGCAGAGGCUGCCAUGGCGGGAGCCAAGGCCGCGGCCGUCGCCACCGUCGCUGCCGCAGUCCCCACCGUAAGUAGCCAUUCAGUUCUUAGGCGAAAUCCUUGCACGGUUCAUAGCAUGUCUCAUGAAUGCGUUGCCUGUACUGUAAUUUCAGCUGGCGAGCGUGAGGAUGCUGCCGUGGGCGAGGGCGCACCUCAACCCCACCGGGCAGGCGCUCAUCAUCUCCACCGUCGCCGGGAUGGCCUACUUCAUCGUCGCCGACAAGACCAUCCUCUCCAUGGCCAGGAAGCACUCGUACGAGACGGCGCCAGAGCACCUCAAGAACACAUCCUUCCACUAAUUAGACACUUGAUUAGCCAGUGCCAAUAAAGUGUGUACGCAGGCCCGUACGUGUCUUCUGAAACAUAUAGUAGUAUAAUGUUGAGCGAGGCGAUGGUUGCUGUGCGGAAAGGUGGUGUAUAACCCUUUUCUGCGAGCAAGCACUAAUUAUCUGAUGAUUUAUGAUGUAGUACUCCAUAAUAAUGUGGCCAUGUUCCCCAUCGUACUAGUAUCUUUCCAAAGGUCAUGAAUCAAUAACAACCAUAGUUUUGAUUUUGUACAACUCUGCUUCAAGUGCGCAAAAGACCGCCUACUCCUGCCCUGUUCUGUUCCGAAAUGCACGUGAGCAUCAUGCCGCUUCAAGCACACGUUAAGUCUUCUGCUAUGGUUUUGAAAGGAUGUUUUUGAAAAUAAAAAAUUAGCCAUUUUGGGACAAGCUUUCUAUACUACUACAUCCGUCCUGGUUUAUUGGUGCUCUUCGUAUUUUAUGCUAAAAUUUGAUUAUAGAUUUAACUGACAAAAUAUUAAUGCAUGUCAUAAAAAGUUAUAUUGUUACAUUCGUAUUUGAACAUAAUUUUCAAUGAUGCUAUUUUUUGUGACAUGGAUUAACAUUUUGUUACUUAAAUUUAUGGUCAAAAUUUGGCACAAAAUAUUAAGGAGACCGAUAAUCCAGGACUGACGUAGUAGUGGUGUACCCCGUGGGUUUGAGGUGUUUGUCCCCAGAGACCGGGACACAUCAACAUUUUUCUUGGUCGGGAGUCAGAUGAAAUGCAUUCAUAUCAUAUCCGCGUGUAAGUGUGCAUUGUCUAAAUACUUGAAAGAAAACCGACAUGUCUAGAAAACGCAUUGAAGUCCCUAGACUUGGGCUCAAUUUAAGGUUGUAAAACUAUGUGCAUUGAACUAGUUCAAUAAUAGCUUAUGACAAAAUGCUUGUCGGAGAAAUGGAUGUAUGUAGACGUAUUUUAGUCCAGAUGCAUCCGUUUUUAUCCAUUUCUCUGACAAGUAUUUCCAGAGGAUGGGAGUACGAAAUAGGCAAACUCUCCUGGAGCAAACAUUUUUUUUAUGAAACACAAUUGUGUUGCAUUUCAUUGAUGAUGAAGAGGAAACAUUACCAUUUACCAAGCCCUGACUGAGCACACAAACACACGACAUCACACACACCAGCACCCCGAGGGCCAGUUCUUUUGAUGGCUUCUAGAAUAAGCUGGAAUAAACUGCCCUACCCAGCUUAUUCUAGAAUCCUAGGCUUCUAAAAAAAUAAAUUCGGUUGGGCUUAUAGAAUAAGCUCGGUAGGGGUAGCUUAUUCUAGAAGACCAAAAAAACCCACCAAAAGAAGAACUUGCGAUAAGCUCGAUAGCAGCACACUUGCACACCAACAACACACAUGACACAACAUAACUGCACUAGAGGCAAAGCAACAUCAACUCGGCUGUCGGCUCCAACGAUCUCGAAUCAUCAACCAAACAAUGGAGUUUACCGAUCUCCCUCGUCAUCUAACCAAGCAAAGCAAGUGCCUUUAGCAUUGGCUGUUUGGUUGCCACCCAACAACACCCUUCGAAGAGAGGGGAUGUGUCGUACAGGAAUGAGAUGAUAAAUAUAUGUCAGCAGAGCAAACAUAAUAGUAGAAAAACUCUACAUGCUUUUACUAGUUUAUAACGCUAGCAUAAAAACACAAGUUCAAGUUAAACAAAAUAGAUAUGUUAUUUUUUUAAGUUGAAAACAAGAGAGUAUGAUUCAUAUUGAUUUAUGCGCCAAGAUUGUUGAAAAAGAAUGAGGUAAAUACUCUAGGAGUGGCCAAAAAAAUUGCGCUCGAUGGUCACUUUGGUACCUAAAAUUGCAAAAUACAUGUUUCUGGUGUUCUGACUCACCACAUCGUGCAAAUAUGGUGCUUUUCCGUAUAUGAUCACUGACCACAUAUAAGGACGGACGCUCCACAUAACACAAAGUCUUUGGGUUCGUUAAAUAAAACACCACCUAUUGGUGUAAUCCGUUGCAACUAACUCUAAUCCAUCAUUUGAUUAUGUUCACAUGAUUUCUAAUAGGCGAGUCCCGCUUGUAACUGCACACCCGGCAAAAAAACAUGUCACAUCAGCCGACUUGGGCUAACUAAAAUUUCUAAUAUCCUCCAAAAUAAUGGUCAACAUUAAUUCAAAAUUUGCUAGAUCUAUACUUGGUACAUAUAUGACACAUUGGAAUUCUUUUACUUCAGAUGUUGAAUUUUGAAAGAAAAAAAAACUGAUUGAGGCAAUAAACUGUCAUAUCUCCAAAACAUGUGCAAGUAAUCUAAUAUUUUUCUUAAAUCAAAUCAGUUUUAGAUACAUACACAAUUCGUUGAUUUUUUUUAUUUUUUAAUGUAAACACCAAAACUGCCUUGUCAGAAUAAGUUUUGCCCAGCUCCGGUAAGGGAGGGGCGAUGACGGCGGCCCGCCUUCGGCAUGCUUCAGUGCUUAUAGUGGUCACUAGGUGGUCUAUAGAUUUGUAUGUAAUUUUUAUUAUUUCUGAUGUUCAUUUUACUGUCAUGAUUGAGGAUGAAUAAAUUGAAAGUUUUCUCGAAAAAAGAAAACUAAAGCUGCUCGGUAGUUCUUAUUGGCCGGCCGAUGACAAUGACAAUAAUUUUUUUACCACGUACGCACUUACAAGCUAGAUCCAAUCCUUUGAAAUCAUGUCAGCGUACAAACAUUGAAUUGUUGCGCAAAAGAAAAUCAAACAAUGAGUUAGAGCUUGUUGCAACAUGUUACACCAAUAGAUGGUACUUAGACCCUAAUAAAAAGAAAAUAGAUGGUAUUUAAUGCAACGAACUUAAAAAUGGAGAGCAGGUCUCACACAGAGGACUAGUCCGGACGGGCAGCACAUGCCGCCGGUUUGGCCCGAAAACCGGGGACCGCCGCUCGCCGACGGAGGAUAACGAGCGAAACCGGUGGCACCUGCUCUGCUCUGUUCCGUUUUUUUUAUCCUAGACAAGGAACAAACGCCUGAUGUAGCAAAAUUAUCUAUCUAUUGUGAUCAGAUAAGCACUGUGGUGGCUAACUUUAGAUCGAUCGAGAUCUCCCUUUUCUUGCCAGCUUUUGUUUGGUGGGUAAAGAAAGAAAGAAAGACGAGGGAAGGAGCAACAAACAAACAUCAUCCAAUCCUGUGGACUCCCAUACCACAGUUUUGGAUAGCCGGAAAGCGUGCUCUGCCCACCAACCCAGUUCAACACUCAGGCGAGUGAGCAGAGCAGCGCACCCACGGUUUGCAAUCAAAAAUCAAAACCGUGCGUGGCCGCCACCUUUUUGCUCGCUACAAAUACAUGGCCGGCUCCUCGUCUGGAAGCAUCAAGCAACAACCAGCCAGCCAGCCCAUCUCAUCCCAUCUCACUCGAUCACCGCACUCUUUGUGCUGAGCCGUUUCUGCACAAGAGAUCAUGGCGAAGAUGUCGUCGACGGCCACCGUCACCCGCGCCCACCUCGAGAACAAGCUCGCCCUCGCCAAACGCUGCUCCAGAGGUACAUAGUAACCAGCAGGAUCCACUUAUUUAGAGUUCUGUUCGGCCAAGUUGUGUAACCAUAGUCUGACACUAGCAAUGCAUUUCUUUUUCUUAAUGUUUCCCAGAGGCGACGCUCGCCGGAGCAAAGGCGGCGGCCAUCGCCACCGUCGCGUCUGCGGUCCCAACGGUGAGCUCCUCCGUCCGGGAUUUGUUGAUUUUCAUGCACGUUGGUCUGGUUUUCAUGACUGAACUGUUUAUCGUGCAGCUGGCGAGCGUGAGGAUGCUGCCGUGGGCCAAGGCGCACCUGAACCCCACCGGCCAGGCCCUCGUCGUCUGCACCGUCGCCGGGAUGGCAUACUUCGUCGCGGCAGACAAGGCCAUCCUGUCGCUGGCGAGGAGGCACUCGUACGAGAGCGCCCCCGACCACCUCAAGGACACCUCCUUCGCUGGCGCCGCCGCCGCCGCUCGUCCCCGUCCGCCGGCAUUCUUCAGGCCUUGAUCUAGCGUCCUGCUAAUGUAUGAUACGCACGCUUGUGCCCUUGUGCGUAUUCUAGAGAACAUGUGCUUUACAUCCGUGUACUGAAUAAAACUGAGGGCUCGAUAUCCUGGUUUCCGAUAAGCGGUGUACGACAGACUUCAUAUCUCGACGAAGAAGAUGGGAUCACAGAGCUAGCCGUGAGGCCGUGACUAUCACAGCAGAGAAUCUAGGCGGCCCGACACGUUAAGAUCCUAAAAUGUCGGUCGUUUGUUUACAGUAGAGGUACAUAAACCUGCGUGGUAACUUGAAACAAAUGCAAACAACUAGCCCACGAACUUGAGAUCCGAGUUCAAUUUCGUCCAAAAUCACCCAGACGCCAACACGUUGAGCUCUUUUUUCGGCUGUCCAUUAAGUGAGGCAGAUUGCCGGCCAUGGAGAGAAAAAUUCGAAAUACUUUCGGAAAUACUAACGCCCACACGUGUGGGCGUUUGCAUCUUGCCCACACGCGUGGAUCAACGUCCGUUUGUGUUUGCACGAAUCUUGAGAUGUUUUGCCAGAUUUUUUUAUGCCACGUAGGGCGGGGCUGGCGUGUGGGCGUUGGAGAGUUCGCCCACACGCCAGCAGCACGCGGUUUGCCAGCUGCGCCGUGUGGACGGACUAGUUUCUGUCCACACAGCCACCACCUAGUCCAUGCGCGUGUGGGCAAACUGCUUUUCGCCCACACGACGCUCGUACGUUGUUGGAUGACAACUGCAGUUACACGUACGUGGCAACUAGGUAACACAGAUGGCAACUAUGAUUUGUUGCUAGACGGCAACUGCAGUUGCGCGUACGUGGCAACCAGAUAAACACACAUGGCAACUGUGAUUAACCAUACAUGCCAACUAUGGUUGGACCACACGUGGCAACUAGAUAAACACACAUGGCAACUAGUGUUUGACCAUAUAUGACAAGUAGUUAAUCACACACGGCAACUAUGGUUUGAUUACACGCGGCAACAACAUAAAUUAGACAUGGCAACUAUAGUUAACCUAAACAGAUAGGGUUGCCAUGCUUUUACAACUACAUUUGCCAUCCCGGAUAACUACAUCUGCCAUCCCGGAUGGCAACUAAAUCGUCAUCCCGUGGGUACCUAACGUAGCUGCGCUAGGACGUGUGGGCAUUUUUACUUCGUGCCACACGCGCGGGGAUGAGUAAUACUUGUUGGGCGUGUGGCACGAAGUAGCUGCGCCCACACGUGUGGGUAAUUAUAAUGUUCGCCCACACACAUCCCCUUGGACUGCCUCCUGCUCAUGCUACACACGGUGUGUAGGCAGAUAUCUAAUAUGCCACACGUAUGGGCGUUAUCUGCGUCCAAUACUUUACUAUGAAAGAUACUUCGCACAAUAAAUACCAAGUCAACAUAAUUAUUUUACUACCAAUAAACUCUGCUGGCGGGUGAGGUCGCCGCUAACGACGUCCACCGAUUCCCUCGCCUGAUGAUGACCUGAGCAGCUGGAAGACGGCCCGCUGCCGAAGGUUCUCGCGGAGGCGGUGCGCGGCGAGGGCACGGUCCGGGACGAAGUGGCAGAGGCACCACUGCAGCCGGUGGCCGAGGUUGGGCAUGCAGACCGGGCGGCGGUGCCCGAUCCAGCGAGCGGCCGCGCCGGCGUAAGCGUCCGACGUCGGCAUGAUCAGCCGCGACAGGAGGCCUCCCCGCGUCACCAUGUUGGUCACCAUCUUCGUGUCCACGUACAGCGGGGCCUGGCACUGCACGUCGAUUCCUUUGCCCCUGUACUCAACGCAGAGGCUGCGGGAGAACUGGGAAACGUACCGCUUGGUGGCGGCGUAGACGGAGUAGAGCGGGUAGGAGGGCAGCGCCUCCGCCGCGCCUGAGCCGAUGUUGACGACGGCGCCCCUCCCGCGCUCCACCAUGCCGGGAAGCACGGCCGCCGUCACCUCCGUCACGGCCCACAGGUUCACCCGUAUCAUUCUCACCCACGCCUCUGCGUCGGCCUCGUGCAGGUACGUCGCAUGCGGCGUCGCCACGCCGGCGUUGUUCACCAGCACGCCCACCUCCAGCCGCUCCACCGCCUGCCGGAGCCGCCCCAUCGCCUCCUCCCCUGCCAAAACACGGUCGAUCAGUACAGCACGUACCAGUACCACGUACGGUAGUUCCUUGAGGAGUGCUGCGUGCGUGGUGCUUUCUUUCACCUUGAGGCGUGGAGACGAGCGAGAAGUCGAACUGCACGGUCUUGGUCAGCACGCCGUGGGUGUCGGAGGCGGUUCCGGCGAUGUCCUGGAGCGCGCCGGGGUCGCGGCCGACAAGGACGAGGUUGAGGCCGCGCCGCGCGAGCUCGAGGGCCAUGGAGCGGCCGAUGCCGGACGUCGGGCCGGUGACGACGGCCCACGCCCCGUAGCGGCGGCGUAGGUCCUUGGGCCCGCGCAGGCAGAGCGCGAGGCCGGACGUGUGGAGGAGGCGGUACGCGACGGCUGCGACGUAGAGGGCGCCGAGGAUGGCGAGCGAGACGAACCAUGGCUCCUGCUGCCGGAGCAGAGCGAGAGCCUCGGCGCACAUCCUCCCCCACGCUCUCUCUCUCUCUCUCUCUCUCUCUCUCUCUCUCUCUCUCUCUCUCUCUCUCUCGCGUGCGCUGGCUCACCUGCGCGUGCUAAUGAAGUGUUGUACGGCCACCAACGCCAUACUUACUCCUACCAACAAACUACCUGGUGUUGUGGGUCUGCUUCACAUUGAUCAUCAGUCAACGAUUGAUUACAGGCCGGACCGGACGGAUAUUGAUGCCGCAAGACUCACCUCUUUUUACCUGAACUAGUUUAAUGCCCGUGCGUUGCCACGAAAAGUAAAAAAAAAUGUAGUGAUCAACAAGUAAUAUAAUUCUCUCGCAAAAAAAGUAAUAUAAUUCAGAAAUGUGAUGGCUAGUGGUUUUUAUUCAUAUAGCGAAAACCUUUUUCUCUCUCCGGCUCGUUUCUUCUCGGCAAUUCACGUGUCUCCGAAAGCACCCUUCCCUUGCACGCAGAUGAAGAGACAUUUUUCUUGUCGCCCCUCCACCAACAUUCUCGCUGCUUUGUUCGACCGAGCGGACAGGUGACAGAAAAAUCGAAUUUGGGAGGCGGCAUUGGUGGAUAGGAUGAGGAUUAGGAAGGAGAUGCAGUAGCCGAGAAGAGAAGAAAUAUUUCAGGCAUUGGAUGUAGGUUUAGGUUUAUUGCCCACCAUUGAAAUUUAGAAGAUGACAAAUCAGGAAUACUCCAGAAUUUCAAUUACCACCAUACCAAAUGUUACAGCACACUACUGAAUCCUGGCCCCUUUCUGAACUUUCACAAUCAAAAGUUCGAAUAAACACUUAGACAAAAAUUCACAUUUUUUCACACUCCGUGAUCUGUGGCCUGAGUAGUACUCCCUUCAUUCCCUUAUACAAGGCCACAAACUCAUAUUACAGGUACCAAGAUAAAAUUUAAUGACUCAUUUGCAAGUCAACUUUUCUUUUCGUUAACCGGGAUCAUUAAUGCACCACAAGCAUGCAACGAAUGAAUGGGAAGGAAGUGGUUGAGUGUCAUUAUGACUACAUGCAUGUAAGUAUUAAAAAGUUGCUAUUACGAGGAAAUAUCAUUAAUUUUUGCCUCGGUUACUGUUGGUGGCCUUGUAUUGAUGCAAAACGUAUUUUUGAUAGUGGCCUUGUAUAAGGCUGCUCCCAAUGGACCGGUGCUUAGAUGGGGUGCUAAGCAUAUUAAAUAGCUUAGCAACCAAACUCACCAAUGCAUAGAUGCUUAGCUUCUUGUAGCUAAGCUCCCUUCAUUUAAUGAUUUAGCUACUAAAUUCUCUCAUGCAUUGGUGAGUUUGCUUCAUUUAAAUGUUUUGCCUAGGUUCGCGCGCUUGGCAUUGGUUCUUCCUGGGGCCAUCAAACCCAUCUCUCUCCUCUUAAUUUCCUUGCCACAUCAGAUUUUUCGUCUACAUGGCAUGCUUAGCACCCGUACAAGGUGGAGCAUUGGGAGGGGCCUAAGGGAAUGGAGGAAGUAACAACAAUCCACAACCCAUGGCCAUGAAAACAGGUUUUAUGUAUUUAGAAUUCUAGACGCAGGUAGUAGAAUAAUCAUAUGUACGCUCUUAUAUUUAUUUACAAAGAGAGUAUUUCCUACCAGCUAGUAAAGCAUAUGCAAAUCCAAAUUCAGAACUAUACAUUUGCACUAACUCGCACUUCCAUACACAAACAAAUGCAAUCAGGUCGGCCUGAGAUGUCUUCUAUGGAAGAAGCACGAACAAGUAAAUUUUACAAUUGCAGAUCCUCUCCAAUUCCUCACUUUUGUUUACAAAAGAAAUUCAGAAUAUACAGAAACAAUCCAAGAAUUUGAGUCCAAAAUAAUUGGAUUGUCCAACAUCAUUGGGUAAGUUGCCAGCUUGUUGUUGAGAUAUUGACUUUCUCAAAAUGACGGAAUAAGCAGCGUAAUCUUUCAACUGAAGAAGGCCAAGGCUGAAACCAAUGUCUCUCCGAAAACCGACUUUUAGUUCUAUGAAAAAAACACAAUAAAAAAAGAAGAAAUGAUACAAAUUAUAUUUAGGUUUACAUGAAUUGUAAUAUAUUGUUUGAUUACAUAAAUCACAACUUAUAUUAUCUGAUUGUAUUUGAUCAAUUAUAUAGGAGUCACCCUAGUAUCCACUAAUUUUGUUGUCUUUACUUUCAGUUUUAAAGAUAAAUAUUAUAUGGGACAAAAAAAACCUAUUUCCUCUCAAAAUCUAUUAAAUGCAUCAGUUGUAAGUGUGAAAACCCCAUAUAAUUAAUGAGUGAUAAAACACAUGCAUUCCUGUGAAUAAAACAAAGCAGAAUUAAUUUACUACGGCCUAUGGAUUGGCCUACUCUAUUUUACUGGACAAUCAUAUAUCCUAUAUUAUUAUUUUUGCGGGAAUAAUAAAUCCAAUACGGUGUUAAACAGUGCCCAUACAGAAGUGUGUAAAACAAUUAGCUGAACAUGGAUCGCCGGUCUUAAUUUAGUAGGGUGUGCCUGAGUUUCUUCUCACGUUCAUAUGCAGGACAUAGGAGUCCAUGUUGCAUUGUUGCUACAUUUCCCAAAACAGAAGCAUGUGAAAGCUAGCUACAAACAUACUCUUGUUAGAAAAAAAGAUUAUGGUGCAAAAUAUUUAACACAUCAUUUGAUUUAGGAGGGUUCAUUUGACACAAAUCACACCAUUGUUCAGUUCCGUAGCAACAUCUAUGUGUUAGGCCUUCUCACAACAGCACUCUCGGCCACAAAAUGCUAAAACAUCCGUUGGGUCAGUGAAUCGAACAACUGGCGUGCGCCCGAGGAGACGAUGGGGAUGCCUGCAUCUACCUGCGAAGCUCGGGGAGAGGAUGGACGAGUGCCGCAGCUUAGGGAGGAUGGCAGGAGCAGCCGAGGGCGCUGGAAGUCAGGCGGCGUCGGGGAUGAGGACGCGCGCAGUCGGGACAGAGCUGCUGUCGUCGAGUACGUAGGCUGUGCGGAGAAGACGACGAAGGCAGCACGCCCUAUACGGCGGCCCGCGCCAUAUCGCGCAUGGGGCGGAGGCUAAGCGGCCAAGCGAGGUCCCUACAGCGGCGGUUAGGUGCCGGGGGCCGCCGCUCGCCGGAGUCGAGGGUGGCGGAGGUGAGAAUUGCCACCGGAACGGCAAAGCCCAGCGGAGCUCCUGUUCGUGCUACCCUGAGUUGCGGCGCCGCCGCCGGCGAGGAUGUGUAGCGCGUAGCCCGCGGCAUACUUGCAGCGGUCGGCCUCCAAGGAGAUGCAGGAGGGGGCCAGAGGAGACGGCGAGGAGAGACGGGAAAGGGGGCAGAGGAGACGAGGUCGUGGUGUUGGUAGCUACGGCGGCAGAAGGCACCCGAGGCAUUAGGGGCAGCCGUCGCCGGUAGCGGCCGGCGCGCAAGAUCGGAGUUCCAUUGCUGGCUAGAAGAGAGUAGCGGGGGAUGGAUCUGGAUGGGUCUGGAACCGAGAGACAGAGGGGUUUUUUGAAAAUAAUAUGGAGAGAGUGGCGGGGUCUUUUUGGAAAAGCGCCAGAGCUCGCAUCAGAUGCAUUAGAUGCAGAUCGGACGGUCGAGAUUGGUAGAUGGUAGGCGCACCAUCAUCACCGAUUGUGCUUUUUAUAGGAGUAGAUAUGUAUACAUCCAGUGAACGUCGGAUUUUUAGGCAUGACAAAUCAAACCUUUUUGAGGCAAAUUUUUUAGCCAUAAAAAACGUUCGAUUUGCCAUGUCUAAAAAUCUGAGCAUUUUUAAUUUCUUUCCAAACUAAAACCCCUGAUUGUAUUCCAAGAUUAGUGUUGGGGGACCACAAGAUAAUACUCCCCCUAUUUUUUAUUUAGUCCGCAUAUUAACUUUGAUUAGAGUCAAGCUUUGUAGACUUUGAUAAAGUUUAAAGACAAAAAUGUUUUUUUUGCGGCGACAAAAAUGUUAACAUAUAUAAUAACAAAUCAAUACUAUUACAUUCAUUAUUGAAUGUACUUUCACAUCAUAUAGAUUUGUUAGGGUAAAUGUUUAUAUUAUUUUCUCUAAGAUUAGUCAAAACUUUGCAAAGUUUGACUCCAGCCAAAUCUAAUAUGCAGACUAAAUAAAAACGGAGGAAGUGCAUUGGAAUACCACAGCUGGCAUCUAACAAAAAUUUCAAACAUGUGAAGAUAUACGUGUACGAAGACACACAAGCAGCACAAAUACAACCUGAAGCUUUCUGAAGCCACACAUGUCCACCAAAAGAUGCAAUAUGUCCAAAGAUCGACGCCACGUCUGACUGGAACCACACUCCGGUUACCACCAGAACGACGGCGGGGACAACCAUCAGAGAGCCUCUGUUUAAUCCAUUGAGUGUUACUCCGACACAGGGGAUGAUGGCCGUGCACAUGUGCCGAAUACCGCAAUAGCACCCGCCGACGCCAUAACAGAAGAAGAAGCACUUGUGACGGCGAGAGAGCAAACUUCUUGGACGAAAGGGACUCCAACUAGAGAGCCAAGCAACGCCAACGACGAGGCUGGUACGGAUGGGCUCUCCCAGGAACCGCACAGCGGGCCUCCAGGCUUGUUUGUGGUCGAGAUCGAUAGCAAGGACCGGCCACCUACCGGUACAUAUCCGGACAGAUGGUGUCGUGGAAUUGUCACGGCAGAUGUCCUCGAGUUAGGACUUAGUCGUGGGACAAGAAACACGAGGGUUUAUACUGGUUCGGCCCCUUACGGUGAAGGUAAAAGCCUACGUCCAGUUUGAGGUGGUAUUGAUUAGGGUUACGAUCACCAGGGAGCUAAACUGCUAUGCCCGGCUCUCGAUGAGAUUGUUCUUGCCCCUAAACCGCUGCCGGGUCGUCCCUUUAUAUAGGGAGGCUGACGCCCAGCAGCCCUUAGAGUCCCGGCCGGCUCAUAAGAGUGUCCGGCUCGGACUCUCAAUCAUACUUGCCUUACACUACAAGUUCUACCAUAAUAAUGAUUGUAACUAUGGGCCUUAAGCCGUAUCCGGGUCUUAGCCCAUCUCUGGCCCAUCGUCUUUAAGCUUGGCUCCGGGCUUCUGGCAACGACCAUACGAGUAACCCGGCCCCUCCUGGCGGGUGACUCUAAGAUCUAUAUCCUCAACAUUAGGCCCCAGAUUGAUUUGAGCCGGCUCAUAUCAAUCUUCAACUCUUCUGACAGAAAAAAUCUCCGGCUUACCAUUCAUGUGAAAGCCAUAACCCGGAGUGACGUCAUCCUCUGGACUCCGGAUAAUCCGCCGUGACGUCAUCCUCCAUUAAGUCCGUUUUUUACUCCGCCAGAUCCGCAACGGAUCUUUGCUUUUACUGUCAUUCCGAAAAUCGAGGCGUCGUGGGGGGAGAUAACCACGCCGUGGUCUCCUUGAAUCUCACGCUCCCUUCUUCCUCCUCGCGCCGCUGCCUUUCUCACUGAGCUCGCACUCCGCCGCCGUCGUCUCGCCUCCGGUCUUCGUCAACCUCGGCCGCUGCAUCACCCUGACUCGGACCAGAUAAACGGCGGCGACUCCCGCACCUCUUCAGCUCCGGUAAGUUCUCACCACCCCGUAGAGUAGAUCUGCCGUAGAGUUCAUCCACGUUCUUCGUGUUCGUCACCAUUGCCCGCAAGUUCGGUAGUUCUCCUAGUUACUGCUCCUGCUUGAUGUUAGUCCUGCAUAGAACUAGUGCGGUGGUUGUUUAAGAUCCAUUUCACACGCAAGUAGCCUUCCUUGAACUGCAUAAGAACUCUGUUUGAACCCAAGAACUCCCUCACUGCUGUUUCUAGGUCUAGAAAUUUUUUCUUUUGCCCGACCAUUUUAAUCCAAAAAAGUUACUGCAAUAUGUGAAACCUGUUUUACCACACUUAGUAAAAACUGCAACCAUUGAAUCUUGGCGGCUUACAAUUCCGGUUUAAAGAAACCACGCGACGUAGAAUCUUCCGGCUUAAAAGAAACCAUGCUUCGUAGAAUCCUCCGGCUUAAAUAACCCACUGUAUUUGAGUAUAUACCAUUAGUCCCCUUCAUAAGCCGCCACCGUAGUUUUGAACUGUAGAUCUCCGGCUUAUAAUUAACCCGGACAUUUUUCCUUUUUGUCAUAGACCACCAACUUUCACCAUGCCUCCCAAGGCUCCCAUCACUUGCAACUGGAUGAGGUCCAACGUCACCAACGAGACUCUAGCCAAUUUUGUUAAGUCCGGAUAUUUGCCUAAGAAGGAAAUCAUGUCCUACCGUGCCCCUGACCCGUCAGAAGAGAGACCACAGCCAAAGGACGGGGAGGUAGUGAUUUUCGCAGAUCAUAUGAGCCGGGGCUUCGCACCGCCCGGCUCAAAGUUUUUCAGGGACGUGCUCAACUUCUUCGACUUGCGGCCUCAAGAUAUAGGACCCAACUCCGUAUCCAACAUCUGCAAUUUUCAAGUCUUCUGCGAGGUUUACCUAGGAGAAGAACCAAGUCUGCUGCUCUUCAGAGAGCUUUUUUACUUAAACCGCCAGAAUGAGUGCGCCAACGGGCCAAGUCUGGAGCUAGGUGGCAUUUCCAUCCAGCGGCGUAGGGACUGUCUGUUCCCUUAUGCAGAGCCGCCGAGCCACCCCAAGGACUGGAACAUGACUUGGUUCUACUGCCAAGAUACGUCCCUGGCUGACGAAAGCCCGCUGCCCGGCUUUCGCCCAACACGUCUAGAGCCGACUCACCCACUGUCGGACAAGCUGACUCCAGCGGAGCGCCAGCCUCUGCUUCCUACUAUCAAUAAAAUCAAGGCCCUCCUGGGCAACGGUCUGAACGGAAUCGAUCUGGUCCGGGUCUGGAUCUCAUGGCGGGUGAUCCCAUUGAGCCGCCGCCCCGGCUUAAUAUGUGAGUACACCGGGCGAAAGGAUGACCCUCAGAGGCACAGUCGCAAUGAUCUUCCAGAAGACGUUGCAGAGGAGGAGACCAAGUUUCUUUUAAACGAGAGCCUGGCAGACUGCGGAAGGACCGGGUUAGCCCCCUUCUGCAAGACCAAUCCAGCCCCAGCGGUAAGCCGCUGACUUUAACUUUUAUCUUCGUCUGCAUAUAACCUUCAUCUGAACCGUUUUAAGAAUCCAUCAUUGUAUUUUUCAGGCUGAUGAUAAGUUCUGGCGGGUCAAAUAUGACCAUGAGGCGGCCAAGAAAGCCAGGAAGGCGAAGAAAGCCGCCAAGAAAGCCGCCCCUCGCAAAAAAGGAAGCAGGCCUACUGCUUCGGAGCUGAUGCAAUUAAGCGACAACUCCGAGUCAGAGGUAACUCCUGAGCAUUUAAAUCCUUACUAUAUUCACUGUUUGUUGCUGUCCGCCUUAUCAAUACUUGCUCAUUGACAGGAUGACACCGGCGCAAGUAACCCGGUGGUUGAAGAGGUAAUGUCACUUUCCUCCGACUCGGAGCCCUUGCCACAGCUGAAAGUCCGAAGGGUAACCCGGAAAGUAAGCUUUUCACAUCCUUUAGCUCACCAAGACCCUCAAUUUAUUUUGAAGCGACAGGUUCAUGAAAGCCGGCGUCACACCCGGACCAACAAGGACACCGAUCUUUCCGCCGGGUUACCCGACGCAACAAGGAAGCGUCGAACUGAGGUUUUUUCUCACUUGUACCGUUUUCAUCCGUUGGCGGGUGUUAUCCGUCAGCCACUCAAUUCUUCUGACUCCAAUUAUCAGGAGACCUCCCCUUCUUCGGGCGACUCUAUGCAGUCGAGUCUUCCGACGUUCAAGACCGCGCCCGGGUAAUGACAACCAUCUCACAUUAUACUUGUCUGUACUUACUCUCUUUGUGCUGAAUGUUUCUGUCCUUUCAGCGCCCAGGCAAAGCUCACCAAAAGAGCGAAGAAGACCAGGUCAGCCGGAGUGCCGGACUUACCUGAACCGGAGGUGACGGCUCAAGAGCCGCUAGCUGCCUCCGCCCCCGAAGCCACCACUCUAAUGGACACGGCACCUGAAGCCACUGCCCCAACUACUAAGGCAACGACCAAAGCUUCGGUUAACCCGGAGGCCUCCGGCUCAGCUCCGCCAGCAGACGAACCGGACGUGGUAAUCACCCGGACGGAGUUCGUUGAGCCGGGGAGACCGACCGUGCUGGCCAAAUGCUCCGCGAAGGGGGAGUUGCUGCAGCCCCACCGGGUGAACCUGGACCUCUCCGACUACACCAACUUGAGCAUUGGAGAGCUCGUCUCUGGCUACAUCAGCCAGGUGCACAAGAGCCGGGACGCCGAGGUCGCCAUGGUCAACCAGAUCCAGCAAAAAUCUGAGGUAUCCUUCUGCUGUCCUCUUACUUACUGCAUAGUUACCUUUGCCAUGCUAGCCCCCAAGUCGACGACUUAUGAUUGAAUAUGUUGUAGACUUAGGUUCCGGCUUACUCCAGUGAGCGGGCAGUAUGUAGAAAGAUACGUUCAAUAUGCAUUAGCCCCCAAGUGCCAAGUGUCUUUGCUUGGAAAGUGCUUGGGACUUAUAUAAUAACUGCUCAUGUCAUAACCCGGAAAUUUAUACAGGCUGUUGGUAAGAAGCUAGAGGCGGACCUUGUGGAUCUCAAGAGCCGGCUGAAGAUGCAGGAGAUGGAGACCCGGAAGGCAAACGCCAAGUUUGUAUCCAGCAUCGCCAGUCAAGAAAAGUUGAAGACCGAGUUUGAUGCUGAGAGAAAAGCCUGGGCCGAAGAGAAGGCCGCACUGGUGACCCGGGCGGAACAGGCGGAGAAGGCUCUCUCUGAGAAGACCGUCGAGCUUUCCGGCCUAAAGCACCAGGUUUCCCAAAUGGUGGCCGCCAUCUUCGGUAAGUCGCCUCACCGGCUUUCACCAAUGUCAGAAUGUUUAUAUCUCAUGAUUCAUCGUUGUCGCCGGCUUACUUGAUUCUGUUAAACAGGUCCCAGAAGUGCCAACCUCAACCAGAGCGUGGUCACCAAGCUAAAGGCCGUGUAUACCCUGGUGGAGCAGCUCUACACCGGGUCACAGCGUGCCUUAGCUGUGGUGGCCCUAUCCAACGAGGUGCCAACUCAUCUGGACGAAGUCCUGCGCCGGCUCGCUGUUCUGCCUCAGCGGAUCCAAGAGCUGCGACGGGCCUCCGCGAGAGCUGGAGCAUUCGCCGCGCUGAGCCGGGCCAAGGCAUUCCUGCCGGAGCUAGACCCGGCAGACAUCGCCCUGGGUUAUCCAAGCCUGAAGGAAGACGGCUCAGCUUUCGAUCAGAAGGACUUCGCGGCGUGCGUGAAGGCUGUACGCCCGGUGGCCACCCUCAUCGAGAAUGACACAGAUCUGACCAAGUACCAGCCGGGUUAUGACGCGGAGAAUCAGAGGAUUCCAACUCCUCGCUAUGAAGCCCUCAACCUGAUCCCGCCGUCUCGUCAGCACACCUUCGCCCCGGAGAUUGACCCGGCCGGGUUAAUUGACGAGGAAGCCCAGUUCGAGGCUCUCAGCGGCAAAGACUGGAAGUCAUCAACCUUCCAAGUCUUGGGAUCAGCCGGAGGAGAGGACAGGAACGAGCCGGAGACUUCCGCUCAGCGGGCAUCGUAACUCGGCUGUCGGUUUACCAAACAAUGCUCCACCCUUGUUAGAUUUGAUGAGUUUUGUAAUAAAGUAGGUGGAACAGUCUAUCUCUGUCGUGCCAUCGUGCACGUAUUGAAUGCCAAGGUCUUUUGAAGUUGUCUCUUUAAUGUUUCUCCGGGUCAUAAUCAUCCCCUUGUUUUUCUCAACCUCAAAGAGGUACCUUUAAGUAUCCUGCAUAGAAAGGCAAAUCACAAGUCUCAAGACGGCUUACCGCCCUGAGAAUCAGGUGUCUUGGAUAGAUAACCCGGAAUAUGAAUCAAAAGAGACUGGUCCUCAAUUAUCUCCUUAACACAACCGUAAUAACACACUUAGCGGCCUGUAAGCAUACUUCCGGUUUAAGUAACCCGGGAACAAGGUUGGUAUCUUAACUCCGAUUUACCUGUCGUAAUGACACCCAUGGCGGUCAACUAACAUGGUAAACCAAAGUUAAGCUGGCAAAGUGAGACCCGGCCGUACACACCUUGACAUAAUCAGAGUUAACUUGUGAUAGAACAUAAGAACUUAGGAGCUUCCGGUUCGAAUACGACCAGAGACCCGGCCGAAAGGGGUUAAGCUAAGAUUCGGAUACGAUCACAUAGCCCCCAGUGGGUGUGGCGAUGCCAAUCAAGAGGGUACCGACAGCUAUGUUCUCUUUGGUUCGAAUACGACCCAUGUUUGAACAGGAAGCCCCCAAGUGAUUUCAAGAAUUGUUUAACGACGCUGAUUCGAAUACGAUCCACGUCGGUUCUCAGAGGGGUUAAACUAUGAUUCAAAUAUGAUCAAAGGUAACUUCCCAAUGAGCUCGGCACUUUGCCAAUCAAAUGGGUAUCGACAGCUAUGUUCUCUUUGGUUCGAAUACGACCCAUGUUUGAACAGGAAGCCCCCAAGUGACUUUACUGCUUACGGCUAAAUUCGAAUACGAUCAUAAGCCAGAUCCUCCUUGAAAUCAUCAUGUAAUCUUGCAAGAAGAACAACACGUGUAUAUUUGGAGGAGAAAAAAGGACAGAGGUCCUGCUUUAUUGCUUACCAUAAUAUAUACAUGGCUGAGAGAAGUAUGCACACCACGAGAGCCGGUGGCUCAAGUGUAGUAAGGCCGAAGCUGAGCUAUGUUCCACGGCCGACGGGUCUCCUCCUCCGAUUUACGUGAAUCUUUGUGCUCCCGAAUGUCAAUGAGGUAAUAUGACCCGUUGUGCAAGUUCUUGCUGACCACAAAGGGCCCUUCCCAAGGCGGGGAUAACUUGUGCGCAUCUGUUUGAUCCUGGAUGAGCCGGAGCACAAGGUCGCCUUCCUGGAAGACCCGGGAUUUGACCCGGCGGCUAUGAUAACGGCGCAGGUCUUGUUGGUAAAUUGCUGAACGGGCUGCUGCCACAUCACGCUGUUCGUCCAACAAGUCAAGAGCAUCUUGGCGCGCCUGUUCAUUAUCCGUCUCAACAUAAGCCGCUACGCGAGGUGAGUCAUGACGGAUGUCACUGGGGAGGACUGCUUCUGCUCCAUAAACCAUGAAGAAAGGCGUGAAGCCUGUGGACCUGUUAGGAGUAGUGUUGAUGCUCCAUAAGACGGAGGGCAACUCCUCCACCCAACAACCCGGCGUCCGUUGCAAAGGGACCAAAAGCCGGGGCUUGAUGCCCUUCAGAAUCUCCUGGUUAGCUCUCUCAGCUUGACUAUUGGAUUGAGGAUGAGCCACUGAGGAGACAUCAAGUCGGAUAUGCUCUCGUUGACAAAACUCUUCCAUGGCGCCUUUGGAGAGAUUAGUGCCAUUGUCAGUUAUAAUGCUGUGCGGAAAGCCAAAGCGGAAAAUCACGUUUUUCAGAAAUUGAACCGCCGUGGCUGCAUCGCACUUGCUAACUGGCUCAGCUUCCACCCACUUUGUGAACUUAUCAACUGCCACCAAGAGGUGGGUCUUCUUAUCCUUGGACCUUUUAAAAGGCCCAACCAUGUCAAGCCCCCAGACCGCAAAGGGCCAAGUGAUUGGGAUCAUCCUCAGCUCCUGAGCCGGCACAUGAGCCCGUCGUGAGAACCUCUGGCAACCAUCACAUUUACUGACCAAGUCCUCUGCAUCAGCAUGAGCUGUCAACCAAUAAAAACCAUGACGAAAAGCCUUGGCCACAAGGGACUUUGAGCCGGCGUGAUGGCCACAAUCCCCUUCAUGGAUCUCACGCAAGAUCUCUUGACCUUCCUCAGGGGAGAUGCAACGCUGAAAUCCUCCUGUAACACUGCGAUGAUGCAACUCGCCAUCAAUAACAAUCAUUGACUUGGCCCGCCGGGUUAUUUGCCUGGCCAAAGUUUCAUCCUCAGGCAACUCGCCCCGGGUCAUGUAAGCCAGAUAUGGCAUUGUCCAGUCUGGUAUGAUAUGGAGAGCCGCCACCAGUCGUGCCUCCGGGUCAAGGACAGCCAAGUCUUCCUCCGUAGGCAACUUAACCGAAGGGCUAUACAGGAUAUCCAGGAAAGUGUUAGGCGGCACCGGCUUUCGCUGAGAGCCUAGCCGGCUUAGGGCAUCAGCCGCCUCGUUCUUCCUGCGAUCAAUGUGUUCUACUUGGUAGCCCUGAAAGUGCCCAGCAAUGGCAUCAACUUCGCGGCGAUAAGCCGCCAUUAGAGGGUCCUUAGAAUCCCACUUGCCUGAUACUUGUUGAGCCACCAAGUCUGAGUCACCGAAGCAUCUUACCCGGCUCAAGCUCAUUUCCUUAGCCAUCCGAAGACCAUGGAGCAAGGCCUCAUACUCGGCCGCAUUGUUCGUGCAAGGAAACAUCAACUGCAGCACAUAAUGGAACUUGUCACCUUUAGGGGAAGCCAAUACAACGCCAGCCCCCGAGCCCUCUAACUGCCUGGACCCAUCGAAGUGAAUAGUCCAAUAUGUGUUAUCCGGCUUUUGCUCAGGCACUUGUGACUCUGUCCAAUCAUUGAUGAAAUCCACCAAGGCCUGAGAUUUAACAGCAGUGCGUGGCACAUAUUUGAGACCAUGAGGUCCAAGUUCUAUAGCCCACUUAGCAAUUCUCCCUGUGGCCUCUCUGUUUUGGAUGAUGUCACCAAGGGGGGCAGAGCUGACCACAGUGAUGGGAUGACCCUGAAAAUAAUGCUUAAGUUUCCGGCUCGCCAUGAACACACCAUACACAAGCUUCUACCAAUGCGGGUACCGCUGCUUGGACUCAAUGAGCACCUCGCUGACGUAAUAAACCGGCCGCUGAACCAGAUGUUCCUUACCCGCCUCCUUGCGCUCUACCACAAUAGCCACACUGACGGCUCGUGCGUUUGCCGCCACAUAUAGUAGCAAGGGCUCCUUAUCAACCGGAGCAGCAAGGACUGGGGGCUCUGCCAGCUGCUUCUUCAAAUCCUCAAAGGUGGUAUUAGCUGCAUCAUUCCAGACAAAGUUAUCAGUUUUCUUCAUCAACUGAUAUAAGGGCAUGGCCUUCUCACCCAAACGGCUUAUAAACCGGCUUAAAGCAGCGAUGCGACCCGCCAAGCGCUGAACGUCAUUUAUACACGCCGGCUUAGCCAGGGAGUAGAUGGCCUUGAUCUUCUCCGGGUUAGCCUCAAUGCCUCUGUCAGAAACCAAGAAGCCCAACAGUUUGCCUGCAGGGACACCAAAGACACACUUGGCCGGGUUAAGCAUCAUCUUAUAGACCCGGAGAUUAUCAAAGGUUUCCCUUAAAUCAUCUAUCAGGGUUUCCUCUUUGAUGGACUUAACCACAAUGUCGUCCACGUAAGCGUGAACAUUGCGCCCGAUCUGUUUAUGAAGACAGUUCUGUACACAACGCUGGUAAGUCGCCUGUGCACACUUGAGUCCAAAGGGCAUAGACACAUAGCAGAAGGCUCCAAAGGGAGUGAUGAACGCCGUCUUCUCCUGGUCCUUAACUGCCAUCUUAAUCUGAUGAUAUCCGGAAUAAGCAUCCAAGAAACUUAAGCGUGCACAACCUGCCGUAGCAUCAAUGAUUUGAUCAAUACGGGGAAGGGCAAAAGGAUCAGCCGGACACGCCUUGUUCAAGUCCGUGUAGUCCACACACAUCCGCCAGGUGCCGUUCUUCUUGAGUACGAGCACCGGGUUAGCCAACCACUCUGGGUGAAAGACUUCAACGAUAAACCCGGCCGCCAAGAGCCGGGCCACUUCUUCACCAAUAGCUUUCCGCCUCUCUUCAUUAAACCGCCGAAGGAACUGUCUGACCGGCUUAAAUUUCGGAUCAACAUUGAGAGUAUGCUCAGCGAGUUCUCUAGGUACACCUAGCAUGUCAGAGGGUUUCCAUGCGAAGAUGUCCCUAUUCUCACGGAUGAACUCGAUGAGUGCGCUUUCCUAUUUUGGAUCCAGAUUGGCACUGAUGCUAAACUGCUGAGAUGAAUCUCCUGGAACAAAAUCAACAAGCUUAGUUUCAUCAGCCGACUUAAAUUUCAUCGCCGGCUCAUUCUCCGUAGUCGGCUUUUUCAGAGAGGUCAUAUCUGUUGGGUCAACAUUGUCCUUAUAAAACUUCAACUCCUCUGUAGCACAAACAGAUUCUGCAUAAGCCGCAUCGCCUUCCUCACACUCCAGAGCCACUUUCCGGCUGCCGUGAACCGUAAUAGUCCCAUUUUGACCCGGCAUCUUGAGCUGUAAGUACACAUAACACGGCCGCGCCAUGAACUUGGCGUAAGCCGGCCGUCCAAAUAUAGUAUGGUAUGUACUUCUUAUCUUGACCACCUCAAAGGUCAAUUUCUCCACCCUGUAGUUGCUCUCAUCACCGAAAGCCACUUCCAAUUCGAUCUUGCCGACUGGAUAAGCCGACUUACCAGGUACCACACCAUGGAAGAUAGUGUUUGACUGGCUGAGGUUCUUAUCAACAAACCCCAUACGGCGAAAAGUCUCAUAAUAGAGGAUGUUGAUGCUGCUGCCUCCAUCCAUGAGCACCUUUGUGAACUUAUAUCCUCCCACUUGGGGAGCCACCACUAAGGCCAAGUGGCCCGGGUUAUCCACCCGGGGAGGGUGAUCCUCCCUACUCCACACUAUAGGCUGCUCAGACCACCGCAAGUAGCGUGGGACCGCCGGCUCAACAGCAUUUACAGCCCUCUUGUGAAGCUUUUGAUCUCGCUUGCACAAACUAGUGGUAAACACAUGAUACUGUCCACCGCUAAGCUGCUUUGGAUUGGUCUGAUAACCCCCCUGCUGCUGUUGAUGACCCUGUCCAGACUGUUGAUUAAAACCCCCUUGACCGUUCUGAGGACCGGAAUUUGAGCCGCCCCCCGGGCCAUGAAAGCCACCGGCGCCCCGCCGCCUGAGCCGCCGCCCGGGCCAUUGUAGUUUUUAAAGGCCUUCAUGAUUGCACAAUCCUUCCAUAGAUGAGUCGCUGGCUUCUCUCUAGAGCCGUGCCUCGGACAAGGCUCAUUCAACAGCUGCUCCAGUGAUGGUCCUGACCCGCCGCCUCGGGGAGGGGGCCUCCCCUUGCGUCGCUGGUUCUGGUUAUUGCCUUGUGCGCUGGCAUUGGCCACAAACUCUAGGCUGCCAUCUGCCUUGCGCUUGCCUCCUCCUUGGUUCCCCGGGUUAAACUGAGGGCCCUUGCCAUUGCCGUUCUUCUUUCCCUUCCCUGUCCUUUCAUCAUCUGAAGGGGGAUCCUUGGUACCAUCAGAAUCGGCGUACUUGACAAGAGCUGCCAUUAGUGUACCCAUAUCACUGCAGUCGCGCUUAAGCCGCCCGAGUUUCAUCUUCAGGGGCACAAAACGACAAUUCUGCUCCAGCAUUAAAACUGCUGAGCCGGCAUCCAUCUUGUCUGACGAGUGUAUGAUCUCCUUAACCCGGCGAACCCAAUGUGUCGUGGACUCACCCUCCUGCUGCUUACAGUUAGUCAAAUCCACAAUUGACAUAGACUGCCUACAGGUAUCUUUGAAGUUUUGGAUGAACCGGGCCUUCAGCUCAGCCCAAGACCCAAUGGAAUUCGGUGGUAGCCCUUUCAACCAAGUGCGGGCAGUCCCAUCUAACAUCAUGGUGAAAUAUUUGGCCAUGGCCGCCUCACUGACCUCCAGCAGCUCCAUAGCCAUCUCAUAACUCUCAAUCCAGUGAACGUCGGAUUUUUAGGCAUGACAAAUCAAACCUUUUUGAGGCAAAUUUUUUAGCCAUAAAAAACGUUCGAUUUGCCAUGUCUAAAAAUCUGAGCAUUUUUAAUUUCUUUCCAAACUAAAACCCCUGAUUGUAUUCCAAGAUUAGUGUUGGGGGACCACAAGAUAAUACUCCCCCUAUUUUUUAUUUAGUCCGCAUAUUAACUUUGGUUAGAGUUAAGCUUUGUAGACUUUGAUAAAGUUUAAAGAGCAAAAUGUUUUUUUUGCGGUGACAAAAAUGUUAACAUAUAUAAUAACAAAUCAAUACUAUUACAUUCAUUAUUGAAUGUACUUUCACAUCAUAUAGAUUUGUUAGGGUAAAUGUUUAUAUUAUUUUCUCUAAGAUUAGUCAAAACUUUGCAAAGUUUGACUCCAGCCAAAUCUAAUAUGCAGACUAAAUAAAAACGGAGGAAGUGCAUCGGAAUACCACAGCUGGCAUCUAACAAAAAUUUCAAACAUGUGAAGAUAUACGUGUACGAAGACACACAAGCAGCACAAAUACAACCUGAAGCUUUCUGAAGCCACACAUGUCCACCAAAAGCUGCAAUAUGUCCAAAGAUCGACGCCACGUCUGACUGGAACCACACUCCGGUUACCACCAGAACGACGGCGGGGACAACCAUCAGAGAGCCUCUGUUUAAUCCAUUGAGUGUUACUCCGACACAGGGGAUGAUGGCCGUGCACAUGUGCCGAAUACCGCAAUAGCACCCGCCGACGCCAUAACAGAAGAAGAAGCACUUGUGACGGCGAGAGAGCAAACUUCUUGGACGACAAAGGGACUCCAACUAGAGAGCCAAGCAACGCCAACGACGAGGCUGGUACGGAUGGGCUCUCCCAGGAACCGCACAGCGGGCCUCCGGGCUUGUUUGUGGUCGAGAUCGAUAGCAAGGACCGGCCACCUACCGGUACAUAUCCGGACAGAUGGUGUCGUGGAAUUGUCACGGCAGAUGUCCUCGAGUUAGGACUUAGUCGUGGGACAAGAAACACGAGGGUUUAUACUGGUUCGGCCCCUUACGGUGAAGGUAAAAGCCUACGUCCAGUUUGAGGUGGUAUUGAUUAGGGUUACGAUCACCAGGGAGCUAAACUGCUAUGCCCGGCUCUCGAUGAGAUUGUUCUUGCCCCUAAACCGCUGCCGGGUCGUCCCUUUAUAUAGGGAGGCUGACGCCCAGCAGCCCUUAGAGUCCCGGCCGGCUCAUAAGAGUGUCCGGCUCGGACUCUCAAUCAUACUUGCCUUACACUACAAGUUCUACCAUAAUAAUGAUUGUAACUAUGGGCCUUAAGCCGUAUCCGGGUCUUAGCCCAUCUCUGGCCCAUCGUCUUCAAGCUUGGCUCCGGGCUUCUGGCAACGACCAUACGAGUAACCCGGCCCCUCCUGGCGGGUGACUCUAAGGUCUAUAUCCUCAACAGAUGGGAUAUAUUUUGGGACAAAAUCACUGUUUUGACCUCGUGAGCAAUCUUUGUCGCAAACUGAACUCGACAUAAAAGUAUUUCACGAUCUGACCCUUUUAGCAAUGUCACAACCCACGGCGUUGCGGCCCAACACAGAAACGCCAAGCAAGGUCGCGUUUAUGCUCCACAUAGAAACGCCGAGCUAGCUCGCGUUGCUGCCCAGGACAAGCUGGCAUCGCUCGCUGACGUGGCAUGCUGGAAACGCCAGGACCGAUGGCGUUUCUAACUUGUGUACAAACGCCAGAGUGCAUGGCGUUUUUGGCUUUGAUACAGCGGCGGCAGAGGCCUAUGUCGGGCGAUGGAAAACAGUCCCACGCUGCAAAUACCCAAUUGCUUAAUCGUGCAGCUGCACGAUUCGGCGCGCGCGAGCGCACGCCGCUCGACCGUGCGAUUCGACAGAUCUGGACCGCGUGUUGGUAACGGUUCAGACCAGGAGGUAGUGGUGGGCCCCGCCCCAUUAAUUCAGGCGAAACCGCUGUUCGCACGCCCUCCCCUUCCCCUUUUCAUUCGAAAUCCUCCAUCCCCUUCCCUCCAUUUUCGAAACGGCCUUCACCUCUUUCUCCGAAAACAACGACGUGCGCGGGACUGCGGUCGUGGAUUCGCCGGGGAUUCACCGGCGUGGGAGGCCGUUCGCCGGCGUGGGGCGGCUGUGGCGACAGGCGGAGGUAAUUCUGCAUCUCGCUCUUGGUGGUUUUCCCCCUAGAGAUUGGCUUGGUGAGGGUGAGGGCUAGGGUUUGGGUGAGGUGUCGCCCAGGUGUCGGGGGCGAGCACGGAGGGCGAGGAGGGCGAGCACGGACGGCGAGGAGGGCGAGCACGGGUUGUCCAUGGUGUCCGCAAGCUUGGAGGGGGAGCGGGGCCGUGGGCGUCGUGGAGGGGGAGCAGGGGUCGACACGGUGGGGGUUGAGAUCCCGUCGAGUUUCUCGCUGGGGAGUUUCGGCUUCUGUUCUGAGCGUGUGGAUCCAUGAGGCGAUUCCUGUUUUUUUUGUCAGAUAGUUGCCCUGUUUUUGUGAAGCAUGUGUUGAUUUUUGUCUCAGCCAUCGGCGCUGUUGGUGCCUGGAUCUAAUGUGGGGCAUUGUGCAGCCAGGUGAUAGUAGUUGCUCACUUUUUCUCACAAUUAGUUGCUAUGAAAUUGCGCAGCGGUUGCUNNNNNNNNNNNNNNNNNNNNNNNNNNNNNNNNNNNNNNNNNNNNNNNNNNNNNNNNNNNNNNNNNNNNNNNNNNNNNNNNNNNNNNNNNNNNNNNNNNNNNNNNNNNNNNNNNNNNNNNNNNNNNNNNNNNNNNNNNNNNNNNNNNNNNNNNNNNNNNNNNNNNNNNNNNNNNNNNNNNNNNNNNNNNNNNNNNNNNNNNNNNNNNNNNNNNNNNNNNNNNNNNNNNNNNNNNNNNNNNNNNNNNNNNNNNNNNNNNNNNNNNNNNNNNNNNNNNNNNNNNNNNNNNNNNNNNNNNNNNNNNNNNNNNNNNNNNNNNNNNNNNNNNNNNNNNNNNNNNNNNNNNNNNNNNNNNNNNNNNNNNNNNNGAUAUGGUGAGGGAGGUUUGGGGUUGAGAUCCCGUCGAGUUCCCAGCAAGGGGGGGGGGGAUUUUCGGGGUGCUGUUUUUGAGCGUGUGGAUCCAUGGGAGGAUCCCUAUUGUUUUAAGGAUAGUUGCCCUGUUUUUGCGAAGCAGUUUUUUGGCUUUUGUCUCAGCCAUCAGCGCUAUUGGUGCCUGGAUCUAAUGUGGGGCAUUUGUGUAGCCAGGUCAUAGUAGUUGCUCAUUUUUUUUCUCACACAUCGCUAUGAAAUUGCGCAGCAGUUGCUGUAUUUUCCUGUGCUCACACAACCAUUGCGGUGCUGUUUUUGUUGUUGUGAGUGCCUGGAUCUAACCUAAUGGGGCACUGUGUAGCGAGCCAACAGUAGUUCUUUUCCUAUGCUUACACAACCAUUUGGGUUUGUUUGGAUCAGCCGGGUAGUUUGUGUAUGUAUAUGACAGUAGUAUUGCUUAAUUUUAGUACUAAUUUUUCCUAAUUUUUUUGCAAAGAAAUAUAUCAUUAGUUGCUAAUUUUGGGUAUUUAGUUAUUUUUAUUGUCCUUUUAUUUUGUUUUGUUGCUACAAGUUGCCCACCCAACAUCCUGCAGUUGCCUAGAUUCAACAACUAGUUUGCCCGUAUAGUGGACGAGAUGUCAUUAGGAAUAAUAGGCAUUCUUUCUCUUUUUUCGCAGUAGUCGUGGUGAAUCAAGUUAGGAGAUGUUAAAACAGAAGCUCAUUAUUAAGCAUUUCCUUUUAUCGCAGUACUAUCUGCAAGUAUAAUUGUGCUCAUAGGUCUUUUUUGUGUUUUUCCCCAGGAAAAUGACAUUUUUUUGCUGUUGCAUACUUUGUUUUACAGAAUGGCCCGAGAAAGCAAGAGGAUUGCAGGUAGGACUGAUGGCGAAGGUGGAAAUGCGGGAAACGAGGAGCUGGUCCAAACGGCAAGCAAUGUCCGAUGCAAGCGCGGGCGAACGAACGAUAAUCCUGUCCCUGCUGGACGGGCUGGGAACCGGGCCACCGACUCCGCUCCUCGUGAUGAAGAAGGGAGGCAGCCAAAACGUGUGAAGAAAAGCAGAGACGAGGUUUUUUUUCUCUAAGAAACUUGAACUCUGUAGCGGGAUGUUUCUGUUGUAGUUUAUCUAAAGGCAGGGACAUUAGGUAACCAGAAUAUAGUAGUUGUACCAGUUGAACAUAGUAGUUGUCCAGAAUAGUAGUAGUAGUUGCCUAGUAUAGUAGCACCAGUUGCUUUUUAGUGUAGAUGUAGUAUAGCAGUACUUGCUGCCUAGUAUAGUUGUACCAGAUGCCCAGUAUAGUAGUACCAGUUGCCUAGUAUAGUUGUACCAGGCGCCCAGUAUAGUAGUACCAGUUGCAUAGUAUAGCAGUACUAGUUGGCUAGUAUAGUAGUACUAGUUGCCCAGUAUAGUAGUAAGAGUUUGCAUACUAUAGCAGUACUAGUUGUGUAGUAUUUGUAGCACCAGUUUGCUAGUAUAGCCGUACUAGAUGUAUAGCAUAGCAGUACUAGUUGCCUAGUAUAGUAGUACUAAUUGCCCAAUAUGGUAGAACCAGUUUGUUUUAUAAUGUAGAUGUAGUUGCUCAGUUUCCCACGCAGAGCAGCCUUGCCUUAUUUUUUAUUUUUUAUUUUUCUUCUGGUUUUUCUGUCUCCACAGAUUGGAACUAGUGCCUCGGCACCAAGGAACAGGGCAUCACCUUCAAGGCUAUUCACUCUAAAUGCCGACCUUGUAGACACACAAAAGGGAGUCAUUUAUGAAAUUAGUUUUGGUGGCGUACUUGAUAUCGACACGAGAACAAUGAAAGGAUCUAUCAUGAAGUUUGUCAUCGAUUGUUAUGACCCGGAGUUCUCCCAGCUUCUUAUACCUGAUAGGGGUAAGAUCCCUGUCGAUGCAGACAGCGUUGAAAGGAUAUGGGGUCUGCCAAGGGGGCGAAACAAGGUUGCAUAUGAAAUUGAUCCAGACAUAGUAAAGUUUUUCAACGGGAUGUUCAACAUUCCUUCAGGCCUUGCCCCAACAGUGACCAAGUGGGUGGAGAAGAUAAAGGAAAUGGGAGAUGCUCAUGAUGACACGUUCUUAAGCGCCUGGCUUGUCAUUGUUUUCAGCUGUUUUCUCGCACCGACUACGGGCUUGAAGGUGUCGCCGCGUGCCUAUUCAGCUGCGUUGAACCCACUCGAUAUUGCGAAUUCAGAUGUUUGCCAGUUUGUCAUUGACCAGCUUAGGAUCGCUUUCAUGGGGCUAGGAGACAAGAAGAAUACCAGAUGUUGUUGCCUUUUCCACCUAGUGGUAAAAUGAUCUAGAUCCCCCCUUUUUUAUGGUCCAUUGUCUUUCUUUUCAUUGUCAAUACUUUACAGGAAACUAACAUUUUUCCUUUUUCUUUUUGUUUGUGUUUUGGUCUGCGAGACAACUCGUUUACCUCGACUCGCUAGAUGUGGACUUCAGGACCAUCUCCAAGGACUUUGUGCAUGAAGACAUGCCGAAUAUUCUUCCAAGGGUUGAGGCCUGGAACGAGGGUCUUAUCAAGGCAGUCAUGAAAAAGGACAGGAUCAGAAAGGGUGUAUAUGGAAAGCUGCGAGUAAGUUUUUCCCUGUUUUUUUCAAUGCACUUUUUUCUCAUGGUUGUUCAGCAUGUAGAGCCUCGUGUUUUAUCAAGUAGGCAUGUAGUUUUUGAGGUCGACUUGCUCACCAGUAGGUUUUUGUAGUUGCCCAUAAUCAGAGGUGGACUUGCGCUCUAGUAUAUUUUGUAGUUGCCCAUAAUCAGAGGUGGACUUGCUCCAUUUACAGUUAGAGUUGCCCAUGUACAUAGUUGUAUUUGCUCAUCAGCAUGAUCCAUUCUUUUGGAGUUAUAUGUUGUUCAGUCCAAAUAGUUAUGUAUGGGUUUUUCCAGUUUUAUAUCAUGUGUUCUGCGGGAGUUGCCCAACAAUAUGCAUGUUGUUGCCCUAAUUUUUAGGGAAUUUUACCACUAGGUCGAUUGAGUGUAUCUCGACUUGCUCACCAGUAGGUUUUUGUAGUUGCCCAUAAUCAGAGGUGGACUUGCCCUCCAGUAUGUUUUGUAGUUGCCCACAAUUAGAGGUGGACUUGCUCCAUUUACAGUUAGAGUUGCUCAUGUACAUAGUUGUAGUUGCUCAUCAGCAUGAUCCCUUUUUUUGGAGUUCCAUGUUGUUUAGUCCAAAUAGUUAUGUAUGGGUUUUUCCAGUUUUAUAUCAUGUGUUCUACGGGAGUUUCCCAACAAUAUGCAUGUUGUUGCCCUAAUUUUUAGGGAAACACUUUGAUAAACCUCGCAAUAUAAUAUCUUUUUUUGCGUGAUUGAUUUUUAAUUCCCUCAACCUUUUUUCCCCUGACUGUUGAUCUCUAACACGUGCCCAUCAACACCACAGUUGAAAUCUAAGUUCUCAAGGUGUGCUGAAGACACUCUGUUUGGUAGCAUGGAUCAUAUCGAGAAGUUUGUUGCUGCCAGGCUACCCCAGAAUUACGACAUCAAUGUAUGGUCCUUUUACUGUGCUUCCUAGUAUCCGACACUUUUUUUAUGCAAAGUUGAUAAUGAAAUGCAUGUUUUAUCUAUGUUUUGUCUUGUUUGUUUUUUGUAGAAACAGAAGAAGUUGACGGUGCUUGUACACAACAUGUGCUCUGGAAUAUCUUCCCAAGUGGGGAAGUUUGUUCUAGGUGUUGGCAAGCUUGAUGAGGAGGAACAUGUGCCAGUCACGAGUACUUCCAGGGACCCAGAACCACGCCAACCAUUGGUGAAGGAAAGGCAUAGAAGAGCAGCGACAGUUUCUAAAGUGAAAAAUGUUGAAAGGAAGAAGAAAGGAAAGGGCAGCAGAACUCAUGAUGGGGAGAGCCCUUUGUUGUCUGAUGAUAAUGAGGAGGAAACGGAGGACGACGAACUGAAACUUUCAGAUGAAGAUGAAGAGGAGGAAGGAGAGUACGAUGAUGAAUGUGGAGAUGAGGACAUUUCCGAUGGGGAAGGUGACGACGACGAUGAUGAUGAAGAUGACAAUGACAACAAUGAUGGUUUAGAGAGCCCGCCAGCAGCAACAGAUCCCACCGACAUUGAGCGCAUGGAUGCCGAAGGGGAUGAAGACGAGGAUGAAAAGGAGGAGGAAGAGGGGAGUGAUGAGAAGGAGGAAGAAGAGGUUGAUGAGGAGGAGGAAGAGCUGGGUUAUGAGGAGGAGGAAGAAGAGGACGAUGAGGAGGGGGAAGAGGACGAUGUUGAGGGGGAGGAGGAGGAUGAAGACAAGGAUGAGGAGGAUGGGAAGGAGGAAGAUGCAAAUAAUGUAGACGAGGACAUAAAUCAGGAGCAGAGCAAGGGAAAUGAGCAACAGGGAAAAGAAGAGCUUGAAAAAGAGUAGAAACGGGAGGAUGAAAAGAACAAAGAUGAGAAGCAAGAGAAGGAUGAUUUUGGGAAGGAUGAAGGUGGAGAUGAAGGAGAGAAGGAUGAGGAGGAAGAAGGUUGCAUGGGAGGGAAGAAGGGGGAAGACGACAAGCAUGAUGACUGGACAGGCAGCAACGCUAGCGCUGACAACACCACUUGGAGCGGCCACGAUGGAGGUGCAAAACCCCCAGGGUGGCGUACGGACAGUUUUGAUGAUGAGGUCUCGCUGAGCACUAUCAUGGAGAAGCUGAAGCGUGGUGCCAAGGAGCAGGAGCAAUCACACCCGUGCACGAGCACCAGCAAAACACAGGGGGGCAUGCAAAGUGCUAGCAGUUUUUUUCACAGCGACUUUGUUAAGAUGCACAUUCAAAAGGAACCGUUCGAGGUAGACAGCGCACCCGCUUUGACUGCUGCGGAGGUGGUCAGAAUGGGAGAUUUAGCUUUAAAGCAGAAGAAGAGAGUGCUUGAGAUUCGAGAUAUACCUUUAUUCCCGUUGCCCGUGCUGCCACCUGAAGAUUUCUUGCCACGUACGGACUUUCACUGUGAAGAAAUGAUUGUGGAAGAUGGGUUGAAACGUUUUACUGACGUCCCAAAAGAUGGUAGUGAUACACAAUUAGAAAAAGGAGCCGAGGCGGGUGGGAAGAAGAAGGUUAAGAAAAUAAGCCACAGAACAGUGAAGGCUAGCGCUGCAUCCCCUUAACCAAGCCAAACAGCUAAGCAGCAAGCUCCCACACAUGUCCAGAGUUUGGGAACUGAUUCAAAAAAACAGACAGUCACGGCAGCUCCAAAACCCAAGGUGUUUCAGAAAAAAUCAGCAAACAAGCAAAAAAAACUGUUGGCAUUUUGCAAGCAACUGCAGCUACAUCUCAAGCAACUAUGGUCAACAUGCAGGCAGAAGCCCCUCGCAAGCAACACACCGAGCCAGUGGUCAAGAGUGCACUUGUAUCUGGACAGGACAAGCAUGGAGGCAAAGUGUUAGAACCAGCAGAGUCCAGAAAAAUGCAGCCAGCACAGACUUGUGAGCAGUCGAAAUAGCCAGCAGUCAAUGAGAGUGCCAAAGAGGAUAUCAAGGGGAAAGGAGUUGCAGUGCUGAAAGAAGCAACUGCAGUGAUUAAGGAAGCAACUCCUGUAGUAAACCAGGCAACUACAGAUGAAGUUGCAGCCCAGACAACAAAGAAGCCUCCUUUUGUUCACACCAAGCAAGCUUGCUCUGGACAAAGGAAAGAAAUAUCUUUUACUGAUAUCAGGGACAUAAACGAGCUACUGGAAAGGUGUGUGACUCCAGGGUCAAUGCCACCACUCAUGAAAAGUAAGUCUGCCGACACUAUUCCUAUAAUACGGGCGUCUCCCGUUCUUAAUCAGGCAACAAGCAAAGAAGUCUCUGAUUCAGGUGAAGCACAACAAUCACUCCAAAGAUCAAAGUCUGGAAACGCUGUUUGGGAUAAUUAUUGCCCAGGCCCACCUUUCGAUCUUGGAAUAGAUGAAAUGCCAGAAAACAAAGUGGAGGAGGACAAGGAGAUGUCAAAGGACAAGGCGGUGACAAACGAACCUGCCACUGCCGACAUUGAGUGGGGAAUUGACUGGUGCAACCUGGAUUUCGAUGGAGUUGUUGAAGGGGCAGUCAAAAGUGUUGUAGGUGAGGGGUCGGGGCAGAUGUCACCUUCUGGAUUUUGCACACCAACCGGUGAGGCAAAAAUUCCCGGUGCAGGGGAGUCUAGCCAAGGUGGUGCCAGCAACCACGACGAUCCCAUUGCCCAGAAGCGUGAGAGGAGAAUACUAAAACCACCUCCAUCACAAAGGUCACCGUAUGUGAACUUAGAAGUAAAAAAGGACUUCAAUUGUUCACCAGAUGUAAACAGGUUGUAUGCAUUGGUUUUGAUGCUCAGAGGAGCAGGAACGGGGACAACAAGGACAUCAAGUCAGGAGGAUCAAACGUGCGGUUCUUUCUUUUUUUCAAUAACAUGUUUUUUGGCAUCACCCUAACUUAUCCGUUGGUCUUUUCUGAAACACCUCCUCCUUCUGCUUAUACAGGCCGCAUAUCAUAAAUUACCGUGGCUAUUUUUGCACAUUGAAGGAGCUAGCUCAAUCAAUGAGGAGGAAUGGGUGGCUCAGGACCCAUGUCUUUGAGUUAGUGAUCGAGGCAAUCAUGUUCAACAGAAGGCAGGGCUCCAAGAAAGUAAUCAUGCCUCUAAGGUUUUCAGUAAGAAUAAUCAACUUCUAUUUUUUUCAAAUUAUUUUUUCUUUGUUUUCUUAUUUUUUGUUGGCACUGAUUUUUCAUUUGGUGCUUGUUCCCCCCAGAUUGCGCUCCAAAAAGUUGAUUUGAGCGGGGCUGAGUUGACGAACAGGUUUAAGGCAGAAAACCAUCUGGAUCAGCAAGAUAUGGUAUGUAUCCACACAGCAACAAGUGCUCUUUUUUAGAUAUCUAAGUUGCUUUCAACUAUACCCAGAGUUGCUUGCGUUAAGUAGCUAAGUUGCCUCCAACUACACCCCAGAGUUGCCCAAAAUCAAACACAACAAGAAAAUUAUUAACUGGCCAGAGAUAUCUUCAGAGUUGCUCACAACCACACCCCUCAAAGAUUUUUUGAGGCCUGUUUUAUAACCACACUCAAAUUGUAAGCACAAUCAAUGUAAGUUUCAUAGCGUUUUGCUGAAUUUUUGUUUUAUCACUUUGCAGUUUUUAAAAUUUUUAAAGUUGCAUACAACCACACCCAGAGAUGCUUAUAAACACAUUUCAAUUUUUGUUCUACUAGUCGCUUUAUAACCACACUAAAAUUAUAAUCACAAUCAAAUUAAAAGUUGCAUAUAACUGUUGUCUUUUUUUCGAGAUCUAAGUUGCUUUUCAACUAUCCCGAGAUUUUUUUAAAUACCUAAGUUGCCUACAACCACCCCCAGAAUUUGUUCAAAACCACACUCAAAACAAGAUCAGCAACUGGUCAGAGCUACCUUCAGAGUUGCUCACAAACACCCCCUCAAAGAUUUGUUUUCCUAGUUGGUUAUAACAAUACUCAAAUUCCAAGCACAAUCAAAUGUAAGGUUCAGUGAGUUUUGCUGCAUUUUUUCAUCACUUGCUCUUUUUAAGUAUUGAAGUUGCCUGUAAACAGUCUCAGAGUUGCCUCAAAACUCUUGUUGAUUGUAACCACUUUUUCUCAAAGAUUUUUGUUUGCUAGUUGGUUAUAACAAUACUCAAAUUCUAAGCACAAUCAAAUGUAAGGUUCAGUGAGCUUCGCUACAUUUUUUUCAUCACUUGCUCUUUUUAAAUAUUGAAGUUGCCUGUAAACAGCCUGAGAGUUGCCUCAAAAACUCUUGUUGAUUGCAACCACUUUAUUCUCAAAGAUUUUUGUUUGCUAAUUGGUUAUAACAGUACUCAAAUUCUAAGCACAAUCAAAUGUAAGGUUCAGAGAGAUUUGCUGCAUUUUUUUCAUCACUUUGCUCUUUUUAAAUAUUGAAGUUGCCUAUAAACAGUCUCAGAGUUGCUUCAAAACUCUUGUUGAUUGUGACCACUCUUUUUCCUUCUGCAGGUGAUGAUCCAUGUGCUUGAAAACCUAGAGCUAGACACACCCAAUCGCACAUGCCACUACUGGGUUUUCAACAUAAAUUUGAGGGACGGCAGGUUUGAGGUGUUUGACUCGCUGAGACUCGUCAAGAAAAGCAAAAGGUUGGACGGGGUAGCAAGGUGCAUUGUAGCAUCUGUUCGGACAUUGUGGGAUAUACAUUAUCCAGAGCAGGCAAAAAUCAUGGAGAAAUUCCCACUAGUUGACAUUGAUGCACCGAAGCAGAUCAUAGCGUAAGAACUACUUACUUGCAGAGUUCGUAGGAGUUAUGUGUGGUUUUUUUCAAGUGUUCUUCUGACAUAAAGGAUUCUCUCUUUAUUUAUGCAGAGGUGAUUGUGGGAUUUUUGCUCUGAUGAACGUACUAUUCUGGAAUGGGACAUGGCUUCCCAACUACGGACAAGCUGACAUACAGAAUAUCAGGAAGCGAAUGACCAUCUCCAUGAUCAAAUGUGAACUAAACAAGGAGCCAUGGCAGGAGAUUCUCAAACCAGUCAAAAAGUAAAAGGACAUCGGUACAGAGGUUUUUCAUCUUUUUUUCAGCACAUCAAGUGAAACAACCUCACAUUACUGGCAAUCAAUCAUGUUUUUUGAUUUUUAUCAUUUGAUUGAGCAUACAAUGGAUCCAGCUAUGAACUUAAAGCAAAGAACUAGGUGUUAACCAUUUUCCAUAUCACCUGCCCAAAAUCAACGCACAAGUGGCUUCAUACUGCCCCACUGUUUGCUCAAAAACUGUGCAUGAGUUGUUUUUUUUAAACACAGCUGCUGACAACUUUUUUGGCAAGAGGAAUCAAAAACCACAGAAUGAUUAAGCAUAUAGAUUUCCACAUUUUCCUUUCAAGCAACGACCAUUUUCUUUGAAGCUAUAUGUCUGCAAUUAUGAAUUUAAAGCGAAGACAGAAACAAGGACAAAUAUAAAUUAUUACAAGCUUCUCCAAAUCGAUCGACACGUUUUUUGACAUAAAACCUGACCUGUGGCGCGGUUGCUUUAAAUUGCCUCAUCAUCUGCUCAAAAAAUGAGGUCAACAGUUGCUUCCAGUGUACGGCACCUAGACUGAGUGGGUCAUUUUCGUCUGUCCACGUCACUUCAACUUCUAAGUGUACUUUUGAGCAUUGUGUUCAAUUGAAUCACAAAGGUUGCAUUUGUUCUUUCUUUUUGGUUGUAGUUCUAGAGCUGAUUUGAACCGUCUGGUGCAGGUGCGGCCUUUUGUGACUGACCUGGGUGGGUCCAUAGGGGGUAGGGGGCAGGUGGAGGAGGAGGUUGACCCGAUGCACUGGGGGCUGUUGGAUCUGAUGCUUCCUUAGCCCGGACUGCUUCCCGGGCUGCCUUGAGCUUCUUUCUCCUUAAUUAGUUCAGUUUAGUAACCUCAGCGUCUGCUGCCUUCAUGUGCCUCGCAACCACAGGAGCAGCCUCAUCACUUGUCAUUGCUUUCUUUGCCAACCUUGCAAAAUCCAUUGUCAUAUUCACUUGGCGCACUUGGUUCUCUGACUCAGGGGGCAAGUCUGGGCCAGAAUUUUGGUCAAUUGGCGAGGGCACACUUGGGACUGCAUCUUGCGUCCAACGUUGCUUGAUGUAGUGUGUAGGGAUCUCAUUAACGCCAAGGUGUCUGAAGAUUUUCAAUACAUGGCAACAAAGUAUGCCGUCCCUAUGCCACUUGCAACAUUCACAAUCAUAGAUUGCUGGCUCUGGCCUCACUAUGACUAGGUACUUCCUUGAGCCAUACCCUAGAACUUCUUCUAUAUUGGGCUCAAGGUGAUAGAAGUGGAUUCCAGCGGGGAACACAUCGUACUGGCCAAUCAUCUAAAACUCAGUUCUAAAUUUCACAUAGAUGUCCCUAGUGUAUGCCUUGUAGGCAUGUCUCUCAAUGGGGAAACACGACCAUCUUUGUGCGUCUAGAUGCUCUGUCCGGUAGUCGUUCCCGCCUUCCCUCACGAGUAUGUGUACCUAAAUUUUCUCAUGUUGCUUGACAAAAUUGAGGAGCGACUUGUGUGGGUUCACAUAGCGCUUCAAGACAACGUUGAACCCUUCGCUGCGUUGUGUUGAUUGAAGGAACGGGAAGAACCUGAAUUUGAAGUAGCAUGGCACCCAUGUAGCCUGGUCUUCAUACAAUUUCUCAAAGUGCCCAUACAUGAGCCCAUCAUACUUUAUCAAGAGUGCAACCCACUUUCGCUCAAAUUCCGCAGGGGUGAAACUGAAGUCAAUACACUCAUUGAAGUCCUUCACCAAAUCUGGGUUCCUAGCCAACACUGGUCCAAGUUUUUCUUGCGCCUUCUUCAUAAUAUGCCAACGAUAACAACGAUGUAUUGCUGCGGGGAACUUGUUCUUGAUAGAUGCCGCCAUUGCAGCAUCUUGGUCUAUGAUUAUGUUGUCCGGAGCCAAUCCAUCCAUUGCCUCCAAGAACGCAUCAAAUAGCCAGUCAUAGCUUGAGGCUAGCUCCUUCCGGACAAAGCCACACCCAAGCAUAAUAGAUUGCCCAUGUCUGUUGAUGCCAAUGAAGGGGGCAAACGGCAUACUGUACAUGUUCGUGAGAUAAGUUGCAUCAAAUGAUACGCAAUCGUGGUAAGCCGUCGCAUAAGCUUUCCGGGCUGCACCAUCCACCCAAAACAAGUUCUCACACCUGCCUUCCGCAUCCGUCUUGCACUUGAAGAAAAAACCAGGGUCUGCUUCCUUAACUUUGCAAAAGUAGUUCAGGGUUUCUUCAACGUCGCAGUCUUUAGUUGCAGCAUUCAGCUUUGAACAGUGGUUAUGUAUGGCUUUGCACGUGUAAGGGAUGAUCAACUCUGACCCAUAGUAUGAUGACAUCACCAUCAUCAUUCUCCCUGUCAAAGACAUUUUUUCACAAUACCUUGUGUUAUUUUUUUGAAGCAACAAAAACAUGAUGUAAGGAGCAACUUAUGCAUAAAAUAGAGCAACUUCAUAUACAUAAAAAGUUCUUUCUUUUUACUAGUUUUCCCCCUAUGCACACGAAAUGCACAAUGUGAGAAGUUAGUAGUUUUUUAUAUGCUGGGCACCACGUAUCUUAUCAGAGUUGCUCAAAGCCAAAACAGAAUUGCUCAAAUUAAAAAAAGAGAGUUGCCAGAGUUGCUUUUUUCUGACCAAAAAGAUGAGGGGUGGUGGGGUGUUUUUUGAUGUACCUGUCUAGUUGUUGUCGUGUAGAUGAGUCAGAAAUUUUUUCUCCUCUGGGGGGAUGCCUUGGUGGGAACGGAGAUAUUUGGAUAGUGAAGGUUUGUCAACCAACGGAUGGGUGUGAUUUGCAAUGAAGUUUAUAACUUCCCAUCUGCCAUCUAUUAGCUUGACCACCAUCUUAGCAGGGCAUUUGGUUUGCUUUAUAGUCUCCCUUUUUUGCUUCUUCUUAUAAGUGGGUUCUUCAUCAUCCUCUUCAAUAUCUUCUUCAGGGGAGCUUGUGCAUGCACUUUUUUUGCUUGAUGAGACAUCUGAUACUCCAACCCUCUCCACAGGCAUACGAAACUUGUUACAACAGAAUUGUUGCCUGUCCAGCACCCCUGUGUAUGCCGACCUGUGGGACGUGUUUGACUUGAUUGAAAAACCCACCCCUAGAGCAUAGCGAUUGUAGUGUUCUCUUGCCCCCACUAGCGUGUCAAAGCGCAUACCAACAUAGGGCAGUUGCGGCUGCGACCCUGCUUCUUCAUCUUCCAAGUCAGGUUUAUCAUCAACUGUAGCAUUAGCAGGACCAAGUACAGCAUUGGGAGCAGCGACAUGGGUGGUCAGAGCAUGAGCAUCAUUAGAGCCAAUGCGGGGUCUAGUGACUCACCAACCCCCUCUUCCAAAUGGAUAUAAGGCUGAUCAUAUGCUGUAUUUAAGAACGGCGCGCCCAACUCAACCGAAAUGUUGACAGACUCGACGUCAACCGGUGGUUCAUUGAGUUUUUUCAUUGUUUUAUUUUAUUCUUCUUGUCCCUCUUUGUUUUGUUUACCAGCUCACCCUGCAGAGACAUUUUCAUUGUCAAUAACACAACCAAUAUAAACAUACUUUUCUGUUAGGAGGACAAAUUGAAGUAAAAGUCUAUACUAGAUUAAAUCAGGGCAACCAUAUACAAUUUUCUAGGCAACUGUAAAGGUAAGCAGAGGCAACUUUUUGUGUUGUUUUCACACAAGUUCAAUUUUUUUGUCAUACAUUUUUCUUCUCUGUGUUACCCACCAGCGCACAAUAUGUGUAUAAUUUGCUGACAAGUGUGUUCCCUUUUUGUUCUUCAGCAGGAGGUGGCAAACACUUUUUGCAGUGGGGGAAAGAUGCAUAUAUGUUAGGCAGGUCUAAGCAUGGGCAGAAGACCUUUUUUCAUUUUUAGUAGUGGAUUUGUGUGGAUUUAGGCAGAUCUUCUAUGCAAUGUUGUUACUUUUAAUAUGUUUUUUAUUUGUGUCCUUAUUUAUGAGAGGAUACACAUGUACUGAACUACGUUUGAAUGCUUUUGUGUGAAUAUUUUCUGUUUUUACCAGAUUGAGAACCGUAUGCAGUUUUUGCCGGAUUGAUGAAUGCAAGCAUCUUGAUGCAUACUUUUGUUCAUGACAAUUGUAUGUUGCUCAGUUUUGUCUGUAAAACCAUUGAGAGGUGGGAAGUUGCUUGGAAAUUGUUUCUCUUUUCUUUACAUAAUGGACAUAGUUGCUUAGUUUUACAAAUCAGGAAAAGAAACACCCCCUCUUGAUCCCUCAAGCAGGGGAAAAGAUAUUUUUUUGCAGUUGUUCAACGAACACAAUACAAUUGCGUAAAGUAGGAGGAUCAGUUGCUCAGUGUUUUUUUGCAAAACAACUGUAAGCCUAUUGACCAGGGACAGACAAACACAAUGCACAUAGAUGCUCAGUUUUGAAACCAGUAACAUGCAAACCCUUUUGAUAUCUCAAGCAGGGACAAAGGUUUUAGGUUUUUUGUUCAUAUCCCCCUCAUUUUUUUGCAGUUGCUCAACGACCACAAUAGAAUUGCCUAAAGUUGUAGCACUAGAUGCUCAGUUUUUUUUUGCAAAACAACUCUAGGACUAUUGAUAUGGAACAGACACACACAAUGCACAUAGAUGCUCAGUUUUGAAAUCAGGAAUAGACAAACCCUAUUGAUAUCUCAAGCAGGGACAAAGGUUUUAGGUUUCUUGUUCAUACCCCCACAUUUUUUUGUACUUGCUCAACGAUCACAAUGAAAUUGCCUAAAGUUGGAGCACUAGUUGCUCAGUUUGCUUUUUGCAAAACAACUGUAGGCCUAUUGACCAGGAACAGACAAACACAAUGCACAUAGAUGCUUAGUUUUGAAAUCAGGAACAUACAAACCCUAUUGAUAUCUCAAGCAGGGACAAAGGUUUUAGGUUUCUUGUUCAUACCCCCACAUUUUUUUUGUAGUUGCUCAACGAUCACAAUGAAAUUGCCUAAAGUUGGAGCACUAGUUGCUCAGUUUGCUUUUUGCAAAACAACUGUAGGCCUAUUGACCAGGAACAGACAAACACAAUGCACAUAGAUGCUUAGUUUUGAAAUCAGGAACAUACAAACCCUAUUGAUAUCUCAAGCAGGGACAAAGGUUUUAGGUUUCUUGUUCAUACCCCCCUCAUUUUUUUUGCAGUUGCUCAACGACCACAAUGGAAUUGCCUAAAGUUUGGAGUACUAGUUGCUCAUUUUACCAAACAUGAAGGGGGGUGGGGUGUUCAUGAUCAAGCAUGAGAUGGACGGUUUUUUGUAGUUGCUUAGUCAAAGUAAUAGAAUUGCCCAAAAUCACUAGUUCCUUAGUUUUUUGCACACACCUACAAAUCCGACCAGAGAGGGACGGGAUUUGUAGGCAAAUCACGAACAGAAGAGGGGGUAGAGGUUUUGGAGGACGGUAGUUACCUUCUGAUCUUGCUUUGUCAAGACACCAUGGACACCCCAAGAUCAGCCUGAUUCUUCAAAUCUGGUUACAAAGUUAGAGGAAGGAGGAAAGGAGGAGGAAAGGAUGAGGGGAGAUCUGAACGUGCUGGUCAAGAAAGAGAGAAAAGAGAGGAGAGAGAGGGGGAUUGCGGGGGCGCGUGAGAGAGAGAAGGGGGCCAACGCACGGGGACCAGGAGGUGGACCAGGUGUGAUCGGGGCGCGUGCGAUCCACCCGUGAUUCGCGCAGGCUUCAGUUCCUUGAUUUCGCGUGCGCGGGGCUGUCUUUCCCUUUUCGGUUGUCUGCUCGCACGCGGGUCGUUGCUUCCUUUUAUGGGAGAGUGCUCGGUGGUGCGAUCGGGCGCCCGUGCGCCAGGGAGCCACGUCCCUGCAAAUAAUGUACCUUGUAGGCUAUGCUGUAAGCUAGGCUGUAGGCUGUUGGACAUGCAUGCUUGCACGGCUGCUAACAAUGCGCUGCACUACAAUCUACUUCUUGCAUACUAGGGGUUGGGGCGCACCCAUGGCGCGCCUCUUGACACGAAGUUGUGCGCACCUGUAUUGCUGCAGCGUCUCGUGCGGCCAUUUUCAUACGCCCACACACAUUAGUCCUCGAUUGUUAGCAAACAAACAGUUGUUGUUAGCAUCACGAUAUUUGUUGCAUCAUUUUUAUGUCCAAUUUAUAUAAACAUCGAUAAUUAGGUUAAUUUUGGUAAUUUUCUUAUUUUUAAUAAAAGUUAACAUUUUCGUAAAAAAUGAAACACUAUUUCCACGAAUGAGUUACCGGUUGAGUACAUGAAGACAUCCUCCUUCGGGACAAUCAAGUAGUACUGAAUUCUAAGUCCAAAGUUGACAGUUGGAUCGUUCUAUAGAAUCCAAGUAAUGAAUUUAAGUUUAGAAAAUUAGUAAUGCAAUGUGUAACAUAAAUGCUUAAGUUUGUUUUAUAUUAACAUAGAAUUAGAAACUGAAAUUUGAAAUGUUGCAUUACCUAUUUGGUCAGGUCUUCCAUGUAGACAAUAUUCUUGGUGUAUGUCUCGCUUGUACUGGUCUUAUUCUUCUUUUUUCUUCUUCUUCUUCCUCUCCUUUGUUUAUGUGUGGCGUGUACUUUUCUUCUUGUUUGUUUCUUUGUCCAGAAGUUGAAAAUUGAUGGUGAUAAAUUUCAUAAUUAACUGAUUUUACUUGUCCAGAAGUUCAAAAUUAUUGAUGAUAAAUUUUAUGUAUAUGCAUGGCAGGUACCACAUUGUUUGUAAGGAUAUUGAAGGAUGUUGUAUGGACAGAUGGAUUAUAGAGUUGGUGUAUAUUAAUCAUGAUAAGGGGAUAAGGAAUAUACUUAUGGCUCCUUGGCUCUGGUUGGGUCAGUAGCUUGGAGAUUGCUUGUAGAUUGAUCUGCUCUAGUUGGCUCAGUAGCUUGGAGUAUACUUGGAGAUUUGCUCUUCUUUAGAAAUCAAAAUCAAUAUUUGUAACCUGGGUGUGUACUAAGUUGCCCGUACUUUUUCGUGUGUACUAAUCUAGGCGUCCAAUCUCUGAAAGCUGGGUACUUUAUAUUAGUCCAACUUUUGCUGGUCCGAGUUGGUGUAUGGAUUUGCUUCCGAUUGGCGAUUGUUUUUCCCCUUCCACGUCCGAUCCAGUAAUCUGUUUCCUUUUUAGUUUGUGAUUCCGUCAAGGACACAAACUGUGAAUGAAUCACUUCAAAAGCCGGCUGAAUCUCAAGAAUGCAAGCUGUUUGAUUGGAACUAAAUUGUACAUUGGACUAUGCUAAUGUUGAUUCCUGGGUAUGGUAUACUUCUCCUCUGUCAGUCGAUUAACCGACGACAAAAAAGUAAAUAAGAUGCAUGGAUCGAUAAUAUUUGACAUCUACAGCUGAGCAUAAAAAAAUACUGACAUGAAAUGUAACGCCCACGAUGCGGCUAUAUCUCCCACGUGUCGAGGCACGACUUAGAGGCAUAACCGCAUUGUGGUUUUGUCGCAAGAAGGGUCAUCUUCACACAAUCCCAUGUAAUGAACAAGAAUGGGAUAACGAGAGUUGGCUUACAAUCGCCACUUCACACAAUACAUAAAUAAUUCAUACAUAUCAUCCAAAAUCCACACAUAGACCGACUACGGUCAAAACCUAAAUGAAAAUAAGAUAACUCCAAAUGCUAGAUCCCCGAUCGUCCCAACUGUGCUCCACUACUGAUCAUCAGGAAAAGAAAAAUAGUAACGACCACGUUCCUCAUCGAACUCCCACUUGAGCUCGGUUGCGUCAUCUGGAUCGGCAUCGUCGGCACCUGCAACUGUUUUGGUAGAAUCUGUGAGUCACGAGGACUCAGCAAUCUCACACCCACGAGAUCAAGACUAUUUAAGCUUAUAGGAAAGGAUGGUGUAAUGAGGGGGAGCUGCAGCAAGCACUAAGCAUAUAUGGUGGCUAACAUACGCAAAUGAGAGCGAGAAGAGAAGCAAUGCAACGGUCGAGAAGCUAGAAAUGAUCAAGAAGUGAUCCUGAAACUACUUACGUUCAUGCAUAACUCAAACCGUGUUCACUUCCCGGACUCCACCGAGAAGAGACCAUCACGGCUACACACACGGUUGAUGUAUUUUAAUAGGGUCAAGUGAAAAGUUUUCUACAACCGGACAUUAACAAAUUCCCAUCUGCCUCAUAACCGUGGGCACGGCUUUCGAAAGAUAAUGCCCUGCAGGGGUGUCCCAACUUAGCCCAUCAUAAGCUCUCACGGUCAACGAAGGAUAAACCUUCUCCCAGGAAGACCCGAUCAGUCUCGGAAUCCCGGUUUACAAGACAUUUCGACAAUGGUAAAACAAGACCAGCAAGACCACCCGCUGUGCCGACAAAUCCCGAUAGGAGCUGCACAUAUCUCGUUCUCAGGGCACACCGGAUAAGCGAAGCGUACAGGUACCAACGUAACCCAAGUUGCCAAGGGACGGUCCCGCACGGUGCUCUAGUUUGGACCAACACUCGGAGGAGCACUGACCCGGGGGUUAAAAUAAAGAUGACCCUCGGGCUCGCGAAAACCCAAGGGAAAAGGCUUAGGUGGCAAAUGGUAAAACCAAGGUUGGGCCUUGCUAGAGGAGUUUUAUUCAAGACGAACUGUCAAGGGGGUCCCAUAAAUCACCCAACCGCGUAAGGAACACAAACUCAAGGAACAUAAUACCGGUAUGACGGAAAGUAAGGCGGCAAGAGUGGAACAAAACACCAGGCAUAAGGCCGAGCCUUCCACCCUUUAUCAAAUAUAUAGAUGCAUUAAUUAAAUAAGAGAUAUUGUGAUAUUCCAAAAUAUCCAUGUUCCAACAUGGAACCAACUUCAACUUCACCUGCAACUAGCAACGCUAUAAGAAGGGCUGAGCAAAAGCGGUAACUUAGUCAAACAACGGUUUGCUAGGAAAAGGAUGGUUAGAGGCUUGACAUGGCAAUAUGGGAGGCAUGAUAUAGCAAGUGGUAGGUAGCGCAGCAUGGCAAUAGAACGAGCAACUAGCAAAGCAAAGAUAGAAGUGAUUUCGAGGGUAUGGUCAUCUUGCCUGCAAGGUUCUCAAAGUUGUCGAAAGCUUAAUCCUCGUAAGCGUACUCGACAGGUUCCUCGUUCACGAACUCGUCUCCCGGCUCUACCCACAACAAGAACACAAGCAACGUAACCACAAUCAAUCACGGGAAAUGCACAACCAACAUGAUGCAAAACAUGUAUGAUAUGCAAGAUGUGGUAUGCGAUGCAUAUGCGUGCUCCGGAAGAAAAAUGAUGAACAAGGCAGUAACUUGGCAAACCAAGCAUGCCACUGGAAAGAUGAGAUGAUUUCGGUCGAAAUUGAUAUAAAGAUCACCGGAAACGGAUGCACGGUUUGCAAAUGGCAAGCAAAACAAGAAUGACACGAUUCUGCGAUUAACAGCAUGAUAGCACUUAGAAUGCAACAAGUAGCAACGCUACAGCACUCCAACAUAGCAACAAAGCAUAUGGAAGUAAUCUACAGGAGAUGCUUGACAAAAGAUGAACACUGAGCUACGGCUAGAUCACAACAUAACAGGUCCAAACAAGCAUGGCAAAAGUGCAAAAGAUAUCAGGUUCACAGACUUGGUGAAAUUACUGGACAUGGCUGAAACAAUAUCAGGUAGCAAUGUUCAGAACAAGAAAUCAACAUGCUACAGGAACUUAACAUAGCAAAACAAGACAUCGCAUGAACCUACUAAAUGCAUAGAACAAAAGCUCCUUACUGACCAUAAGCCAAAAAAGAGCAGAAGAUAUGAUGGCAACCAUGUAAACAUAGCAACUUUCGUUAAUAGGUUUCAGACUUGGCAGAAAACAGAGCAUGGCAGUAAUAGCAUUAUGAAGGCAUCUUGGUGAGCUUGACUCACUCAGCACAAAGCCAUGCAUGACAAAACAAGCAUACCUACAGCAAGAUGGCAAGUUUAUGAAGCUAUCCAUGGCAAGAACAAAUACAAAGCAUGAAUGGAUCAACUACAACAAGCUUGGAAAAAUUGAAUAACGCGUAAACAAUCUGCCAGAAAUAUUUUAUAACAAAAGUAGAGCAAGAUUGAGUCAUGCUAGGUACUCCCUAAUUGCAAACAGGGACAUGGAUGCAUAGAGUACAACUAUAUCUACAAAACAUCCUUACUGAACAUCAUCAAAAGAAGCAUGGAUCCCUCUGUAGCCACAUGGAUACAUAGCAACAAAAUAACAGCAGUCACAGAAUUAGCAAAAUUACUAAGCCCCUGAAAACAGAAACAUCACAAAGCCUAGUUUGCAUGCUUGUGCUAGUCACCACAGAGAUCACAAAAAUACAUGGCAUACACCUCUGUAAAGAUGGGAUGGCAUACAUCAAAACACAUGUAGAGCUCAUGCCCAUAAGAUGCACAUAUUAAAUGCAAAACAAAUAACAAAUCCUCAUGUUCUGAUAAGUAACAGCAGGUAACAGCAUAUAGCACUCUUGCACUAGAGAUUUUGGCAUCAAGAUGGACUCAAAUGAACAUGGCAUAAUGGAACAAAAUGAAGAGCAUCUCGAGAAGAACAUUUCGAUAUAUUACACGCGCGAAACGUAGUUAUAUGGAGAGAGUUAUGCCAUGAUGAAGUAUGCCACAGUAUGUGAAAAUAUCCGAGACUUGGCAGAAAUUAGAGGAGGGGGGAGUCAACCCUAGAGUUUCCAGAUCGGAUCGGGAGCAGUUCGCCGGGGCAGCGGGCUCGGGCGCCGGAGAGAGCUCGGUCGAGGGAGGAGGAGGAGGCGCCGGGGGACGCGGGGGUCGGUUGGGACGCGGCGGGAGGAGGCAGCGAGGAUGGCGUCGAGGCACGCCGGCGCAUGGGCGCGCGGGUGCCGGCGGGCACGGGUGGCGGCCGGAGNNNNNNNNNNNNNNNNNNNNNNNNNNNNNNNNNNNNNNNNNNNNNNNNNNNNNNNNNNNNNNNNNNNNNNNNNNNNNNNNNNNNNNNNNNNNNNNNNNNNNNNNNNNNNNNNNNNNNNNNNNNNNNNNNNNNNNNNNNNNNNNNNNNNNNNNNNNNNNNNNNNNNNNNNNNNNNNNNNNNNNNNNNNNNNNNNNNNNNNNNNNNNNNNNNNNNNNNNNNNNNNNNNNNNNNNNNNNNNNNNNNNNNNNNNNNNNNNNNNNNNNNNNNNNNNNNNCCCGAUCCGGGCUCUCCGGGCCGCGGCGGCGGGGACGGCGGCGAUGACACUUGGCGGCGGCGGAUUGGGCGAGGGCGGCGGCGCGAUUUCGUCCGGCGCCGGGCGGACGUGUCCGGUGCGCGGAGGGAAAGGGCUAGGGUUUCGGGGAUCCGGAAUUUCGGGGAGUCUCACAUAUAUAUAGCUAGAGGGAGCUAGGAGACUCCAAAUGGAGCACGGUUUUCGCCCACACGAUCGUGAUCGAACGACCUAGAGCAUGGAAGAGACUUAGAGGGGUUUUUGGAAUUUUUGGAGGGGGGUUUUGCUGCAACACACAAAAGGACUUUGUGGUUGCCAGGUUAACCGUUGGAGCAUCAAACGACCUCCAAAUGGAAGUGCUCUACCAGUGGUAUACCAAGGCCACUUGGCAAGCCUCGGUCCAUUCCGAAAACGUUCAACUCCCGUUCAUGAAAAGAAACAAGAGGGGUGCGCCGGUGCAUGUGGGAGUGCCGGAUUGCAAAACGGAUAACGGAGAAAAUGCUCGGACUCAUGAGACGAACAUGUAUGCCCAUGAGAUGCACAUGAUGAAAUGAUAUGAGAUGCAUGACAUGAACAAAAUGCAAAACAAAAAACAUAAUCCGACCACGGAGAGAAUAUCAUAACACAUAGCCGAAAAUGGCAAGAGUUGGAGUUACAAAUAUGGAAAGUUACAUCCGGGGUGUUACAUGAAAGAAUUCAUAAACAAAAAAAUAAUUCUUAUCCACAUGCCAAACCAACAAACGUCACAAAGAAGUAAAAAUAAAAUAAAUACACAUGCUGGGUCUAGAAAGAACAUCUGCAGCAUUAGUUUCGGAAGACUAACCUCAACAUAUACACAUGCUCUUCCUAUGCCAUCACUCUAGAGAAAUAGUAGAACCAGAAGGGGAUAAACCAUGCUGCUAGCUGUUAUAGUUGUACGUACAAGUCAUUGUACUCUAGAAGCUAAAUAGCAGAAAUAAUGCUCCAUCGACAAAAUUUCAGUGUGAGUCUCACAGAUGAUCAUUGAUGUGUUCUUGCACAUCCGGCUGCAGUUAGAUCUGGGACCAUCUUUUCUGGUCCUGCCAUUUCAGUUUCUCGUGUUGGUAAUCCAUUGAAAUCCCCCUCGGCACUGGCUUUGACCCCGACCUGCUUAUCUGGGAUGCCAAGAUCAUUUUCUGCAAACCCUUGUCUAUGGAGGACUUCAUUGCAGUUGGCUGGAAUAGUUGGAAGCAAAGGAAUGUGAGGAACGAUCACAUGAAAGAAGUCAUGUGAACAUAUCAGACAUGGUUGUCUGAUAGAACAUUCUUCUGAACAAAGCAGGUUGUACAAAGACUACAAACAAAGUACUCCCUCUGUUCCUAAAUAUAAGUCUUGUUAGAAGAUUUCAAUAUGGAGUACAUAUAGUGGAAAUGGGUGAAUCUCACUCUAAAAUCUGUCUAUAUACAUCCAUAUCUAGUCCACAUUGAAAUCUCUAAAAAGACUUUAUUUGGAAACAGAGUGAGUAGUUCUUAUCAACAUGCUGAACCCAAAAAAUGUCAUGAAGAAGAAAAAAAAAGAAACAUCACCUGCAGCAUUAGUUUCAAACUUUUCUAUCGCUUGGCUUGCAACAACUCAUGUGCAUUACCAAAUUAAUGAAUAGGAGCAUUUAUCAGUAAGGAGAAAAGUGAAGUACCAGGCUCCAACCAGCCUCCUGGAAUGAGGUCAGGAACUAUCCAACUACAGAUCAAGAUCCAUACAGUGCGACAUCCAUACGCCACCAAGAAGUAGUAUUUUGCUGUAGUGAAUUAAAGAAGCAUCAAGUGUGCUCGUCCUCGGACCCACUCGUGCCCCCCCUGAUUUCAUCGGCCUUGUUGACGUGUGAGCCACUGCCGACGACAUGAACUCAUGCAGCAGCCUUGUUGACGUGCUCCCCCAUGAACUCAUGUAUUUUAGUUUAACAUCUGCUUUGGGAAUAAGAAAUUAUGACCCAUUAAAUACGAUAGUCGAACUUAGUCUUACCAAUCCACAUAUUUUUUUUAGAAAUCUCCACUGAUGAUUGUAACAAAAGAAUUCAGUCGACACAAAAAAGUAAGUCACGCUUCAAAUCUUGGGGCAUGCAAAGCCUGUUGGAGGCUCGAACACAAAUAAGCUAGUAGAACCAUGCACUCCCUUUGUCUGUUGGUACAACAUGAUGCAAAUUAUUUAUGACAAUCCAUUAUGCGAAUUACCUAUGAUAAUCUGAAUUGAAUCACAGCAGUUAAUAUGUUGCACAUUUUCAUAUUGAGGAUCAGGGAAGAAAUGGCCAUACUGCAAAAAGAUGGAUACAUUAAAAUUAGAUGGUAUGGUUAAGUGUUAAAUCCUUAUCUGUCACUGCAAUUUUUCAUAACAGUUAUGCCACUAUUGCACCAAUGGCAUGUGGGUCCAAACCUAACAGGUCAGUGGCACCCAAGGUGGGUUAAACACUUUUACUGUGACAGACAUGGGAUUUGAUCCUACAGAUAAUGUGAAUACGGGUAGCUUGAAGGCUUACAGAGUGGCCCGGAUCAAAAUCUUGUGAUGUUCUCAGCCUGAGAACACAACCAAAUGCAUAGGAUCAACUCAACAUGCGAUACCUGUUCAUAAGAAAAGGCAAGGCAACAAGGAGAAGACCAUUCACAUCUUAUCAAGAACCUAGGCGGUGGAAUUUGACAUCUUAUCAGGAACCUACGCAGGGGAAUUUCAGAAAUAAAAUACAGAGGACAAUCAUAAGAUCAAGCUCACAUGUCCUGGUGAAGUGUUGAAUCAUCCGAGUUUGCAUAGACAAAUAAUGAACCACCACUUUCAAUACUUUAAAACUUCGACGAAGCCAAAUUGGUGUAUUCAUCAGUUACAACAAAUAUGUCUACACAUACUCCUGCUUGAAUAGCCUGUUACAAAGUUCACUAAAGGAUAGAUAUGGUCAAGAAAAUGUAACUUUUUUCCGCUGAAAAAAUCAACAGAAGCUUAUUAGAUCUCUACUAUAGAAAGUUAUCUGCUCAUGGAGCAACACAACAAAUGGCAAGGAGGAGGAGAUGCGUGCACCUACCAAGGAAAGCAAAUCCCAUGCCUUAGGGAAAGGAAAGGGAGGGAAUAAGAGGAAAUCAAGAGAGAGGGCCGUACCUUAAUGUUGCUGCUGCUUAUCCUGGGACUGGGACUGGAGGAAGGAGCAGCGGACCUUGAUGAGCACAUGAGCAGCGUCUCGGGCAGAGGAAGCUCCGCUCCGUGGCCCCUAGUACAGAGAUGAGACAAGACGGGGGUCAGAGAGGGCGAGAAGAAGGAGGAGGAGGAGAGAAGGGAUUGAUAACAUACCACCAUCGUCGAGGCAUGUGCCUGCGGUCGGUCGCCAUGGCCAGACGGCUAGGGUUUCUGGCGCGAGGACGGAGGGGCGGAUCUGACUGUGGGCUGUGCUGCUCGAGUGGAUAUGCGUCCAGGGAGAGAGGGGGAGAGGCCGCUGGCGGUGGAGUGGAGGUCGGGGUUGGGGAGUCGGCGGCGGCUGGCUUCGGCUUGGGGAAUCGAGAGAAGAGAAACAUGAGAGAGGGGCAGCGAAGGAAGCAAUCGGGGAUUUCUUUUUUUUUGAACUUGGGAAUUUCUUUUUGUUGAUUGAUGGAUGUAUCGCUGCGUUUUUUUCUCUCUCGCUACCGAAAUCGAUACACUAUUCCUAGGCUGCCCAUGUGGACAUCACCAGCGUGCGCCCUUCACGCGCAGCUGAAUGUGUUUAAUGCUUGCAUGCAAAGCAUCGAAAAAGGAGCAUGCAAUGGUACAUAGUGGUAAAGUAAAAAAAGGAGCAUGCAAUGGCACAUAGUGGUAAAGUAAAAAUAGGAGCAUGCAAUGGCACGUAGUGGUAAAGUAAAAAUAGGUAAACUUGAUCAUGCAAUGGCCUAUGGCCUAGCCUGCGUAUUGUUUGCAGCGUCAGACUGUUUUCUACAGCCCGACAUAGGCCUCUGCCACGGCAAACCUCUCAAUAAAUUAAUACAUCGCGGACAGAGGCCAAAGGGUUCAACGCUUCCUCCAACUUUAACAAGACAUUCCAAAAGUUAAAAAACAUAUGUAGAAUAUACAAAAGUUCCUCUUGUUGGGCAGGAUUUAAGGCUGUAAAACUGUGUGUGUCGAAUUUGUUACGUAAGAGCUUCUACAGCCGGAGCUCCCAUAUUCGUCCUAAACUUCUCAAAUUGCUUAACCAGAUCCCUCUGAGGUACUAUGGUAGCGUCUAAAGGCAAUUGAUAGUAAAACAUGUCACUAAUUGUCAAGCUACCAUCGGGCAGGCGAUCAGUGUGACACCCAUGCCGUAUCUUCAACGACAUCAUGAAGCUAUUGGGCGGCACCAACCUGUGCAAAGUAGCAUAGUGUAAGGGCAUAUUUAUCCCUAAGGUGUUUUGGUGAUUGAUGACAAUGCUUUUGCGGACUAAUCGUGUGCCUAGAGUUUCUCAGACGUUUCAUCGCUAGGCACAAGACGGUUUGGUGCCCCUCGAAGACUAUUGAAGACGGCAUUUUUCUACGUUUCUUUUCGGUGGAUUUGAGUCGUAGGAAAGCCGUACUAUUAAGAGGGGGUCCGCUUCGGAAAGGUCCGGGUGGAAUCAUCACGUACACGUUUUCUUCCUCUGCACCACCUUUCCCCUUGUGCUUUGGAGCAUCCUCCGUUUUCCUCAUUUCUAUGCAAAGAGAAGGAUUCCUAAGUGUUGCUGUUCUGGGGCAUGCGGUAGUACUGCUCUACGGAGCGGUAGUACCGCAUGCCCUUGCGGUAGUACCGCAAGCCUUUGCGGUAGUACUGUAGGCGCCCGCGGUAGUGCCGCUCCUACGGAGCCGUACUACCGUGGCCUCAAACCAGACUCAGUUGCUCGUGCGGCUGUAGGGGAAGAUGUAAUUUUUUACGUCCGCGCCCUAGGUGGUAGUACCGCCCCAUGCGCGCGGUAGUACCGUGAGUCCUGGUCUAGCACAGUUACAUGAGCGGAAGUAGGGGCGGAUGUACUUUUUUACAUCCGCUCCCUGCGCGGUAGUACCGCAUGCCAUGUGCAGUAGUACCGUGUUGGAUUUUUGAAUCGAUUGAUUUUCAGCGGAUGUAGGCCAUUCCUGCCUUGCGGUAGUACCGCAUGGGGGAGCGGUAGUACCGCGGCUGCGGCAGUACCGCCCUCAGCCACUAUGCUUCAGGCCUGACCUAGUUCCUGCCGUAGCAGCGAUAGUACCGCGGUCACUCGCGGUAGUACCGUGUGGCCUUGCGGUAGUACCGCUUGUCAGGGGCGGUAGUACCGCAGGUCGCGGGCUGGUUAAGUGGAUAACGGUUGGAUUUGGUUCUCCACUAUAUAAGUGGUGUCUUCUUCCUCUAGUUGACUACCUCUUCCAACCCUAAGCUCCAUUGUUGCUCCAAGCUCCACUUUCGCCCGAUCUCUCUCCCUAGCCAAUCAAACUUGUUGAUUUGCUCGGGAUUGGUUGAGAAGGCCCCGAUCUACACUUCCACCAAGAGAAAUUUGAUUCCCCCCACCAAUCCCUUGCGGAUCUUGUUACUCUUGGGUGUUUGAGCACCCUAGACGGUUGAGGUCACCGCGGAGCCAUAGUCCAUUGUGGUGAAGCUUCGUGGUGUCGUUGGGAGCCUCCAAUUAAGUUGUGGAGAUUGCCCCAACCUUGUUUGUAAAGGUUCGGUCGCCGCCUCCAAGGGCACCAAUAGUGGAAUCACGGCAUCUCGCAUUGUGUGAGGCGUGAGGAGAAUACGGUGGCCCUAGUGGCUUCUUGGGGAGCAUUGUGCCUCCACACCGCUCCAACGGAGACGUACUUCCCCUUAAAGGGAAGGAACUUCGGUAACACAUCCUCGUCUUCACCGGCUCCACUCUUGGUUAUCUCGUGCCUUUACUUGUGCAAGCUUAUUUGUGUUAUAUCUCUUGCUUGCUUAUGUGCUUAUUGUUGUUGCAUCAUAUAGGUUGCUCACCUAGUUGCAUAUCUAGACAACCUACUUUGAUGCAAAGUUUAAAUUGGUAAAGAAAAGCUAAAAAUAGUUAGUUGCCUAUUCACCCCCCUCUAGUCAACUAUAUCGAUCCUUUCAAUUGGUAGCAGAGCCUCUUCUCUUUAUUAAGGACUUUGCCGUCCGAAGAGUAUGGUUGACACCGCAGACAGUGCGGAGGAGCACUCCGGUGUGAAUCCAUUCUCGUCUACGGCCGAUGGGGGAACCGCAGUCUCUCGUGAGGAAUUCAAUGUGGCCUUGGACACAUUGAAGACCUCCAUGACGACCGAGGUCGAAAGCAUGUUUAAUAAAUACAUAGAAGGGCUUAAACUUCCACCGCACCGUUGAAAGUGGGUGAUCCCGCUAACAAGGAGACGAAUGCUACCUCCGACAAGGGGGAAGCUACUAGCGAGAAAUCUCCUUCUUCUAGUGGUAAAAAUGGCACCGACAUCUUUGCCCAUGUGGAACCUCCACUUGUGUUUGGUGGACCGCUUCCUUCCACUCAUUUGAAUCAUGCCGGCCCGGCCCCUAAGAUUGAGAAGAAUGUGGACUUUGAUUCUUGGGUCUAUCGCUUUAAGCGUCAUUUAAAUCAUGUGAAUAUUAAUCUUUGGAGAGUCAUUGAAGAAGGUUUCUAUCCGCAUGACCGAAGCAACUUCACUCCUAGAGAAGCCGUGGAUAAUCAAUUCAAUGAGAAUGCUCUAUUCAUCAUCCAAGAAGCGAUUCCACCCGAAGAUCUUCCUCAUCUCCGGCCCUACUCCAUGGCCAAAGAUGCUUGACACCAAGUUGUUUCUCUCUACCGAGGAAGUGCAAGCAUUCAACGCUCAAACUAUGAAGUGGUGCAAGAUGAAGCCGAUGAGUUUGCAAUGAAAGAAGAUGAAAAACCUCAUGAGCUUUAUCGGAGGGUAACCAAACUCGCGGUUUCACUCCGAGAUCAUGGAAGCAAGGACACGGAUGACAAUUGGAUCAAGCGUAAAUUCCUCAAGGCAAUGAUGCCUUACCACAAGGCCAUGUCCUCCGUCAUUCGUCAAAGGCCGGACUUCCACACCUUGUCCUCAAGUGAAGUGUUGGAUGAGUUCGUUGCUAUGAGCAUCUUGGACAAGACCGCCGACAAUGUGGUGCUACGGUCUCAAAGAGUAAAGAAGCCCAACCUUGCACUAAAGGCCAAGGUUAAUGUGGAGGAGGAGGACGAAGAGGAAGAAGAGGAGAGCAACCCCGAAGAUACAAAUUAUGCCUAUCAUGAACACAUGGCUCUUGCCUCAAGGCAAUUUUGGAGCAAGAAGAACUCAAGGCCCAACUUCAACAAGAACAAUUCAAGUGGCGCAAGGGUCAAGCAACGUGUGAGGACUUGCUAUAAUUGUGGCAAUGUGAGCCACUUUGUUGCGGAGUGCCCGUAUGAGAAGAGGGAAGACAAUGGUGGCAAGCUCAUCCGAAAGGACAAAGCCAAGUCUUUCCCCAACAAGAACAACUUCACCAAGAAGACUCCUCCCAAGGCAUUGGUGGUACAAGAAGAGUAUAUUGAGGAUGAAGAUGAUGAUGAAGAUGGUGAGUCGGUUGCCAUGGCCUCGGUUGCCAUUGCGACGACUCCACGGGUGUCAGUCUUCGACUCACCCAAUGAGAACAUCACCGCCAAGUGCCUCAUGGCUAAAGCCACCAACAAGGUAACCCCCAACAUCAAAACUACCAUCAUUAAUCAUCCUUCUUUGACGGAUUGCAUUGAUGAACAUGAGGGAUCUAGUGUGGAGGAGAAUGAGUUUGAGUCUUUUAUGAACAGACUCAAAGGUAAACCCAAGAAGCACUUCGUUGCUCUCUUGGAACAACUUGGUGAAGCCAAUGACAUGAUCGAGGCUCACGAAGAUACCAUCUCUAAGAUGGAGGGGCAUAGUCGUGACUAUGCUGAUGAGAUUUCGGAUCUUUCCAAUGCUCUUGAAGAAGAGUGUGGUCUUCGUUUGGCUCUUGAGGAGUCACACAACGAUGAUCAUGCUAAAUUAAAGAAAGAUCUUGAUCAUGCUCUUGUUGUUUCUCGUGUGCUCAAUUCCGAGAAAGCCAAGCUUGGGGUUGAUCUUGCUAGACUCAAAGAGGAGUUUGACAUACUUGACAAGGCUCACAAAGUCUUGAAGGGUGCUCAUGCUAGCCUCAAGGAGUCUCAUGAUCAACUCCAAGUAAAGCUAACCAAGGAGAAAGCCACAUUUCCUCAUAUGGUGUUAAUUGAUAAUGCAAAUGCUACUAACCCUUGUUGUGAGCAUGUGCAUCUUGUUGAGGAGAAUUCUAAGUUGAAAGAGCAACUUGAGAAAGGCCUUGUGUCGUGCAUUCAAGGUGAGAAGAACCUCAACGACCUUUUGAGCAAUCAAAAGGAAGUUGUGGCCAAGGAAGGGAUUGGGUUCGCACCCAUGCCCAAGAACAAGAAGAAGACUGACAAGACCAAACGACCUCCCCCUCUCAAACAAACCUUUUUGAAGGAGGGAGAGGGUGCUUCCAAGGAGAAGAAGAGCAAUGUGAAGGGUGGUGGUGUCAAGACAGGCAAUGCCACCCCUUCCAACAAAGCCGGCGACUUUAACCCUUCUUAUGUUUUGUGUCGUGCUAGUGAUGGGCAUGUUUAUGCCAAAUUUGUUGGUUCUCCUCAUGAGUAUAUUGAAUAUUUGGGUUCCGAAGACCCUUGUCACUAACAUCAAAGGACCCAUUACAAAAUGGGUACCUAAAACCAAGCAUUGAUCUCUUGUAGGUGUUUGCUUCCGGUGGGGGAUCAUGGUUGCUCGAUAGUGGAGCUACAAAUCAUAUGACCGGAAGCAAGGACUUGGUGGUGGACGUGCACAAGAUUCCAUCUAUGCCCACCAACGUCAAGUGGGGUGAUGCCUCAUCUUCUAAGGUAUUGGGACUCGGCAAGGUUGUCAUUUCUCAUGAUCUCACGAUCGAGAAGGUCAUGCUUGUUGAGUCCCUUGCAUACAAUUUACUUUCCAUUCGUCAACUUGCAAUCAUGGGCUUUUCCACCUUCUUUGAUAUUGAUACCGUGGCCCUCUUGUGGAGAAAGACUCUUAAAGUAGCCUUUGUUGGGGCAUGUCGAGAAUGGUCUAUAUGUGAUUAACUUUUUGGAGCGACCCACUAAGACCGCGACAUGCCUAAUGGCUAAAGUUGACGUGGGAUGUCUUUGGCAUCGCCGUUUAGCCCAUGUCAAUAUGAGAUCUUUGCAAAGUCUUCUCAAGGGGGGCCAUGUUCGUGGACUAACAAAUGUUAGUUUUGCUAAAGAUCGUGCUCGCAAUGCUUGUAUUGAAGGGAAGCUACAUGAGAAGGCUCACCCUCCCACGACUAUCAUUUACUCGAAGAGGCCUUUGGAGAUCCUUCACUUGGAUCUCUUUGGGCCUCCAUCCUUUGAUAGUCUUGGGGGUAGAAAGUAUUGCUUUGUGAUUGUGGAUGACUAUUCAAGAUACACAUGGGUAUAUUUCUUCAAGAGGAAGAGCGAGACCCAACAAACUGUCAUUAACUUUGCAAAUGAAGCCCAACGUCAACACAAUGCAAAGAUCUUGACUAUAAGAAGCGACAACGGCACCGAGUUCAAGAACUACACCUUGGAUGAGUUCCUUAGUGAUGAGGGGAUCAAGCAUCAAUAUUUCGCACCAUACACCCUUCAACAAAAUGGUGUAGCGGAGAGGAAGAACCGGACGUUGAUGGAUGCGGCAAGGACCAUGAUGGCGGAGUUCAAGUCUCCAUAUAACUUUUGGGCCGAAGCCAUCGACACCGCGUGUCAUGCAUCCAAUCGGCUCUACCUCCGCAAGGGAUUGAACAAGACUCCAUAUGAGAUACUCACCGGUAACAAGCCCAACCUCAAGUACUUUCGGGUGUUCGGGUGUAAGUGUUUCAUUCUCAAGAAAGGUGUUCGUUUGUCUAAAUUUGAGGCUAGAGCUUAUGAGGGCAUAUUUGUUGGUUAUGCUACAAACUCUCAUGCUCACCGUUUCCUCAAUAAGUCCACGGGACUUAUUGAAGAGACAUGUAACGUGGAGUUUGAUGAGAAUAACGGCUCCCAAGUGGAGCAAAGUGGCACUUGUGAUGUAGGUGAUGAAAUUCCUCCUCAAGCCAUAAGAAGAAUGGGAGUUGGGUUUAUCCUACCCAUUAAGGAACCCCUUGUGGCCGAAGGAGAAGGACAAUGCUCCACUCAAGUGGAGCCAUCACCAACCCAAGGCCCACACGCUUCCGAAGAACAAAGUGAAGGCCCUCAACCUCAUGAACAUGACCAAGGGCAAGAUCAACCUCAAGACGGUGUUGAGUCACCAUGUGAUGCCCAAGGUCAAGUUCCCUCCUCCGAGCAAGUUCAAGAUCAAGAGCAAGAUCAAGAUAAAGAACAAGCUCAAGACGACACUCAAGAUGAUCAAGUGACCGCUCCUCAACUCACCUCCGAGGAGGAAUUGGAGCGUCGUGCCGCAAAGAUUGCAUCCAAGCUCUCUACCAAGGGUCAUCUUAUGAAGAAUGUGCUUGGAAGCAUUCAAAAGGGGGUAAGCACUCGUAGACAAUUGGCAAACUAUUGUGAACAUCACGCGUUUGUCUCUUGUGUUGAACCCCAAAAGGUAUAUGAGGCACUCGAAGAUCCGGAUUGGCUUAAUGCCAUGCAUGAAGAACUCAACAACUUCGAGUACAACAAGGAGUGGAGAUUGGUGCCAAGGCCAACGGGGAACCACAAUGUCAUUGGAACCAAGUGGAUAUUCAAGAACAAGCAAGAUGCUCAUGGGACCAUUGUUCGCAACAAGGCAAGGUUGGUGGCACAAGGCUACUCCCAAGUCGAGGGUAUCGACUACGGUGAAACCUUUGCUCCCGUUGCUCGCCUUGAAUCCAUUCGUUUGUUGAUUGCUUAUGCUUCUCAUCACAACUUUAAGUUGCAACAAAUGGAUGUGAAAAUGCUUUCCUUAAUGGUCCUAUUAAUGAGUUGGUAUAUGUCAAGCAACCCCCCCCGGGUUCGAGGAUCCCUACUUUCCCGAUCAUGUGUAUCAACUCUAUAGGGCACUCUAUGGCCUUAAACAAGCCCCACGUGCGUGGUAUGACCACCUUACCGAGUUGUUACAAGACUGUGGAUUUGAAGUUGGGCUAAUCGACCCCACUCUUUUUACUAAGAAGGUCAAAGGGGAGUUGUUUGUGUGCCAACUAUAUGUUGAUAAUAUUAUCUUUGGCUCCUCUAACAAAGCUUUCAAUGAGGAAUUUGCCGCUCUCAUGACCUCAAAGUUCAAGAUGUCUUCCAUGGGAGAGUUGAAGUUCUUUCUCGGUUUCGAAGUGAAGCAAAGAAGAGAAGGAACCUUCAUCAACCAAGCCAAAUACACUCAAGACAUGCUCAAGAGAUUCAAGCUAAGUGAUGUCAAGCCGGCUUCCACUCCAAUGCCCACCAAGUGCCAACUUGACAUUGAUCCCAAUGGUAAAGCGGUGGAUCAAAAGGUAUAUCGGUCCAUGAUUGGAUCCUUGCUUUACCUUUGUGCAUCUAGACCGGAUAUCAUGUUGAGUGUGGGAACUUGUGCACGGUUUCAAGCCGUACCUAAGGAAAGACACUUUGUGGCGGUCAAGCGAAUCUUUCGAUAUUUGGCUCAUACCCAAACUUUGGCUUAUGGUACCCAAGAGGAGCAAACUUCAAGCUUGUAGGGUAUUCGGACUCCGAUUGAGCGGGAGACAAAGUGGAUAGGAAGUCCACUUCCAGAGGGUGCCAAUUUCUUGGUUGCUCUUUGGUGAGUUGGUAUUCCAAGAAGCAAAGUUGUGUGUCUCUCUCGUCCACCGAAGCGGAGUAUGUGGCUGCCGACAGUUGUGGUGCACAACUUUUGUGGAUGAGGCAAACUUUAAAGGAUUAGGGUGUCACUUGUGACAAAGUGCCUCUUUGGUGUGACAAUGAAAGUGCCAUCAAGAUUUCUCUUAACCCGGUGCAACACUUCAAGACGAAGCAUAUUGAGAUUCGGUAUCACUUCAUCCGGGAUCACAUUAGGCGAGGGGAGAUCGAGCUCAACUAUGUCAACACUCAUGAUAACCUUGCAGAUAUUUUCACGAAGCCUUUAGAUGAAGCAAGAUUUCGCGAGUUAAAGCAUGAGCUAAAUAUCAUUGACUCGAGCAAUGUUGCUUGAAUCCUUGCACACCCCACCAUACUCAACUUGUUGUCUCGUUUAGAUGUAGGCAUGGACAUAGGGGGAGUGUUGUUCUCUCAAUGAAAUCUCCCUCCCCCAUUAUGCAUAAAUUGAUCAACUCUUUCACAUUAGCCAUUUUUUAUGGUACUUGUGCUUCAAAGACGAGUUUUGGUCACGGGCCCAAGGAUAAUCCUUCGUGGUGCCAUACCAAUUGACUCAAACAUAGGUGGCUCCGGCCACCGCCCUCUCCUUGGAGAGGUUGUGUCUCGUGGUUGGUCCUUGUUGUUUCUUGCCUUUCUUUCUUCGUGCUGAGCGUGUUCUAGUGGUGUCUCGUUCGCUUGAAGUUUCCUUGCAAAGACCCUUUUUCUUUCGUUCGGAACUUGCAUCUUCUUCAGCUCACGGUACUACCGCGGCCUGCCACGGUACUACCGCGUGUGGAGCGCACGGUACUUCCGCACCCAGCACGGCAGUAAUUUUUUACUACCGCCUGGGGGAGCGGUACUACCACUUCGGUGCGGUACUUCCGCCCGAGCGGUACUACCGCGAUGAGAUGCGGUACUACCGCGCUGACGAGUGCGCGUGGGGGUUAAGACUCGGGCAGGGGGAGUUCGAACUCCCCCAUACCCAUUCGUCUGUUUCUCUCCCCCGCCGCCUCUCUCUCCUCCUCAAGAACGGCGCCGGAGACCCUCGCCGGAUCUCCGUCUCCGGCCGCUCUCCUCGGAUUCCGACCGGUGGGAUCGUUCCCCACCACUUCCUCUUGCCAUGGAACAAGGUUUCUCCCCAAAUCCCUCUCUCUUUUGUUCGUUCCUUUGCCUCUAGGUUUUAGGGGAGAUGCAUGUGUUCUUGAGAUUUUAGGCUAAAUCUAUGCAAGAGUAGGAUGUAGGAGAGUAGUGUUGCGUAGAAACUAUACUUGAUAUGUUGUCCCGUUGUAGAUUUGAUCAACCGUAGUACCGCCUCAUUUUCGCGGUUGUUCUCAAAUUCAAAGUGGUUCAGAUCUGACGUCGUGCGGUACUACCGCACCUCUGGUGCAGUACUACCGCUUGUGUGGUACUACCGCACCUCUGGUGCGGUACUACCGCCCGUCAGGUGCGGUACUACCGCGCGAGCCGUGGUACUAAGGUCCUACUACCGCUCCGAGCCCCAGUACUACCGCGCCUUCACGCGGUACUACCGCGACUAGGAGCGGUACUAAAAUUUUAGUACCACACGAACUGGUAGUACUACCGUUGUUGUCCAAUCUUCUUCUUAGCAAUUACCACGUAUGCUUUCUACUUGUUUCCCUUGUCUUGCUGAGGUCUAUGCAUUGAUUCUUCUCGCUUUUUUGUGUGCUUUUUGCUUUGUGUCUUAGGUGGUGGCUCCGGUGCUCCUGCUCGCCAUUCUAAUCCCAGUCGUGACACUGGCUCCAAGCGUCUGCGCAAUCAAGAUGAAGCUCCAGAGGGAUCCAGUGCCCCCAAGCGCAAUGUCAAGUCCUCCGCUAGCAAGUACAAGGAACCCACAAAGGGAAUGGACGAGAUACCUCUUUCUGAGUUUAUCCCUCAAAGGCAGAUCAACCCGUAUGUGAAUGUCCGUGCUAUCUUCAGAGGCAAUGACCUGUUUUGGACCAAGCAGCAGACCCUCAUCUACCUGGAUGUGAUUAAGGCCAAGCAAAACACCUAUGUGGAUGUCAAGUGGAUUGACAUGAAUCACAUGAGGCAGGACAAGCACCGUGCUUACUUUGGAGAGGCUCUGGACUUGGUGGAGCAGUUUGGCAUUGAACAUGUGAUCUCCUUCCACCUGGACUUUGACCCUGAGAAUAUUUGCCAGUUCUUUGCCUCAGUUCACUUUCACUCUGGGGAGGAUCGAAGGAUGACCUGGAUGACCAAUGGACGUCAGUUGACUGCUACCUGGAAGGACUUCAUGGAUUUGCUCCACGUACCUAAUGAGGGGCUCAACACACCCGUUGGUGUUCGCCCUCAUGCCAACCCUGAGUCAGCCAGCAAGAACAAGCUCCAGCAGUAUAAUGUUGCGAAGACACUUCCCAGUGGCAAGACGACGUGGGUGCUGAACCCAUUUCUGGACAUCAUGUAUCGCAUCUUCCGCAACUCUCUUUUCCCUCGCAUUGGUGACAAGUACAAGGUACAUGCCUAUCUGGUGGAUAUGAUGCUCCUGUGCGAGGAGGCGCGUGUGUCUCAGUCUCAACCACUUGAUGUCUCACAUAUCAUGUGGUGUGAGCUUCGGUUCGCGGUGUUCAACCGCAAGGUACCCAUCUAUGGACCGUACCUGUUUCUGUUGAUCUCCAAGACUUGGGAGAAGCUGUUCUCCGGUGAUGAGUUUCUUGCUCCAGACUGGAUUCGUCAUGAGUCCACCAGUCUCCGUGUCAAGCCCAAGUGGGCCAACACUACUACUCGUGCUGAGGCGACUAUUGCUCAGAGGGUUGUUGAUGGGGAGGAGGCUGAGGCGGAGGAUGCUGGUUAGGACCGUGCUGCUGGGUUUGCCCCUCGCUUCUCUGAGCCCUCGUGGGCCAAGAAGCUGAAGGACAAGAUGAAGACUCUGUUUUGCAUGCAAGCAAAGGGGCAAUACAGGACUCACGUGGCCUCCAAGGAGAGUCGCCGCCGCGACAAGAAGAUUAUGAAGGUCUUUGGAGAGGAAGUCUCUGGCGGUUCUGAGGAGGUCAUCACUCCAGAGGCUGAGUGGAUGGCUAAGAAAGGUUUCAAGUGGACUGAUUCUGAGGAGGACAUCAAGGAGACCGUCCCCGCUGCCGAGUCUGACGAGGAGCGUUGGAGUGAUUACUCUGCCUGAGCCACCCCUUGUGUGUAGGUGUCCUCUCUGCCUUUUUGGCAUCUCGAUGCCAAAGGGGGAGAGAGUGUAGGAUUUACGAGUCGUUUUUUCGUAUUGCUUCGUUUGUGUUUGUUCAGUUGAACCUCGUUUGCUUUGGUUUGAUUUUCGCUUGUGAGACUUAUCCUUCAUAUGGUGUAAGACAUAUGCACUCUAUCUUAUCUUAGUGAGCUUAUGAUAUAUUGUGCUACUUAUGUUAUGCUCUUGUUUGCUAUCUUGCUUAGUGUUAGCCUUACUAUUGCAAGAUAUUCCUUGUCUAUAAAAUAUAGGGGGAGUGUUGAUCCUAGUAUGUGUGCCGUGCAGUCCAAAGCACCUAUCUAGAUUGCACACAUCUAGGGGGAGCCCGUCUAUAUUUUAGAGAGGAGGGGUUUGCGUAUGCUCUAUAUUAUUUCCCUUUGUGCAAAUCCCGUAUUGUCAUCAAUCCCCCAAAAAGGGGGAGAUUGUAACGGCAUAUUUAUCCCUAAGGUGUUUUGGUGAUUGAUGACAAUGCUUUUGCGGACUAAUCGUGUGCCUUGAGUUUCUCAGACGUUUCAUCGCUAGGCACAAGACGGUUUGGUGCCCCUCGAAUACUAUUGAAGACGGCGUUUUUCUACGUUUCUUUUCGGUGGAUUUGAGUCGUAGGAAAGCCGUACUAUUAAGAGGGGGUUCGCUUCGGAAAGGUUCGGGUGGAAUCAUCACGUACACAUUUUCUUCCUCUGCACCACCUUUCCCCUUGUGCUUUGGAGCAUCCUCCGUUUUCCUCAUUUCUAUGCAAAGAGAAGGAUUCCUAAGUGUUGCUAUUCUGGGGCAUGCGGUAGUACUGCUCUACGGAGCGGUAGUACUGCAGGCCCUUGUGGCAGUACCACAAGCCUUUGAGGUAGUACCGUAGGCGCCCGCAGUAGUACCGCUCCUACGGAGCCGUACUACCGUGGCCUCAGACCAGACUCAGUUGCUCAUGCGGCUGUAGGGGCGGACGUAAUUUUUUACGUCCGCGCCCUACACGGUAGUACCGCCCCAUGCGCGCGGUAGUACCGUGAGUCCUGGUCUGGCACAGUUACAUGAGCGGAAGUAGGGGCGGAUGUACUUUUUUACAUCCGCUCCCUGCACGGUAGUACCGCAUGCCAUGUGCGGUAGUACCGUGUCAGAUUUUUGCAUCGAUUGAUUUUCAGCGGAAGUAGGCACGGAUGUAUUUUUAUUCAUCCGCGCCCUUCCCAGGCUAGGCCAUUCCUGCCUUGCAGUAGUACCGCAUGGGGGAACGGUAGUACCGCGCCUGCGGCAGUACCGCCCUCAGCCUCUGUGCUUCAGGCCUGACCUAGUUCCUGCCGUAGCAGCGGUAGUACCACGGUCACUCGCGGUAGUACCGUGUGGCCUUGCGGUAGUACCGCUUGUCAGGGGCGGUAGUACCGCAGGUCGCGGGCUGGUUAAGUGGAUAACGGUUGGAUUUGGUUCUCCACUAUAUAAGGGGUGUCUUCUUCCUCUAGUUGACUACCUCUUCCAACCCUAAGCUCCAUUGUUGCUCCAAGCUCCACUUUCGCCCGAUCUCUCUCCCUAGCCAAUCAAACUUGUUGAUUUGCUCGGGAUUGGUUGAGAAGGCCCCGAUCUACACUUCCACCAAGAGAAAUUUGAUUCCCCUCACUAAUCCCUUGCGGAUCUUGUUACUCUUGGGUGUUUGAGCACCCUAGACGGUUGAGGUCACCGCGGAGCCAUAGUCCAUUGUGGUGAAGCUUCGUGGUGUCGUUGGGAGCCUCCAAUUAAGUUGUGGAGAUUGCCCCAACCUUGUUUGUAAAGGUUCGGUCGCCGCCUCCAAGGGCACCAAUAGUGGAAUCACGGCAUCUCGCAUUGUGUGAGGGCGUGAGGAGAAUACGGUGGCCCUAGUGGCUUCUUCGGGAGCAUUUUGCCUCCACACCGCUCCAACGGAGACGUACUUCCCCUCAAAGGGAAGGAACUUCGGUAACACAUCCUCGUCUUCACCGGCUCCACUCUUGGUUAUCUCGUGCCUUUACUUGUGCAAGCUUAUUUGUGUUAUAUCUCUUGCUUGCUUAUGUGCUUGUUGUUGUUGCAUCAUAUAGGUUGCUCACCUAGUUGCAUAUCUAGACAACCUACUUUGAUGCAAAGUUUAAAUUGGUAAAGAAAAGCUAAAAAUAGUUAGUUGCCUAUUCACCCCCCCCCCUCUAGUCAACUAUAUCGAUCCUUUCACAUAGCAUGACCACACUAUUCGAAACACAAAAGGGGAAUCACAAAACAACACAAGACAAUGGUUGAUUUCUUUACCAAAUGGGAGAAAUGCCACUUUCAACGGGCUCUAGAGGGCGUCGUCCCUUGCCGCCGAGAUCCGGGUGAAUGGAGGCCGUGGAAGCAACGAGGCGGUGACAGAUCUACGAAAGGAUAUGACUCAAAGUGGUGGGGAAAAGGGUGUCUAACAACAAAAUUUAGGGACGUGUCACUAUCGAGCACUGCAAGUGAGCCCACAGUGGGGAAAGGCACGCAUCGGAGGGGCAAAAUGGGAAUUAUGGCCCCAACGGCGGGCCCCCACAUCGACGGACACUCAAAGAGUCUUGUCGCCAAUAUUGGUUGGCCCACAUCAGAGUGGCCUGCACUUUCAUCGGAGGGGCCCACACUUUCAUCGGAGGGGCCCACACAUCGCUCGAAAGGGUCAAUAGAUUCUCCUCGUGGCUGCAGUUGAUGUGGUGAAGUGGUGGGUCCAAAAUGGAAGGAAACAACGCAAAGUUGACGGCAACCGAUGGAGAUGACGUGCAGUAUCAUACACCUAUUUUUUUCACAAUGGUUAGUGCCCAGACCGAAAUACAGAAGAUUGAGUGGCAGGACUCGAAUAUGCAACUUUGGCGGUGGCACAGAUCGGUUCGUCCCAAAAAUAUAAUAUGAAAACUUUUUCAUGAUGGGUUUGAGGAUAUUGAUUGCUACCGUACAUGUUAAUAUUUCCUUCUUAUAAACCAGAUCAAAGUGUAAUCAACAAAACUGAUAUGCACUCUAUUCUGAAAUGAGGGGAGUAAGCCCUAUCUAUAAGACAACAUGACCGUGCCUAUUGAUGAUUUUUCGGUAUACUAGCAAUGACAUUUCAUAGGAUUUAAUCCCUCUAUUCCUAAAUAUAAGUCUAUUUAGAGAUUUCAGAGCAAAAUGAGUGAAUCUACAUUGUAAACUAUGUCUAUAUACAUCCGUAUGUAGUUCAUAUUGAAAUGUCUAAAAAAGACUUAUAUUUAGGGAUGGAGGAACUAUUUGGCAUUUAUUUGGAGAAGGAUAGCCAUUAUCCAAAGAAAAAUGAAACAUAUCAUUUAAUGACAUUAAUUGGAUAAGGAUAACCUUGAUGCCGCCACAUCUAUAUAAGGCGACUGAACGGUACCCCUCGUGACCACAAAAACAUACUGGUUGACAGACUAUUGCAUAACUAUAUAUUUUCUGUUGUUUUGUUCUUGGGCAAUGGCGAACAAUGGCAUCUUCCAAGUGAUCAUUGUUUUUCUCAUGGCGCAAGUCUGCUUGCUCAUGAUAAUGGCAGCACCGGUAGCACAUGCAGCUGCUAGACCGGUGGGGUACAAUCCAGUGUGCUGCCCUAGGAACAUCUAUUGUUGCGGGUUCGCUAGCGGAUUGGCCAAUUCACCCGCACCAUCCAUUGUAUCUUGAUGUGUGGCUUUAUUCUCCCCCAAGUAGUAAGCUUAACAUAUAAAUGAUAUAUGUGGUUCAUGUGUUACCUAAUCCUAAAUUUUUGUGAUGCUACUUUCAAGAAGUUAUUGUACUAGUUACUUACAUAAUUAAAUGGGAGGAGAUUAUUAUAUAUCUUGUUCGGAAUAUAGCGCAAAGAGAC
This 127657-nucleotide long non-coding RNA is filed under the name Triticum aestivum (bread wheat). Its description in RNAcentral is "long non-coding RNA (TAES_LNC017472)". The stretch from base 44636 to 44777 matches the Rfam family "Small nucleolar RNA Z247". The record is from RNAcentral. Lineage: Eukaryota; Viridiplantae; Streptophyta; Magnoliopsida; Poales; Poaceae.